Molecule: long non-coding RNA, 105974 nt
Filed under: Vitis vinifera (wine grape)
Lineage: Eukaryota; Viridiplantae; Streptophyta; Magnoliopsida; Vitales; Vitaceae
Description: long non-coding RNA (VVIN_LNC005211)
Source: RNAcentral
UUAUAGUUCCAGACAUGUGUUCCGACAUGGAAACAUCAUCAGACAAGUACGUGGAAGACUACAUUUGCAACCUCACUAAAACAACCCUAGACUUUUCCAAGCCAUUAUGGGACCUUCAUCUCCUCAACGUCAAAACCUCCGACGCCGAGGCCGUCGCCGUUUUCAGGAUUCACCACUCCCUCGGCGAUGGCACGUCUCUCAUGUCUCUUUUACUUGCAUGCACACGCAAAGCCUCGGAUCCCACGGCUCUGCCUUCGGUUCCCAUGAUGAAGAAACCAAAAUCAUCGGCUGGGUCUGGAAAGUGGUGGAAGGCUUUCAGACUGGUUUGGAAUACGAUCAUCGAUGUUUUGAUGGUGAUCGCCACAGUGUUGUUCUUGAAGGACAGAGACACGCCUCUUAGGGGUCCGCCCAAUGUUGGAUCCACAGGACGGAGAAUUAUUCACAGGACGAUUAGUCUGGAGGAUGUUGUGAUGAUAAAAAAUGCAAUGAGCACUGUAAGUCAACUUGUUGCAUGCAUGGAAAACAAAUACAUGUUUUGCAACUGUUUUAAAAAAAACAAUUUCCUGUUUUUCAAAUAAAAUAAAUAGAAAAACACUUUAGAUAAAAAAAAAUUAGAAAAUAAGGUAUUUUCAAGGAACAACUUUCAAUUAUUUUUAUUUAUAUUUUCAUUUGUUUUUGUGAUAAUUGUUUUUUAAAAUAAUUAUAUAAAUAUAAAUAAUAAUUAAAAAUUAAAAGCACAAGUUAUUUUCAAAAAUAUAUUUAAAAAUAUAGAAAUCAAGUUAAAAAUAUUCUAGAGUCAUUCCUGAAUAAAAAUUAUUUUCCAUAAAUGUUUAUAAAAAACACUUAACAAACAAAGCUAUGAUUUUUUCUUUUUUCGACUAUGUCCCAUAAUUUUUUUAUUUUUUUAAAGCAGAGAAAUACAAAGCUUUUUUACUUUUCGAUCACUUCAAUGAAAGAGUGGGUAAUCAUAUAUUUGAAGAAGUUUACAACUCCUCUCUCAAUCAUUAGUGGAGAGAUUAAGAACUAAAAUUUUUGUGGCUCUCAUGUGCAGACUGUUAAUGAUGUUAUGGUGGGAAUCACACAGGCUGGUUUGUCUCGGUACCUCAAUAGGCGAUAUGGUGAGCUCCUAUUUUAAUUUUCAAAAUUCAUAUAUUAAGUGGUACGGUGAAGAGUAAUUAUAAUACACCACCUAGCUACUCUCUCUAUGUAUAAAAGGAUGUUAUAAAGCUUGUAUGCUCUACAUGGUAGCUGAAGGCAAGAAGAAUAAAGGGGCAACAGAGAAGAAAAAUAAUCUUCCCAAGAACCUUUCUAUCAGAGCAACUCACUUCAUUAACAUAAGACCAUCUGCAGGGAUCCAUGUGGGUGUUUCUACUUUCUUUAUCAAGCCCUCGUGAAGGAAUUAGUUAAUUUCUCUUUGGGAAGUGUUUUCAAAAAAUGAAACAAAAGUUUUUGAAAACUGUUAUUUGAUAUUUUAUGGAAUAAAAGUUUGUUUAAAAAUCUAAAAUUAAUGUUAUUUAUGUUUUCUAUGUUUUAAAAUAGGUUUUAUUAUUAAUUGAUCUCCAUAUUUUUAUAAUUAUUUAUUAAAUGGUUCUUAAAAAAUAAUCAAAAAAUAUUUUCUGAAAACACAUCAUUUUUAAAUAAUUAUUUUAUUUAAAUUUGUUUUCAAAAUUUAAAAAUUAUAUUAAAAUCAAUUAUCAAACAAGUCCUUAAUUUCUUGUCUCAUGCAUGUAUACAUUGAUAUCGUACAGACCUUAGCUGAAAUGAUGGAGAAAGGCUCUGAAGCAAAAUGGGGCAACUGGAUUGGCUAUGUCCUUCUCCCUUUAUCCAUUGCAUUACGAGACAAUCCUUUAGAUUACAUUCAAAAAGCUAAGGAAGCUAUGGAUAGAAAAAAAGCCUCUCUUGAAGCUCUCUAUAUACAUUCCAUGGCUAAGUCAAUUCCCAACUUAUUUGGCACUAAGGUAUGAAUUAAUAUCACUCAACCCUAGCUUGUUUCCUCAAAAUUAAGUACUUCUAGCUUAAUUAAUAUCACUGUCUAAUAAACAAUUAAAAGUGGUAAAUAUAGGCUCACUUCUUUCAUUGGUAAACAGACUGGAAGUGUUCUAUGCCUCAAAGUCCCCUCUCGUACGACAAUAUGGUUCUCAAAUGUAGUUGGACCCCAAGAAGAAAUUGCCUUCUUUGGCCAUCCAAUAGCCUACAUUGCUCCAAGUUGUUUUGGUCAACCCAAUGUAAGUCUUCUUAAACUUUGUUUGACAAUGUUUUAAAAAAUGCUUUAGCCUAUAAAAUGUUUUACAAAAAAAAAAUUAAAAUUUAGAAAUCACUUUCAAAAAGUUAAAAAGCCACUUAUAGAUAUUUUCAAAGAAACAUUUGAUAGAUAAUUCUCUUAAUACUUUUAAGUAAAACACUCUCGAGAAAAACACUUCAAAUUACAUUCUUAGAAUGCGUUUGAUAAUAUUUUUAUUCAAAAUGUUUUUAAUGAAAGCAUAUUCUCUGAAAAUGUUUUACGAUAAAUGUCUAUCAAAUAAUUCUCCAAAAAACAGGAUAAUUGAUUUUUCAAUACUAUAAAUAAUUUUUCAUAUUUGUAAAAGCGUUUCCCAUAUUUUAUCAAAUACUUAAAGAUAAAAAUGUUUGUUAAAAUCAUUAUCUAACUCUUAUUCAUGAAACAUAAACUUUUCUCUUUCUUAUGAAUUAUUAGCCAUUUUUAGUACUGUAAAAAUGGUGGUUGAUUCAAUCUGAAUUCGAGUCUCUUGAAUAUCUAUUGCAGGCAUUGAUGAUUCAUGUGGUGAGCUAUGUGGAUAAAAUGAAUAUCAUUCUAUCAGUUGAUGAAAGUACAGUCCCUGAUCCUCACCAGCUGUUUGAUGACCUUGAAGAGUCUUUCAACCUCAUCAAGAAUGUUGUGAUGGCUAGAGACUAAACUCCACAGAAUGUCAUGUAGCAAGGGCUAGGGUCAAUGUAAUUAAUAUAUAUAAUGUUCUGAAAUCAUUGUCUUAAGGUUCCUGCAAUAAUGAUGUUGUAUUAGAUGGCUCUCUACUAAAUAAAAAUGCCUCUCUACUGUAUUUUUAUCUUAAUUCAAGUUCAUAUUUUUUGGACUUUAUUUCAUUUUUAUUUACUGUAUUUUGAUGACUAAUUAUGGGUUCUUUCUAAUUUUAUCUUUUAAUUUUUUAUUCUCUUUUUUUUUUUUUUUUGAUUCCUCAGAUCUUUUGCAGUAUCCAUUUUUAAUUUUAAGGCUUAAAUUUCUACUUCAUUUCAUUAAUUUCUUCCAUAAUUUUUAAUUUUUAUUAUUAUUAAAUAAUUGUAAUAGCGUUAAUAUGAAGUUUUGGGCUGGCUUACAGAAGAACCCAUCUCCUAGUUUAUAUUGAUCCCUAGCAUUUUAUUAAUGGAUAUAACUAUCAAAAUGCUUUCAAAACACAUUUUCCAUUUAAAUGAAAAUAUUAAUUAAUUUUCUAUAGAAAUAUCUUCAAUAGAGUGUUAGUGACAAAAUGGUAAAAAAAGAAAAAGAAUGUUUUAACAACAAUCACCUUGAAAUCCUUCAUGUGCUACAAAACAAAUUGAUUGGUUUAUUCAUCAUGAAAUUUCAUGUUAAUUAGGCUUUAGCUGAGAUGAUGGAGAAGGAGUCUAAAGUGAAAGGGGGAAAUUGGACUGGAUCUAUGUUCCUCCCUUUUGCCAUUGUCUUAUACGAUGACCCUUUAAAUUAUGUUAGUCAAACUAAAGUCACAAUCGAUCGAAAGAAGCAUUACCAUGAAGCUAUAUUUACAUUUUUCAUUAUUAAGAUGGUUCUCAAAUUAUUUGGUGCUAAGGUAUGAAUUUCCUUAUCCUUAAUAUUGAAAUAGAUCACCUAGGAAAUUAUAGAUUUUCAAACUCCUGUUCUUAAAUAAUAAUAAUAAUAAUAAAAUCUAUUGUCUAUUUUUUGUUUCUUUCCUUUCUAUUUUCUUCUUAUGAUCUUACCUAGGAUUUUUAUUAUUAUUAUUAUUAUUUUGCAUGGCAAAUAAGUUGCAGCAUUUUUAUACCAUAGAGUUAUAAAUCAUACAAGAAUGUGCUUCUCAAAUGUAGUUGGACCUAUGGAAUAAAUCGGUUUUUAUGGCCAUCCAAUGGCUUUCCUUGCUCCAAGCGUUUACGGCUAACCUCAUGUAUAUAUAUAUAUAUAUAUAGUUAUUUGAUUAAAUGGAUUAUUGAAAACCCAAAUUUGGAAAAAUGACCUUCAUGGUUUGAAAGUAUGAACUAUGAUCCAAAAAUUAUAUUUGUAUUCAUCAAAUUUUUCUUUACAUUUAUUAUAUUUACACAUUCACUUUAAAAUACUAACUAUAUUAACACAUCACCUACAAAUUUCCAAUAUCAUAAAAACACUCUUCACAUUCUUCUCUUCUAUACCUAUCCUUUUUUUUUUUUCUCUAUUAACUUUUUUCUUCUCAAUAAUAAAUCCUAAAAGAAACUAUCUUUUAGGGCUUAUUCUUCAUGUAAAUUUUGACUAAAAAAAUAUGUUGUAAAAACAAUUAGAAAGAAUUUAUAAAAAAUUAGAAAUGAGAAAUCAUGAAAAAGUGCAAAAGAAAUUAUAUUUGGACUGAUUUUUUACUCUGUGUUUUGUGGUAGGGAUUCAUGAUUGAUUUCCAAAGUUACAUCAAUAAAAUGACAUUUGUUCUUUCUGUUGAUGAAGAAAUAAUUUCCGACCCUCACCGAUUAUGUGAUGAUCUUGAAAAGUCAUUUAAGUUUAUCAAAGAUGUUGUCAUUGCAAGAGGGUUUGUCCAUAAAAUUUCCAUAAAAUAAGAAUGAUUAGUACAUGUUACAUCUAUGUGAACUAUGAAGAUCUGUGUGUUCUUAUGGUCAUUUGCAGUUUUAAUCGUAUGUGUUUUAAGUGAAAUGUUUUAUUUUCGAAUAAAUUUUGAACUUUCUAAUGUUAUAUGUAUGUCACAUGCAUGUAUGCUUUGAAAUUUUUAUAUGAGAAUAAGACAUGUGGGUCAUGCCUUGUUCUGGGAAUGGGCCUAACUUGGGCCAGGCUUGGGCUUGAGCCUAACUGGGUCUUAAGUUGGGUUAAUUAGAACGAUGAAGUCAAAGAAUUGCAAAAUUUUGGGUUCCAUGAUAUCUCAAAAUUUCAAGAUAGUUUUUUCCUGAUUCUUACAAAAUUGGGUACAUAUCUACAUAGGUUGUUAGAGAUACUGUGAGGGAUUUGCACCACCUCAAACAAUAUUCUAACUAAAAAUGUCUCGUUCGGAUACACUUUUUCAUUUUUCUUUUUUAGAAACAAAAAGUUUUAAUAAUUUCUAUAUGAAAAUAGAAGUUCUUAUAUUAAAAAAAAGGUACAUGUUUACCCUGUGUCCUUAUAAUUUAUUUUAAAUAUUUUAAAAUUUUAGAUGAUAAUUUUUUUAAAAAAAAAAUUUAGUUUUUAAAAGUCAUUGUUUUUUGGUGUAAUUCUCUAAGAUUUUUUAUAUUUAAAAGAAAUAAUAAAUGAUAAAAAUUGUGGUAUAUAUAUAUAGAGAGAGAGAAAAAAUAUAUAUUAUGCUCAACAACCCAUUUAAAAUAAUGAUUUAUAUACUCAAAAACAGUUUAAUAUGAUGAUUUAUUUAGCUAAAUAUAUUUAAGAAUAUAAAAAAAUCAUGAUACAGAUAUGACUACUUUUUAAUUAUUUAAAAAUAUUUAAAAUUUUAUUUACAAGUUUAUACUUUUCUUAUAUUUAAUAUUAAAAUGUUAAUUUAAUUACAAAAAUGAUUAUGUAGUUUGAUAAAUUUAAAAAAAUUAUUAGUUUUAAUAUUUUAGAUUAUAAUAAAUCGAUUUUAUGUGCUUUUAUAAAUAUCAAUGAAGUUUAGCUUGGUGGUGAAGUGGCAUGAUAAAAGUUGUUUUCCUUUAUUUUUCAAAUUAUAAAGAAUAAAAUAAUAUAUAUAUAUAUAAGAUAAAUUUCACCAUACAUUAAAAUUUGAAAUUUCAUUAAAUCUAAACUUUUUCUUUAAUAAUUUUUUAAAACUUUCAUAUUUACCCUUCAUUUUCUUUCUCUUGUAUUUAUUGCGGACCAAACUUGUCAUAAAAUAAGUCAAAUUCGUUUUUGAUCUCUCUAUUCUCUAGCAAUCUCAAAUGGACCCAAGAUUGAGGCCACUCUAUCAAGACUUAAAAAUCAACACAAGGAUCAACAAAAUGUGUGGACAUUAACAUCGGAAUCAUAAAUAAUCAACUACGUACCUUUUUUAUAUUAAAUAUUAAAUGUCAUAUUAGAACAUUCUUCAAAAUUGAAAAUAAUAAAAGUAGAAAUUCAACAUCAUACCUCUGACUAUGGCCAUCAAAUUCACAAUUUUUGGGAGUAAAUAAAAAACAUAAUAAAAUUAGGGAUUUGUUUGGCUAGUUUUUCUAAGACCUUAUAUCUUAUGAAAACUCACAAACUUCCUAUAAACUAGAGACUCUUAUCUAUAUAAAGUUUUAAUAUAAAAUAUGAUAUUUUCUUAUAUUUUCUUUCCAUCAAAGGAGACAAAAUAAAUACCAAGUAGUAGUUACCACUAAAAGUGUGUCAUGACUAUAAAAGAUGGUUACAACACUAAGAGAUGUGUUUGUAUUCAAUGUGUCACAUGUUUUAGGGAAAAUAAUGUAUUUAAAUUUAAAUUUAAAUAGAACACAAAACUUAAAACAUUUAUCUUAUUUUAUUUAAAAUAAAAAAUAUUUCCAACAUGUCACACACAUGAGAUCCAUGCUGCCAUAAAUUCAUUUCCAAACUAGUUAUGAACCAUAAAUGACAAGCCCUAACUUCACCUCCACUUGCUAUAACAAGCCCUAACAUGACUUCUACUGCUAAACAUUGAAAAAGGAUGUUGAUGUUGCGUCUAAAGGCAUCUUGCUUUAUUAAAUAUUUAAUUUAUGUACUAUCAUUCUCAUUGACAUUAAAAUUAAUUAUUUCUAAAAAAAAAAAAUCAAAAGAAAAUUUCCCAAACCAUAGAAAAGUAUUUAGCAUUAAACUCGAUAGAGUUACACCACAUAUUUGUAGCUUAGGAUCACAGGGUUCUCAGAAAAACACUUCAAAGUACAUUCUUAGAGUGUAUUUGAUAAUAUUUUUAUUCAAAAUAUUUUUAAUGAAAGUAUAUUCUUUAAAAAUGUUUUAAGAUAAUUGUCUAUCAAAUAUUUCUUCAAAAAACAAUACAAGUGAUUUUUUAACACUAUAAAUAAUUUUUCACAUUUGUAAAAGCGUUUCUCAAAUUUUAUCAAAUACUUAAUAUAAAAUUAAAUGCUUCUUAAAAUCAUUUUCUCACUCUUAUUCAUGACACAAACUAAAAAUAUCAUUGUGGUUUUGUGCAUUGCAGACUAUCAACGAUGUGGUUAUGGGGGCGUCAUUGGCUGGUCUUUCUCAAUAUCUCAACAGAAAGAUAUGGUGAGCUUGCAACUUUAUACCUAAACAACUAGAAUACUUCAUCUAAUGUAAGGUGAGAUUCUUAACAUAUCUCCUUAAUGGCAGGUGAGGCUAAGGGAGAGGCAGUAGCUACACAGAAGAAAAAUAAUCUUCCUGAGAACAUUCGCCUCAGGGCCCUCGAUCUCGUUAAUAUAAGACCUUCCCCAGGGAUUCAUGUGAGCCAUUUUCCUGUUGAAUUCAAAAGAUUUAUAUGAAAAUAUGGUCGUUAAGAUAGUAAAAAUGAUGGUGCAACUAACAUUUUUUGUAUGCAUCAAAUCUGAAUUUUCAAAUUUAUAAAUGAACUUGAGUAAAUUAAUUAUCCAUGUACUGUAAAUUUGAUUGAUUAUAUCGUAUCAUAUCAUCAAAAUGCUAGGCUUUAGCUGAUAUGAUGGAGAAGGGGACCAAAGCAAAAUGGGGUAACUGCAUUGGAUCUGUGCUUUUCCCCUUCACUAUUGUGUUACAAGAUGACCUGUUAGACUAUGUUUGCCAAGCUAAGGCUACCACUGACAGAAAGAAGCAGUCUCAAGAAGUUGCAUACACAUUUCUCAUUGUUAAGUUAGUCCUCAAGUUAUUUGGAAUUAAGGUGCGUAUGAACUUCUUUGCAAUUUUUUGGAACCAAAUACACAAAAAAUUGGACACAUAUAUAUAUGCUAGCAAUUCCCCCUUGGUUGUUUAAUUUCAGUGUUUCUAGUCUAAAUUAAUCAUUCUACUUCAGAAAUCAUUUGGUAAAACAGGCUGCAGCAUUUCUACUCCACAGAGUUCCAAAUCACACCACAUUGUGCUUCUCAAACAUAGUUGGACCUAUAGAAGAAAUCGGUUUUUAUGGUCAGGCUUUCAUUGCUCCAAGUUGCUGUGGGCAAGCAACCCCAUGUAAGUAUAUAUACACAUCUCAUUAAGCCAAAAUAUGCCUUUUGUUUAAUUUCAUUUGGCUAUGAAAACAUUAUAAUUUAUAACAUAGAGUUGAGUUUGGUUAGUCUUAAUAAGCAUAAUAAUUGUGUUUUGGUGUCGGGAUUGAUCGUUCACUUUCUAAGUUACACAAAUAAAAUGACAUUUAUUCUAUCGGUUGAUGAAGCGAUCAUUCCUGACCCUCACCAGCUAUGUGAUGAUAUUGAAGAAACACUCAAGCUCAUGAAGGAUGUUGUUAUAGCAAGAGGGAUUGUUAAGGAAAAUCUCAUUAAAUAAAGAGUGAUUACACACAAAAAAGACUGAUCACCAUAUUACAUUAUGCUUGAAUUAUGUUAAUUGGGAAAAUGUUGUGUACUCAUCUUUGCUUUCAUGUAUACUAAUAAUGUUGAUUGCUACCAAAUAGGGACUAUAAACCUUUGGUUAGUGUAUCUUAUAAAUUUGUUUCUCAAUUGGAUAAGUUGGAAUUUGGAUUAAAUUCGUUAUCGAGCAUCAUCCUAAUUAGCUAGGUUGAUUAGGAUGUGCUUGCAUUUUGUGGUUUUUUGUGGUUGGUUGAUGAUAAUUUGCAUUGUUUUAAAAACAUGACGAGUUGGACCGCCAGCCGGAGGGCUUUCCUAUCCAGUUCCCCUUUUUGGACCAUCUAUCAAUUGGAUUGGUCUUGAACCGAUUAAACCAGCGGUUGGAUCAAUGACCCGGAUGGUUCUUUAAGAACCGAAUGGGUCAAACCCCACCACCUCUUUUUCUUUUUGCCAAGCCCACAUUUCCUUUGGCCUAGUGUCCACUCCUAUGAUGAGUUUUCUUGGCAAAAUGGCCUAUUAAAUUAGGCAAUGAGCUCUAUAGCCUGACCCAACAAUCUACUAAUUUGCAAGGAAUGGAAAGAGGUUUAUAAAUCUAUUUAUGUUUCAUCUACUUUCAAUAUGGAAUCAAGAAAUUUAAGGAAAAACUCAACUCUUUUUAUUGCAACCAGGAGAGCUUGAACCAUAGACCUUGACGUUUCCUAAUACAAUAUUAUUCACUCUACUACAACCAUCCUUAUGUUGAAAUUUAACAAGGAACAAAUAUAUAGGUUAUUUUUAAAAAAUGAUAUAUAUAUAUAAUUACAUAAUACAUUUUUUUUUUCAUUUUCAAUAUGUUUAAUAUCUAAAUAUGAUUUUUACCAUUUUCUUUUCAUAUUGAAAUAUUGUAUAUAUUUUGUUUAAUAAAUUAAAAAUGUUAAUACAUUUAUAUAAAAAUGAAUAAAUAAUAUUACAAAUAUUAUUAAUUUUUAAUUAUAUGUAGUUAAAAUUAUUUUUAAUUUUAAUAAAAUAUAAAUUAUAUAUUUAUGACGUCACCGAUUCGACCGUGGUUCAACCACCGAUCCGACCAGUGAACCGUGAACCAAUAACUUUUCCGGUUCAAUGUUUUGUCCGGUUCUGAAAACAUUUAUAAUUUGUCUCGACUAGCGAUAGGCUGGACUUUUUAUUCAAAUCAACAUUACAUGACUUAACUUUACAUCGACCUCGGAUUAGGAUUGUUUCCUAUAAUCAUCAAUAAAGGAGUAAAACGUUGAAGAAAUAUCAAAGAGUUGAAAAUAUAGUUGAUAAAAUUACCCAUACUAAUUUUGCAUAUGAAUACUAUUCAUUUUUUAAAAGAAAUAUUUAAUGAUAAAAAUUUUCAAAAAAUUAAAAGAAAAAUAUAAUUUUCAAAUAUUGAAAAUCUUUAAAAAAAAAUAUUGUAAUGGUGAUGUGAAUUGAAAUAUAAGGAAAGUUGAAAUUUGAAAUACAGGUUAUACAUGUGACUGAUUGGAAGAAAAGAAAAACUUAAGAGUACGUUAGAUAACUAUUUUCAAGAACAAUUUUUGAUUUUUUAGAAGAAAAAUUAAGGAAACAUGCUUAUUAAUCAGAAACUGUUUUUAUUUUUAAAAAUCAUUUUUUAGUUGUUUCCUAUUAUUUUUACUUUUUUGUCAAGACCGUUUUAAAAAAUAAUUAUGUAAGCAUAUAGAAUGAUUAAAAAUAAAGUAGUAGAUAUAAAAUUAUUUUUAAAAAAUAUUUAAAAAUAGGUUAAAAACAUUUUAAGUUUUCAAAUUGACUUUUAUUUAAUUUAUAAAACAGUAGAGAACAAUUUUUAAAAACUGUUCUUAAAAAAAAAAAUUCAAAACUGUUUUCGAAAACAGUUACCAAACAAAACCUAAAAUUUUGAGUUAGAAUUUUUAUUUUUUUUUUAUACUUGAAUAAAUACUUUCCCCAAAUCAUUUACAAUUUUUGAACUCAAAUUUAAGUCUUAAGAUAGAUAGGAAGAUAUAUUAAAACUAAUGAUUUUUUCAUUACAUGUGGAGAGUAUGUCUAGGUUGAAUAUUAUUCAUCAGCUCAUGAAAUUUCAAUUUUAAAUUAAACUCUCGUCAUUAUUAUGGUUUGGAAAAAUAUUUGAGGUGGUUUCUACCAUCUUAAAGCGUCAAUAAGACGAAAUUUUGAGUAUGUUAUUUAAGCUUCUUCUAAAAUUAGAAAAUCGAGGAGAGAAGGAAGGUGGAAAAUAAAACAGAGAAAAAAAAUACAAAAAUGAAAAAAAGAUUUGAACUUGAUAUGUAUACAUAUAUUUUCUAUAUAGCUUUUUAAAUAAUCUCCUAAUAUAAAAAUUGAAAAUACACAUGAAUUUUUGAAUUAUUUUUUAUAUUUUUUAUUAUUGUUGUAGUAUGUGGCUCAUAUUUAUUGAAAAAAACAUAUGAAGAAAAAUGGGCAAAUGUCAGAGCGAAGCGGAGUGAAAGUCUUCUUCCCUGUUCCCGUGGACGUAGGCAAUUUGUCGAACCACGUUAAAUCUGUGUCUUUCUUCAUUUUCAUUUUCUUUAAUUUUCACCAUAAAUCAUUGCACGUAAAUCAACAAUUGGUAUCAGAGUGUGAGGUUCGAUGUCUGAGAUUUCUUAUGUGAAGUUCGAUGGAUAUGGGAAUUUCGGUCUAUGGCAGAGAAGGGUUAAGGAUCUGUUAGUGCAACAAGGUAUGGUGAAGGCGUUAUACAAAAAGCAACCAAAAAGAAUGAACAACAUGGAUUGGAAGGAUUUGGAAGUGAAGGUUGCGGCAAUUAUCAGGCUUUGUUUGGCUGAUGACAUGAUGUACCAUGUCAUGGAUGAGGAAUCACUAGCAGCAAUUUGGUUGAAAUUGGAAAGUCGGUAUAUGUCUAAGUUGUUGACGAAAAAAGUUGUAUCUUAAGCAGAAACUAUAUGAUCUUAAGAUGGCAGAAGGCUCAUAUCUAAGCCCGACAUAUCAACGUGUUCAAUCAGAUCAUCAGUGAUUUGAAGCGAAUUGAUAUGAAGUUCGAAGACGAAGACAAGGCGUUGAUGUUACUAAAUUAUCUUCCCGCUUCUUCUAUGUAUGAAAAUCUGGUUACAACUCUGAUGUGGAGGAAAGAAACUCUUGAUUUGGAGGAGAUCACGAGUAUUCUUUUAGGAUUCAAUUAAAGGAAGAAAACCAAUGAUGAGAGUUCUCAAGGUGAAAGGCUUGUGGCAAAGAGUAAUUCGAAACAUGGGAGAAACAAGUCCUAGAGCUAAUUGAGUAACAAUAAAUCUUGAUCUAAAUCUAGGAAGAGAAAUGACAUGCAAUGUUAUAAGUGCAGAAAAAUGGGGCACAUGAAACGAGAUUGUCUAGAGAAAAAUAAAGGGAGCUCGAUAUCGGAAAAUAAAGAGGGUUCAUCAAAGUCUACGAAUGUAGUGGCAUAAGAAGACUCAGAGAGUGGUGAUAGUGAUAUGCUAUUGGUUUCAUCCAAUUUAGAUCAUCUUACAGAUUAUUGGAUCUUGGAUUCAGCAUGCUCAUAUCAUAUGACACCCAAUAAAGAUUGGUUUAACACUUACAGGUCAGUAAAUUCUGGUUCUGUUCUGAUGGGUAAUGACGCUUCAUGUAAAGUUGCUGGAAUAGGGAAUAUCAUAAUUAAAAUGUUUGAUGGUGUUGUUAGAACAUUGUGUGAUGUUAGACAUGUAUCUGAUUUAAGUAAGAAUCUUAUUUCCUUAGGGACUUUAGACUGUAACGGGUUUAGUUACAAGUCUACAAAUGGAGUAAUGAAGGUGAGUAAAGGUGCUAUGAGAGUGAUGAAAAGGUAAAAACUAGCAAGAAAUAUUUAUAAACUAUUAGGUACCACAAUUGUAGGUGAAAUUGCAACCACAAAGUUUGAGUCAAACAGUACGGUCUUGUGGCAUAUGCGGUUAGGGCAUAUGGGUGAGCGUGGGAUGAUGGAGCUUCAUAAGAGAAAUCUGUUGAAGGGUAUCAAAAUAUGUAAACUUGAUUUCUACAAGUAUUGUGUUUUUGGGAAACAGAAGAAAGUGUAGUUCAAGACAGCCACACACAAGACAGAGGAGUUUAUUGAUUAAGUUCAUACAGACGUUUGGGGACUAGUAAGGGUAGCAUCAUUGGGAGGAAAUAGGUAUUUUAUGAGUUUUAUUGAAGAUUACUCACGAAAGGUUUGGGUGUACUUCAUGCGGCACAAGUCGAAAACAUUUGCCAAGUUUAAGUUGUGGAAAGCUAAAGUAGAAAACCAGACAGGGAGAAAUAUAAAAUGCCUCAGGUCAGAUAAUGGUACUAAAAAUAUAGAUUGAAAGUUCACGGAAUUGUGUGAGCAACAUGGGAUUAAGAGACAUUUCACAGUACGUAAGACACCACAACAGAAUGGUGUAACAGAAAGGAUGAAUAGAACAAUAGCUAAAAGAGCUCGAUGUCUCAAAUUGAAUGUAGGCCUUGAAAAGAAAUUUUGGGCAGAAGCAGUGAACAUGGCAUGUUACUUGAUCAACAGGUCACCCAGAGCAGCAUUAGAUGGGAAAGAAGCAAAGGAGUUAUGAACAGGCAAUCCGAUAGAUUACUCUAGUUUGAGAGUAUUUGGGAACCCAGCCUAUGUGCACAUUCCUAAUGAGGAGAUAUCAAAGCUUCAUGUGAAGUCUAGACAAUGUAUUUUUCUAGGGUAUUAGAAAGGGGUGAAAGGUUUCAAGCUCUAGGAUCCAAAGGCAAACAAGGUGGUGAUCAGUAGAGAUGUGAUUUUUGAUGAGAAAGGCAUGUUAUAGUGUACUCAGAAAUGAGAGAAACAGGAACCAAAAAAUUGUAGCAAUAAUGAGCAGUUGAUACAUGUGGGAUUAGAGACCCAUGAUAUAGAGGAUCAUGCUCGAAAUACGGGGAAGUCUAGUUCAAAAUAUCAGUAGCAUCACAGUAUAGUCAUAGACAAACACAAACGCACUAUUAGGCCACUUACCAGGUAUGGUUUUGAAGAUUUGGUUUCUUAUGCAUUGAUUACUAGUAGCAGGGAUCCUACUACUUUUCAAGAGGCAAUACACAACCAAGAGAAAAGUAGAUGGAUGGGUGCUAUGGUGGAAGAGAUUCAGUCUUUGCAUAAAAACUAGACAUGGGAUUUGGUGGAGCUUCCCAAGGGAAAGAAAGCAAUAAGAUGUAAACAGGUGUACAAGAAGAAAAAAGCGAUUUCAGAAAAAAAAAAAAAUGGUGAAAAUUUCAAAGCUUGUUUAGUAGCAAAAGGUUACUCACAUAGGAAAGGGGUUGACUAUGAUGAGAUCUUCUCUCCCAUGGUCAAACACACUUCCAUCAGGACAGUGUUGGGUUUAGUAGCCCAUUUUGACAUGCAAUUGGAGCAAAUGGAUGUAAAGAUAGCUUUUCUUCAUGGUGAUUUGGAGGAGUUGGUCUAUAUGGUACAACCAAUAGGGUUUAUUCAACCUGAACAAGAACAGUACUUGGUCUGUAAAUUGAGUAAAUCACUUCAUGGGUUGAAGCAGUCCCGUGCUACAAACGAUUUGACUCCUACAUGAUUAGGAUUGGCUACAAGAGAUGUAAUCGGAGCGCAAUCAUAACUCAUGAGCCAAAAUUUUCCUUUUGUAAUUCAAACGUAACCGGAGCGCAAUUAUUUUCUUUCGUUCCUCACCAGGUACAACGUUUCUGAAAGAGUAUUGAUAUUGAUAUAUCAUGCGAAUCAAAAUCGUCUCAUGGUGUGAAGGCAUGCAGCUGGGCGGCAGACAAUUAAUUAAAUGCAGGUCUAGAAUGAUCUCAACAUUCAACCGACUGAGAAUGAUUGAAGCAUAUUGACUUUGAAUUUGUAAUUGGUGCAGAAACAGUCUGCAUGGCUACCAGCCUGCCACAUGCUCUGUGUGGUUACCCUCCACGCCAUGUGUUUAUCUGUCGAACUUUGUUAAUUGGAUUCAAACCUAUUCCCUCGUCAUCAAAUCAAUCUUUUUGUACGAAAAUAGACUAUUAUUAUACUCGAUGCGCGUGCCAAUAAAAUUUUGACGGGUGACAAUCAAAAGUUAUUUCUAGAUGACGAGGCCUCCAUGGAAGAAGCUCUAACCUUGAAGGGUGAAAACAGUGGUUAUCAAGGGUGAAAGGGCUACCUACCUACAUAAUUAACAAAUGGCUUCUUUUGGUUUUUGGGAGGAAUGAUUUGAUUUUCUUAAUAUUAUCAUUAAGCCUUUUAGGGAUUAUAAGGAUUGACCAGGAUGAUGAUUAAUCAAAAGUUAAGGCAAAUUUUGAAUCUAAGCAUACCAGCUAUUUAUUUUAUUUUGUUUAUAUCAUAGGUAAUCUCACGAACCUAGGUAUAUUCCUUAAACCAAGUGUACGUCUUGUUUGUCUGUGUGUCUUUUUCUGAUUCUACUAUUCUGUUUGUCAAAUUAGAAGAACCUUCAUACAUCAAAACCUACAUCAUUUACGCAUGGCUGAUAGUAAAAAAGAUGAUGUAUCAAGCUAUUUGUAAAAGCUAACUUGAACAAUUUUCCCAAAGAUCCCGGAUGAGAGAACCUUCGAUCGGGAGGAUAAAUGACUCCAAGUAGCAUUCAUGUAUGAUUUAUAUUUGAUCCCAUUGAUGAUACCUAUCAUUCUUCAUCGGCUAUCUUUGUUACUCUUCUCCUUUACUUUGAAAAAAUAGAGUUGCUUACUCAAGUACAAGAUGUCUAUUAGACAAAUAAAUGACCCACCUGCAAAAGUGAAGCUCUAUCAAAUGAACUAUAUCACCUUGAGCCAAAUGAAGCAUGCAUAAAUGAAUCAGAUGAUUAAUAUACAACACAGAAAUAUCACUUGUAGAAACCUUGGUGAAAUUAGUUGAAAUAAUACCAGCCACCCUCCAAUUAAUUUAUAUAGCCUUUUGGACUUCUAUGCCUUUCACACAUCAUUUUAAGGUCAAAUAUUUCAACAUCUGAACUACAUCUCAGACCAUUAAAAAUCUUAUCAAAAUUGAUGUAAAGUCCCACAUGAAAGACGACCAGCGACAACCUCCCUAGCUAUCAAUUCAUUUAAGUAUGUUAUGGACUACAAUACUUGACAUUCCAAUAUAAUUUCAGCCUCAUCUACAUGCUGAGCUGAGUAUCAUGGAGCCUGUAGGUGAUCUGGAUUCAAGACAGCAGGCUCUCAAGCCUAUUCAAACAAAGAGAUCAGCAGGAAGAGAAGUAGAAGGAGAUGGCGAAAAACCCGAGGAUAUCGAAGAAGAAGAAGAAGAACCUCUGAGUCCAGCUGCUCGAAUAUUUCAUGAACCUUGCUUCAAUGUCUAAGUCAUAGCCAUUGCUGGGUGCAAAACCAGAAUCAAUGUUGAUCUUUUUCCAGUAAAGAAGACCUCGAAUCCUGAUCCGGUAAACUCUGGCAGGAUUUGGUGGACAAUUCUAAAUUUUAAAUAGUUUGAUAACAUUCUAAAUUUUCAAAAAAAAACCUUUUAUUCCAAAAAACAAAAACUAAUUUAGAAAACCAUUCCCAAAAAAUAACUUUUUUAGAAUGGGUAUCUAAAAUAUUCCUAACGUUCCACGUAGCAACUAUGUGACAUAAAGUACCAUAAAUUUAGAAAUAUUUUAAGGUACCAUAUUUUAAAAAAAUAUUUUUAAAAAAUAUUUUAAAAAUUUUAUAUAUUUGUUUAUAUUAUAAGAUCCUUGUAUUUAUAUCUCAAAUUACUCAAAAAUAUCCUUGAAUGGUUUCUAUUGAUUUAAAAAGUAGUAGAACAAUUUAUUUCUUCUGACAGUGUCGGUCGCUUUGGGCAUUUUUUACAAUUAAAACAUGGCAUGAAAGUUUGGUACGGUGGUUGAAAUUAUCAUAAAUUUGAAAGGGAUGCCCAAGUUCCGUCCAAAUCUCAAAAACGAUAGUUGGUUCAAUUACUCUCCAUGUGCAAGCCAAAUUCUUUCCUGGCAAAACCCUCAAAUCCAUUUCUUGGAACUAAAAUUUGUACCGUCUCUAUCAUUAAUCCUAAAUUCAAUUUGAAAUUCCAAACUUCAAUAUUAUGAGUUCGAAAUUAAUUUCCAAUGUGGUCUUAUAACUCAUAUGCCACUGGAUUCUAGAUAGGAGCAGAACCAACAAUGGUGGAGACACGCCAUCUUUCCAUUUCCAUUGAUGACUUGAAGGGGGGCCUACCUACCUACAUACCUAUUAAUAAGUGGCUUCGGUUUAUUUAGAUAAUGAACAUAUACCCAAAAAAAGACUUUAUUAAGAGAAGUAUAUAAAAAAGAUAGAACAUUAAACUAUUCGUAAAGACCGAUUUGAUCGACUUUUCUUGAGAUCCUAAAUGAGGAAACCUUAGGAAGGGUAAAAGACUCCAAGUAACAGUCACGUACGAUAUCAGCUUUUCCCCUUUCCUUUGACAGAUAAGAGUUACCUACUCAAUUGCAGGAUGUUUAUUAGACAAAUAAAUGCCCCAGCUACAAAAGUGAAGCUCUAUCAUGUGAGCUAUAUCACCUUGAGCCAAAUGAAGCAUGCAUAAAAAAGAAUUAGAUGCUUCUUUAUAUAUGUUUGUAUAUGUAUAACACAUGAUAAGAUCAUUCAUGCAGCCUGUUGAUUUUCUUACAACAAUUCUUAGUGAAAAAAUUAGAAAAAAACAAAAGAAAACACACAAAUUUAAUGUGAUUUGACAAAUUGUCUAUAUCCACGAGAAUAAAAAGGAAGACUUUUAUUACAUCUAAAAUUAAGAUUAUAUAAAAAGGUAUUUAUAUUAACCAUCAAAUAUUAAAAUUCUAAAAAUACCCUUAAAUCGUACCAUGAAGGGGCGUUGCCUCUCGCACCCCCAACAUAUCGUUCACCCUCAAUAAUAAAAAUAUGAAUUUGAAUGAAAAAUGUCAUCAUUCCACUAUGUUCUACUUCAAUAUUUAACCAUUUUUCUCCAUAUAUAUAUAUAAAAGCCACAUAAUACAACACAGCCUUUUUAAAUGUGUUUCACACAUCAGUUGAAGGUCAAACAUUUCAAUAUCUCAACUAUAUGAUGCGCAAUUAAAAAUCUUAUCAAAAUUGAUGUAAAUCAUGUUACUGGUGUCCCACAUGAAAGACUUAUGUGUCCUAGCGCUCCAACUAGCAACAACCUUCCUGUCAUUUCAUUUAAGUACGUUGGACUACUGCUAUAUAUGUGUUUGCACAAUACUUGACAUUCCGAUAUAGUUUCAGUCUCAUCCAAAAGCUGAGCUGCGUGUCAUGGAGCCAGUAGGUGAUCUGGAUUCAAGACAGCAAGCUCUCAAGCCCAUUCAAACAAAGAGAUUAGCAGCAAGAGAAGUUGAAGGAGAUGGCAAAAAACCCGAGGAUAUCAAAGAAGAAGAAGAAGGAGAAGCUUUGAGUCCAGUUGGUCGAAUUUUUCAUGAAACUUGCUUCAAUGUCUAUGUCAUAGCCAUUGCUGGGUUCAAAAUCAGAAUCAAUGUGGAUGUUGUUAAAGCCAAUUUGGAGCACACUCUGCUUAAGCACCCUCGUUUCUCUAGCUUGCAGGUAUGAAAAAAGCUUUUUGGUACAUUAAUUAAUAUCUUAGCAUGAUAUAUAUCUAAACCAAGCUUCUUUUACGUAAGGCUUUAUUUGAAUGCCUGUCCUAUUUUUUUGUUUUUAAAAGAUAAAAACUCAUCUCCUCUUGGCUUAUCAAUUUAUUUUUUUAUAUUAUCUCGAUUAGGUGAAGGACGUGAAAAAGGAUGGAGGGAUGAAAUGGGUUCCAACAAAGGUGGACUUGGACAAGCACAUUAUAAUACCAAGCCUCCACCACACCAUUUCUUCACCAGACAAGAUGGUGGAAGACUACAUCUCCAAUCUCAGUAAAACCUACAUAGACUACUCUAAGCCUCUUUGGGAGCUCCAUAUUCUCAACAUUAAGACCUCGGAUGCCGAGUCUGUCGCCGUUUUCCGAAUCCACCAUUCCCUGGGUGACGGCAUGUCCCUCAUGUCUCUUGUCCUCUCUUGCUCCCGUCAAAUCUCCAACCCGAAAGCUCUCCCAACUUUGCCAGCGAAAAAGACUUCGAAUCCUGAUCCGGUAAACUCCGGCAGGAUUUGGUGGACAAUUCGACUGGUUUGGAAUACUAUUAUAGAUGUUUUGAUGUUUCUUGCCACAACUCUCUUCUUAAAGGAUACCAUGACACCACUCAGCAAUGGUUGGAAAAAGGGAGGUGGGCAUGUGCCAAGGAGGUUUGUUUACCGAACCGUUAGUCUUGAUGAUAUUAAACUAAUCAAGAAUGGGAUGAAAACAGUAAGUUGAUUCCAAAAACUGGCUCCACCCUUUAAGUUUCCUUGUAUACUUGUGCUUUAAAUAGAAACAUAAUACAACAUUUUCAUUUUUAAAAAUAAGACAAAUUUCAAUUAAAAUAAUAAUAAUGAUUAUUUUAAAAAAUAAUUUAAAAUAAAUAUAAAUUGAUUACCUAAUUUAUGUUUUUUAUCAAAUUUAUUAUUACUUUUUUUUAUAUUUUUAUUUAAAAAUAAAAUAGCCUACACGUGAAAUAUAUAACAAUGUAAACUUAUGGGUUUACAUUAUUUAGACUUAAUAAAUCAUAUUGUUUUGGGGCAUUGCAGACUAUUAACGAUGUUGUAAUGGGAGUGUCAUUGGCUGGUCUUUCUCGAUAUCUCAAUAGAAGAUAUGGUAAGCUUUCAUUAAUUCUCAGUUCAAUUUCUCUACCUACCCAACCAUUGUAUCCAAGCUUACAAGUCACAUUGAAGCUAUGUAUAUAAUAUAAUCAAUUGGGAAAUUUGGAAGAGAGCUAGAUAAAAUAAUCUUUAAACUAUAUGAGUAGAAACUCUUUAACAUGUGUUCCAUUUAUUAAUUGCAGGUGAGACCAAGGAAGAUAAAGGAGCCACCCAAAAGAAAAAUAAUCUUCCGAAGAAUAUUCGCCUGAGGGCAACUCUUAUGAUGAAUAUAAGACCAUCACCAGGGCUUCAUGUGAGUGAUUUUCAUAUUCAAUUUGAAAGAAUAUUUGUAGGAAAAUGUGGCUGCUGUGUGGCCAACUUUAAGAUGUGGCCAACUUUAAGAUAUAAUAGGGAUUUUGUUUUCAACAGCUUUUAACCUCUGUUUUCAAAGUGUAUAGAACAACAACGGUUAAGGUCAUGUUUGGAUGCAUUUCUUACUUUUUAUUUUUAAACAUAAAAAAUAGUAUAUAAAACAUAGGAAUUAUUAACGAAAAAAAAUAGAAAAAAAAAUGAAGGAAAAUAAAAUUUAGAUUCAAAAUCAAUAAUUUAUUUUUAUAUGUUUUUUCAAACUCAUUCUACUUAGUUCUUCUAUCAUAUAAAGAUCAAAUAAUUUUUAAAUGUAUACAUUUUUAACUAAUUUUAAUUAUAUUUAAUUUUCUUUAAAAAAAAUUUAUGGUGAAGUCAAAUAUGAGAAAACUAUUUUUUUUAGCAUUUUUUUUAUUUUUUUAUUACUUCCCGAAAACCAAACAACCAAUAUAUUACUUUGAAAAGUGUAUAAGAGUAUGAAGUUAUGUUUUAAUAGUAACUUUAAUGUUUAAAAAGUUCUCUCAAUAAGAGGAUUAUAAUAUACAUUAAACUCGAUACUCUGAUUAUUAGUGGAUAUAACUAUCAAAAUGCUUUCAAAACACAUUUUCCAUUUAAAUUAAAAUAUUAAUUAAUUUUCUAUAGAAAUAUCUUCAAUAAAUUGUUAGUGAAAAAAAAAUGUUUUAACAACAAUCACCUUAAAAUCCUUCAUGUGCUACAAAACAAAUUGAUUGGUUUAUUCAUCAUGAAAUUUCAUGGUAAUUAGGCUUUAGCGGAGAUGAUGGAGAAGGGGUCUAAAGCGAAAUGGGGAAAUUGGAUUGGAUCUAUGCUCCUCCCUUUUGCCAUUGCCUUAUAUGAUGACCCUUUAGACUAUGUUCGUCAAACUAAAGCCACAAUCGAUCGAAAGAAGCAUUCUCAUGAAGCUAUAUUUACAUGUUUCAUUAUUAAGACAGUUCUCAAAUUAUUUGGUGCUAAGGUAUGAAUUUCCUUAUCCUUAAUAUUGAAAUAGAUCACCUAGGAAAUUAUACAUUUUCAAGCUCCUCUUCUUCCAAAAAAAAUAAUAAUAAUAAAAUCUAACUUCUAUUUUUUGUUUUCUUUCCUUUCUACUUUCUUCUUGUGAUCUUACCUUGGAGAUCUUUUUUUUGGCAUGGCAAAUAGGUUGCAGCAUUUUUAUACCAUAGAGUUAUGAAUCACACGACAAUGUGCUUCUCAAAUGUGGUUGGACCUAUGGAAGAAAUCGGUUUUUAUGGCCAUCCAAUGGCUUUCCUUGCUCCAAGCGUUUACGGCCAACCACAAGUAAGUCUAUAUAUAUAUAUAUGUGUGUGUGUGUGUGUGUGUGUGGUUAUUUGAUUAAAUGGGUCAUUGAAAACUCAAAUAUGAAAAAAUGACCUUUGUGGUUUGAAAGCAUGAACCAUAAUCGAGAAAUUAUAUUUGUAUUCAUCAAUUUUUUAAUUACAUUUAUCAUAUUUAUACAUUCACUUUAAAAUACUAACCGUAUUAAUACAUCACCUACAAAUUUCCAAUAUUAUAAAAACACCCUUCCUAUUCUUCUCUUUUUUACACAUUCACUUUAAAAUACUAACCGUAUUAAUACAUUACCUACAAAUUUCCAAUAUCAUAAAAACACCGUUCCCAUUCUUCUCUUCUAUACCUAUCUUUUUUUUCUUUUUUUUUCUAUUAACUUUUUUUCUUCUCAAUAAUAAAUCCUAAGAGAAACUAUCUUUUAGGGCUUAUUCUUCAUGUAAAUUUUGAUUAAAAAAACAUUUUGUAAAAAUAGUUGAAAAACAAAUAGAAUUUUUUUUAUAAAUAAUUAGAAGUGAGAAAUCAUGAAAAAGUUCAAAAGAAAUAAUAUUAUGACUGACUUUUUAUUAUGUGUUUUGUUGUAGGGAUUGAUGAUUCAUUUCCAAAGUUACAUCAAUAAAAUGACAUUUAUUCUUUCAGUUGAUGAAGAAAUAAUUCCUGAUCCUAAUCGAUUAUGUGAUGAUCUUGAAGAGUCACUCAAGUUUAUCAAGGAUGUUGUUAUUGCAAGAGGUCUUGUCUAGAAAAAUUCCAUAAAAUAAGAAUGAUUAUUACAUGUUACAUCCAUAUAUGAACUAUGAAGAUUUGUGCUUUUAUGGUCAUUUGUGGUUUUAAUCGAGUGUGUUUUAUAAAUCUAAAGUGAAAUGUUUUAUUUUCGAAUAAAUUUUGAGCUUUAUAAUGUUAUAUAUAUGUCACAUGCACGUAUGCUUGGAAAUUUUUAUAUGAGAAUAAGACAUGUGGGUCAUGCCUUGUUUUGGGAAUGGGCCUAACUUGGGCCAGCCUUGGGCUUGAGCCUAAUUAGGUCUUAAGUUGGGCUAAUUAGUACGAUGAAGUCAAAAACUAGCAAAAUUUUGGGCUCCAUGAUAUCUCAAAAUUUAAAAUUGAUUAAAGCCAUUAAUAUCGGGCCACAUCAACGGCUAAAGUUGCAAGGCGACAACCGCCAUCACUUGGCAACUCCCAAGCCCUGUUGCUCUAAUGGCUAGAGAUAUUAAUCCGCCUGAACCCUAGAAAAAACUCAUAGAUAUAUAUAUAGAGAGAAAAUAUAUUAUACUUAAAAACAAAUUUAAAAUAAUGAUUUAUAUACUCAAAAACAGUUUAAUAUAAUGAUUUAUUUAGUUAAAUAUAUUUAAGGAUAUAAAAAAAUCAUGACACAGAUAUGAUUACUUUUUAAUUAUUUAAAAAUAUUUAAAAUAUUAUUUUCCAGUUUAUACUUUUCUUAUAUUUAAUAUUAAAAAUUUUAAUUUAAUUACAAAAUAGAUGAUGUAGUUUGAUAAAUUUAAAAAAAUAAUUAAAAUUUAUUUUUUUAUUAAGUUUAAUAUUUUAGAUUAUAAUAAAUCGAUUUUAUGUGCUUUUAUAAAUAUCAAUCAAGUUUAGCUUGGUAGUGAAGUGGCGUGAUAAAAGUUGUUUUCUCUUUAUUAAAUCCAACCUUUUUCUUUAAUAAUUUUAAAAACUUCAAUGUGUUGUAAAAUAAGGACAAAUAUAAUGCAAAUCAAAGUAGUAGAGAUAAAAUAUGUCUUACAUUGAUAUAUAAUAUGAAAGAAGGAAUCAAAGAAGAGAAUUGAGAAAGUGAAAGAAAGAGAGAGAGAGAAUGAGAAGAAGAACUUUUCUUUUUUUUCUUGGGAUGUCUAUUACAGGAAACGGGAAGCCCUUUUAUAGGUUUUUUAAAUGGCUUCCAUUAAUAUCCUCAUUAAUGAAUAUUAAUGAAACUCAUAAAUAACAUUAAUGGUUUCCAUUAAUGAGUAUUAAUGGAAGUCAUAAAUAAUACUUAAUUAACAUUAAUGUGGUGACAUUCAUUACUACAAUUAUAACACUUCCUCUUGGAUGUUCACCACAUUGAAAGAAUAUGCCUCAUUAAAACCUUGCUAGUAAAAAACCCUAUAGGAAAAACCUAGCGAAGGAAAAAGAGUACAAUAUUCUUUUCUUGGUAUAUUAGGAUUGCCUCAUUAAAAACCUUGUUAGUAAAACCCAGUAGGACAAAACCUGGACGAAGGAAAAAAUAGUACAGUACACUAACACCCUUUUACAAGCAUACUCCCCCUCAUGUCGAUAUCCUUGAGUUGACGCAUUCCAAUUCUGUAUAUUAACUUCUUGAAUGUUGAGGUUGGCAAUGAUUUUGUGAAUAAAUCUGUUAGAUUAUUACUUGAGCGUAUUUGUUGCACAUCAAUUUCACCACUUUUCUGGAGUUCAUGUGUAUAAAAGAAUUUUGGUGAAAUGUGUUUAGUUCUAUCUCCUUUAAUAUAACCCCCUGUUAUUUGUGCAAUGCAUGCAACAUUAUCUUCAAAUAAUAUUGUCGGGUCACCUUUGAUAGAGGAGAGUCCACAUGAUUCCCGAAUAUGCUGGAUCAUAGAUCUUAGCCAUAUACAUUCACGACUUGUUUCAUGAAUUGCCAGUAUUUCUGAAUAAUUUGAUGAUGUGACCACCAUUGUUUGUUUGACAGAUCUCCAUGAAAUAGCAGUACCAUUGCAAUUAAACACAUACCCUGUUUGUGACCUGCCUUUAUGUGGAUCUGAAAGAUAUCCUGCAUCUGCAUAUCCAAGCAAUUGUUGCUUUGAUUCCCUUGAGUAAAAUAAACUCAUAUCAAUAGUUCCACGAAGAUAACGCAAUAUAUGUUUGAUACCAUUCCAAUGUCUUCGAGUUGGAGCGGAACUGUAUCUUGCCAAUAAAUUAACAGAAAAAGCAAUGUCUGGACGUGUACAAUUGGCAAGAUACAUAAGUGCACCAAUAGCACUAAGAUAUGGUACUUCAGGACCAAGUAACUCUUCAUCUUUUUCGCAAUGACGAAAUGGGUCAUUUUUCACAUCAAGUGAUCGGACAACCAUUAGAGAACUUAAAGGAUGCGCUUUGUCCAUAUAAAAACGCUUCAAAACUUUCUUAAUGUAUGUUGAUUGAUGUACUAAAACUCCAUUUGGAAAAUGCUUGAUCUGUAAGCCAAGACAAAAUUUUGUUUUUCCAAGAUCUUUCAUCUCAAAUUCCUUUUUCAAGUAAUUUGUUGUUCUUGUGAGCUCUUCAGGAGUUCCAACAAGAUUUAAGUCAUCAACAUACAUUGCAAUAAUUGUAAAUCCGGUUUCUGAUUUCUUAAUGAAAAUGCAUGGGCAUAUAGGGUUAUUCACAUACCCUUCUUUUAGCAAGUAUUCGCUAAGGCAAUUGUACCACAUGCGUCCAGAUUGCUUUAAUCCAUACAAGGAUCGUUGUAACUUGAUUGAGUACAUGCUACGAGGCUUUGUGUUAUUUGCUUCAGGCAAUUUAAAUCCUUCAGGGAUUUUCAUGUAUAUAUCAUUAUCCAUGGAUCCGUAUAAAUAUGUUGUAAUAACAUCCAUGAGACGCAUAUCUAGUCCUUCUAAGACUGCCAAACUAAUUAAGAAACGAAAUGUGAUUGCGUCCAUGACGGGAGAAUAUGUUUCCUCGUAGUCAAUACCAGGUCUCUACGAGAAACCUUGUGCUACUAAUCGCGCUUUAUAUCUUAUGAUCUCAUUAUUUUCAUUGUGUUUUCGUACAAAUACCCAUUUGUACCCAACAGGCUUUACAUCUUCAAGUGUUUGGACUACAGGUCUAAAAACUUCUCGUUUUAUUAAUGAGUUUAAUUCUGCCUGUAGAACUUCUUUCCAUAUUAGCCAAUCAUUUCUAUGUCGACAUUCUUCCACAUUUCGUGGUUCGGGAUCUUCAUCAUUUCUUAUGAUAUCAGAGGCCACUUGGAAAGCAAAAAUAUUGUUAAUAACAAUAUUAUUUCGAUCCCAUUUUUCUCCCGUUUGUACAUAACCUACUGAGAUCUCACAAUUUUCAGGUACCUGUGCCUCUUCAGGGGCUUCUUGUUCAAUAUGUGCCUCUUCAGGGGCUUUCUGCAUUAUUUGUGCCUCUUCUAGGGCUAUAGAUUUAUCAAUUUUAAGCUUAUCAGUUAUUUUGAUUGUCUCUUCUAGAGUGCCAAGUUUUUCUUGGGUUCUCCUCUUCCAGGGAGUUACAUCAUUUGAGCCGACAGGUCUACCACGCUUUAGGUGUAUCUUAGAUUCAUUUGUUAACUGUCCUAUAGGGACAUCAAUCCGUGCUGGAAUAUUUACAGCCGGGAUAUGUGACUUUGUCAUUUUCUUUGUAUCAAUGAAUGCAUCUGGUAAUUGAUUUGCAAGAUUUUGCAAAUGAAUGAUCCUUUGAACUUCUAGUUCACAUUGAUUUGUACGAGGAUCAAGAUGAGUCAUAGUAAAUGUCUCCCAACUAAUUCUCGUCGUUCUUCAGGAAUCGACUUUUCUCCCCCUAAUGAUAGGAAAACACUUUCAUUAAAAUGACAAUCCACAAAGCGGGCUGUAAAAACAUCGCCUAUCAAAGGUUCAAGAUAUCUUAUGAUAGAUGAAGAAUCAAAACCUACAUAAACCCCAAGUCUUCGUUAGGGACCCAUUUUAGUGCGUUGUGUAGGUGCAAUUGGUACAUAUACUGCACAACCAAAGAUUCGUAAGUGAGAGAUAUUUGGUUGUUUUCCAAGCACAAGUUGUGAAGGGGAGUAUUCAUGGUAAGUUGUAGGUCGAAUACGGACUAAAGCUGCAGCAUGCAUAAUAGCAUGUCCCCAGGCGGAAGUAGGUAAUUUGGUUUUCAUUAGUAAUGGUCGAGCUAUUAAUUGGAGACGUUUGAUGAAGGAUUCUGCUAAACCAUUUUGGGUAUGAGUAUAAGCAACAGGAUGCUCAAUAUUUAUCCCUACUGACAUGCAAUAGUCAAUGAAUGUUUGAGAAGUAAAUUCGCCAGCAUUAUCAAGACGUAUUGUCUUAAUUGGAUAAUCUGGAAAUUGUGCUCGUAAUCUGAUUAUUUGUGCAAGGAGUCUAGCAAAGGCUACAUUACGUGUAGAAAGGAGACAAACAUAUGACCACCUAGUAGAAGCAUCUAUUAAGAUCAUAAAAUAACAGAAUGGUCCACAUGGUGGAUGGAUAGGCCCACAUAUGUCCCCAUGUAUUCUUUCUAAAAAGAUUGGUGACUCAGAUAUGACUUUAGUAAAAGAUGGUCUGAUUAUCAAUUUACCUUGUGAGCAGGCAGCACAUGAGUAUUCAUUGGGCAAAAGAAUCUUCUGGUUCUUUAGUGGAUGCCCAUGUGAGUGUUCGAUUAUUCGACGCAUCAUUGAAGACCCUGGGUGACCUAGCCUGUCAUGCCAAAGGACAAAAACUUUUGGGUCGUUGAACUUCUGGUUCACGACAACAUAUGAUUCAAUAGGCUUUAUAGUUGUAUGAUACAACCCAGAGGAGAAAGCCGGGAGUUUUUCCAUUAUAAGCUUCUGGCCAGAUAUAAUGGAAGUAAUGUAAAGAUAUUCUACAUUAUCUUCAUUCAUAGUUUCAAUAUGAUAUCCAUUUCUGCGGAUAUCUUUAAAACUGAGCAAAUUUCUUCUGGAUUUGCUAGAAUAUAACGCGUCAUUUAUAUGGAAUCUAGUUCCAUUUGGCAACGUUAUGUUUGCUCUUCCAGAACCUUCAACUAAGUUUGUAGUACCAGAUAUGGUACUUACAUUAGCUUUUAUUAAUGUCAAUUCAAGGAAAUAUCUUUUAUCUCGAAGAAUUGUGUGCGUGGUCGCACAGUCUGCGAGACAUACAUCAUCCUCAUUCAUCUUGAGACCAAAUAACACAUGGACUUCAAAUAUAACAAAAAAAACAAGACAUAAUGUAAAUAACAAAGUAAAUCAGAUGUAAAUAUAAGACAUAAUAAUAUAUUAUUUCAUAUAUAAAGUAACAUCAAUCAAUGUUAAUUUUCUCAUCAUUUAUCAAAUGGUCUGUUUUUUCAUUGAGACCUCCAAAGAAAUCAAUGUCAUAGUAGGUUAGGUUCAAUCCAUCACCAUCGGUAAAGUUCAUCUCUAUCUCUUUUCCUUUAGCUUUUAUUGAUGCUUGGUAAAGGUCGACCAAAUGUUUGGGCGUACGACAGGUACGCGACCAAUGCCCCUUCAUACCACAUCUAUAACAAUUAUUCUCAUGGUUCUUAGGAGGUUUAUCUUGUAAACGCUUCCCAUUUUCUUGUAUUGUCUCAGUAUUGUUCCACUUCUGGUGGUGCAAUGAGGCUUUCAUUUUCUGAGAAUUAUUACUAUAAGAACCAUGGUAUCGAGAAUUUCUUCCUCGUCCACGUCCACGAGUUUGGGACGAUAUUGCAUUCACUUCAAGGAAUGGUUCAGAUCCAGUUGGACGAGACUGGUGAUUUCUCAUCAAAAGCUCAUUAUUUUGUUCAGCAACAAGAAUACAUGAUAUUAAUUCAGAAUAUUUUGUAAAUCUACGCUCUCGAUAUUGCUGUUGCAGGAGCACAUUCGAGGCAUGAAACGUAGUAAAAAUUUUCUCUAACAUGUCUUCCUCUGUGAUUUUUUUUCUCCACACAGCUUUAAUUGAGAGCUGAUUUUGAAAAGUACAGAGUUGUAUUCACUAAUAGUUUUAAAAUCUUGCAACCUUAGGUGCAUCCAAUCAUAUCGAGCUUUUGGGAGAAUCACAGUUUUCUGGUGGUCAUAUCUUUCCUUCAAAUUAUUCCAUAGAGUAAAAGGGUCUUUUAUCGUAAGAUACUCAUUUUUUAAACCUUCAUGGAGGUGAUGGCGAAGGAAAAUCAAUGCUUUUACGCGAUCCUGCAGGGAUGCUUGAUUUCCUUGUUUAAUCGUAGCUCCAAGGUUCAUUGCAUCAAGAUGUAAUUCAGCAUCAAGGAUCCAAGAUAGAUAGUUCUUUCCCGAAAUGUCAAGUGCCACAAAUUCGAGUUUUGUGAUAUUCGACAUUAUCAAAUAACUUCAUAUAUAUGACAAACAAUAUUAUUAAAAUCAGUUAUAAUAACUUGAUAGCAUUGAUAUAACUACGAUUAUAAACAAAAUCAAAUAAUUUGUUUAUAACUUUUAACAAUAUGUAACAAAACAAAUUAACAAUAAUAUAAAUAUGUAAAAUUUUAUUCUAUAUAAAUAACUUCAAGUUUAAGAUACGAGAAUUACCUUCAGAGCAAUUCGUGUUGAUAACGUGUUGUAAAAUAAGGACAAAUAUAAUGCAAAUCAUAGUAGAGAUAAAAUAUAUCUUACUUUGAUAUAUAAUAUGAAAGAAGGAAUCAAAGAAGAGAAUUGAGAAAGUGAAAGAAAGAGAGAGAGAGAGAGAGAGAGAAUGAGAAGAAGAACUUUUCUUUCUUUUCUCGGGAUGUCUAUUACCAGAGACAGGAAGCCCUUUUAUAGGCUUUUUAAAUGGCUUCCAUUAAUAUCCUCAUUAAUGAAUAUUAAUAAAACUCAUAAAUAACAUUAAUGGUUUCCAUUAAUGAGUAUUAAUGGAAGUCAUAAAUAAUACUUAAUUAACAUUAAUGUGGUGACAUUCAUUACUACAAUUAUAACACAAUGUUUAUUUUUUAUUUUGUUUCUCUUGCAUUUAUUGCAGGCCAAACUUGUCACAAAAUACUUUGUCAAGUUCCUUUCUAAUCUCUCUCCCCUCUAGCAAUCUCCAAUGGACCCAGUCAUUCUCUCAAGCCUUCAAAAUCGACACAAGGACUAACAAAAUGUGUGGACAAUAACAUCACGAAUCAUGAAUAAUCAAUUGCAUGCCUUCCUGAUAUUAAAUAUUGAAUGUGAUGUUAGAAAAUUCUUAAAAUUACAAAUAAUAAAAUUGAAAAUUCAACAUCAUACCUUUAGCUAUGGUAAUCAAAUUCACAAUUUAUGGGAGUAAAUAAAAAAUAGAAGAAAAUUAGGGAUUCAUUGGAUAGUUCUUCCAAAACCUUAUGUCCAUGCACCAAUGGAAACUUAAUCAUAAACUUCUUAUUGUGAAUAGAGAUUUUUAUCCCUAUGAAGUUUUAACAUAUAAUAUAAUAUUUCUUGAUAUCUUCUUCCCAUAAAAAAAAAAAGAUAAAAUAAAUACUGAUGGGUAGUUACCAUUAAAAGAUGAGUCACAUGGUAGCUAGAUGUGUCUCACAUUUUAGGGAAAAUAAUGUCUCAAUGGAUUUAAUUUUAAAUGGAUCAUAAAAAUUGAAACAUUUAUUUUAUUUUAUUUAAAAUAAAAAAUGUUUCCAACAUGUCAGGCCGAUGCGCACACACGAGAUCCAUACUGUCACAAAUUCAUUUCCAAACUAGUUAUGAACCAUAACCUAAUUCAUUUCCAAACUAGUUAUGAACUAGAACCUAACUUCACCUGGCCUCCAUUUGCUGUGAUAUGUUGUCUUCAUGGUUAAUGUGUCAUCCCUAUGCUAAACAUUGAAAAAAGAUGUUAGGGGCAACUUACUUUAUCAAAUAUUUGAUUUAUGUACUAUCAUUUUGAUAGACAUUAAAAUUAAUUAUUUCUCAAAAAAAAAAAUUCAAUAGAAAAAAUCUCAAACCAAAGAAAAGUACUUAGCAUUAAACUCGAGAGAGUUGCACCACAUAUAUAUUUGUAGCUUAGGACCACGGGGUUCUCACAUCCAUCAAGUUUUCGUGCUUGAUUUGUGUAUUUGGCCGCCAAACAUACAGAAAUUGUAGCUCAAAAUCUACUGGUUUAAUUAAAGUGGCAGAUUUUAAAUUUUUAUUUAUUUCUUUGUGUAUGGACUUUUAAGGUUCAAAAUCAAGUGGGAAAGAGACAGCCCGCACCCUCAACUUUGCAUUGAGUUGGAUCUACUAAUUAAUUGGUAGCCAAUAAUCUUUUUUUUUCUUUCCUUCUGAUCAUACAUAUCCAUUUAGAAUUGAUAUUCAAGAGGAUGUCAAGACUCAGAUUUGUUUUUCUUUUCAGAUUUUCUUGGCUACCAAUCAUCAUAUCAAGAAUUUUACAUGAAAUAAAAAAUAAAAAAUAUCAAUAAUUUACUUUUUUUUAUCUGUAUUUCUAUCCCUUGAAUUGAAAGUGGAGCUAAGAAGAAAGAAAAUAUCCUAAACAACUAAAGUCCUUGAAAUUAAUCUCAAUUUGAUCUUAAAAAAAUAAAUAAGUGGAAGAAAACCAUAAACCUUAUUUCUGCAAGAUUCAAACCCAUCUAUAAUCCACAUAUUUCACCACUCCUAAUGUCCACACUCUUUAAACCACCUCACUUUUUAUACGAAAUGUUUGUUUAUAAAAGAAAAAACUCUAAAAUAAAAAAUAAAUAAUAAUAAUAAUAAAAAACAUGUUAAAAGGAAGAGAAACAUUUAUGUAGAAGAGUGGUUGUUGAUAUGACAAGUGAAAUGGUCAUUUUAAGGAAUAAUUAUAUGACUAGUGCGUGUAUUUAGAAAAAUUGUGGUCCUUUUCUCUAUAUUUUUUCAAAGUAAGAAUUGAAAACCCACUUUCCCUGUUAUUUAUACUUGUGUUUGUGGGUUGUUUUAAAAAUAAUUAUAAAGGUAAGGAGAAUGAUUGAUUAAAAAUAAAGCAUAAAAAAAAUUAUUUUUAAUAAAUAUUUAGAAACAUAAAAAAACAAGUUAAGAAUAUUCUAAACUCUCAAAUGAAGUUUUGUUCUAACAAUUUUUUAGAACAAGUUUCUAAAACAUUGUCAAAUAUAUCUUUAAUUUUCUAUUGAAAUGCCCAUGUUGCAAUUCAACUUGAUGACAUAAAGUAUAAUAAAUUUAGAAAUAUUUUUAAAGUAUCAUAUUUUAAAAAGAAUUUUUAAGAUAUGCUAUAGUCGUUUAUAUUAUAAUUUAUAUCUCAAAUUACUCAUAUUCAUGAAUGGUUUUUAUAUAGUUAUUUAAAAAGCAGUAUAACUUUAUUUCUUCUAACAAGGUGUAUUGCUAAUAUUGUAAUUAUAUACUUGAACAUAUUACUAUCUAAUAAAAUUUUAAAGGAUAUAACAUAUAAGGACUUGAAAGAAUAUUCUUGAAAAUUUAGCAUGUAUCUAAUUUUCAUGCCUAUCUAACCAAGAAUUUGAAAUGAAAAUGAAAUUCACUUUACAACUUUGAAUCAAAUCAUCCUCAAAUAAGAAAAGUUCCAUCACUAAUCUUUUGUGGAAAAACCUUCAAAUCCUUUCUUCUUUUUCUUCUUUUUAAUAAUUUAUAUGGUCUCUAUCAUUAAUCCUAAAUUCAAUUUGAAAUUCGAUUCUAGAAAUAAAUAGUAUGACUUCUUGUUCUAAACCCAGGUUGAUCCUAUAAAUAGGAGCACAACCAACAAUGGUGGAGGCACGCCAUCUUUCCAUUUCUAUUCGUCUGUUGUUUUUUCAUUCUGAAAGCAGCUAGCACCCUGGAAACCCAAUCAGGUUUGAAGGACGCACUUAAGCCUAUUAGAACUGCGCCCAAAGAAGGUGAUGAAAAGGGAAUGGUAGUUAAGCGUCAUGAUCAGGAAGAUCAUCAGCCAUUGAGUCCAAUGGCUCGUUUGUUUCAUGAACCUGACUGCGAUCUCUAUGUUAUCGGCAUGAUCGGCACGAAAACUCGCAUCGACCCUGAUGUGUUUAAAGCCAACCUGGUGCAUAGUCUCCUUAAACACCCUCGUUUCUCUAGUCUGCAUGUAGAAAUCUUGCAUGCCAGAAGGAAUGAACUUGCCAUUUAGUAAUUUAAAGCUACAUUGAACAUUUUUGAACUAAAAUGCAGCGGUAUUUCAAAAUCAGGUUAUGGAGGAGGAAAAGGGAGGAGAGACGAAAUGGGUUCCAACAAAAGUUGAUUUGGAAAACCACGUUAUAGUUCCAGACAUGUGUUCCGACAUGGAAACAUCAUCAGACAAGUACGUGGAAGACUACAUUUGCAACCUCACUAAAACAACCCUAGACUUUUCCAAGCCAUUAUGGGACCUUCAUCUCCUCAACGUGAAAACCUCCGACGCCGAGGCCGUCGCCGUUUUCAGGAUUCAUCACUCCCUCGGCGAUGGCACGUCUCUCAUGUCUCUUUUACUUGCCUGCACACGCAGAGCCUCAGAUCCCAUGGCUCUGCCUUCUGUUCCCAUGAUGAAGAAAUCAAAAUCAUCGGCUGGGUCUGGAAGGUGGUGGAAGGCUUUCAGACAGUACAGUCCCUGAUCCUCACCAGCUGUUUGAUGACCUUGAAGAGUCUUUCAACCUCAUCAAGAAUGCUGUGAUGGCUAGAGACUAAACUCCACAGAAUGUCAUGUAGCAAGGGCUAGGGUCAAUGUAAUUAAUAUAUAUAAUGUUCUGAAAUAAUUGUCUUAAGGUUCCUGCAAUAAUGAUGUUGUAUUAGAUGGCUCUCUACUAAGUAAAAAUGCCUCUCUACUGUAUUUUUAUCUUAAUUCAAGUUCAUAUUUUUUGGACUUUAUUUCAUUUUUAUUUACUGUAUUUUGAUGACUAAUUAUGGGUUCUUUCUAAUUUCAUCUUUUAAUUUUUUAUUCUCCUUUUUUUUUUUUUUUGAUUCCUCAGAUCUUUUGCAGUAUCUUAAUUUUAAGGCUUAAAUUCUACUUCAUUUCAUUAAUUUCUUCCAUAAUUUUUAAUUUUUAUUAUUAUUAAAUAAUUGUAAUAGCAUUAAUAUGAAGUUCUGGGCUGGCUUACAUAAGAACCCAUCUCCUAGUUUAUAUUGAUCCCUACCAUUUUAUUAAUGGAUAUAACUAUCAAAAUGCUUUCAAAACACAUUUGCCAUUUAAAUUAAAAUAUUAAUUAACUUUCUAUAGAAAUAUCUUCAAUAGAGUGUUAGUGACAAAAUGGUAUAAAAAAAAAAAAAAAAAGAAUGUUUUAACAACAAUCACCUUAAAAUCCUUCAUGUGCUACAAAACAAAUUGAUUGGUUUAAUAUUCAUCAUGAAAUUUCAUGUUAAUUAAGCUUUAGCUGAGAUGAUGGAGAAGGGGUCUAAAGUGAAAGGGGGAAAUUGGAUUGGAUCUAUGCUCCUCCUUUUUGCCAUUGUCUUAUACGAUGACCCUUUAAAUUAUAUUCGUCAAACUAAAGCCACAAUCGAUCGAAAGAAGCGUUACCAUGAAGCUAUAUUUACAUUUUUCAUUAUUAAGAUGGUUCUCAAAUUAUUUGGUGCUAAGGUAUGAAAUUCCUUAUCCAUAAUAUUGAAGAUCACCUAGGAAAUUAUUGAUUUUCAAACUCAUGUUCUUAAAUAAUAAUAAUAAUAAUAAUAAUAAAAUCUAAUAUCUAUUUUUUGUUUCUUUCCUUUCUAUUUUCUUCUUGUGAUCUUACCUAGGAUUUUUUAUUUUUUAUUUUUGCAUGGCAAAUAAGUUGCAGCAUUUUUAUACCAUAGAGUUAUAAAUCACACAACAAUGUGCUUCUCAAAUGUAGUUGGACCUAUGGAAUAAAUCGGUUUUUAUGGCCAUCCAAUGGCUUUCCUUGCUCCAAGCGUUUACGGCUAACCUCAUGUAAGUCUAUAUAUAUAUAGUUAUUUGAUUAAAUGGGUUAUUGAAAACUCAAAUUUGGACAAAUGACCUUCAUGGUUUGAAAGUAUGAACUAUGAUCGAGAAAUUAUAUUUGUAUUCAUCAAAUUUUUCUUUACAUUUAUCAUAUUUACACAUUCACUUUAAAAUACUAACUAUAUUAACACAUCACCUACAAAUUUCCAAUAUCAUAAAAACACUCUUCGCAUUCUUCUCUUCUAUACCUAUCUUCUUUUUUUUCUCUAUUAACUUUUUUCUUCUCAAUAAUAAAUCCUAAAAGAAACUAUCUUUUAGGGCUUAUUCUUCAUGUAAAUUUUGACUAAAAAAAUUUGUUCUAGAAACAAUUAGAAAAAAUUUAUAAAAAAUUAGAAAUGAGAAAUCAUGAAAAAGUGCAAAAGAAAUUAUAUUUGGACUGAUUUUUUACUCUGUGUUUUGUGGUAGGGAUUGAUGAUUGAUUUUCAAAGUUAUAUCAAUAAAAUGAUAUUUGUUCUUUCGGUUGAUGAAGAAAUAAUUCCCGAUCCUCACCAAUUAUGUGAUGAUCUUGAAGAGUCACUCAAGUUUAUGUUGACAUUGCAAGAGGGUUUGUCCAUAAAAAUUCCAUAAAAUAAGAAUGAUUAGUACAUGUUACAUCUGUGUGAACUAUGAAGAUCUGUGUGCUCUUAUGGUCAUUUGCAGUUUUAAUAGUAUGUGUUUUAUAAAUCUAAAGUGAAAUGUUUUAUUUUUGAAUAAAUUUUGAACUUUCUAAUGUUAUAUAUAUGUCACAUGCAUGUAUGCUUUGAAAUUUUUAUAUGAGAAUAAGACAUGUGGGUCAUGCCUUGUUCUGGGAAUGGGCCUAACUUGGGCCAGGCUUGGGCUUGAGCCUAACUGGGUCUUAAGUUGGGUUAAUUAGAACGAUGAAGUCAAAGAAUUGCAAAAUUUUGGGUUCCAUGAUAUCUCAAAAUUUCAAGAUAGUUUUUUCCUGAUUCUUACAAAAUUGGGUACAUAUCUACAUAGGUUGUUAGAGAUACUGUGAGGGAUUUGCACCACCUCAAACAAUAUUCUAACUAAAAAUGUCUCGUUCGGAUACACUUUUUCAUUUUUCUUUUUUAGAAACAAAAAGUUUUAAUAAUUUCUAUAUGAAAAUAGAAGUUCUUAUAUAAAAAAGGUAUAUGUUUACCCUGUGUCCUUAUAAUUUAUUUUAAAUAUUUUAAAAUUUUAGAUGAUAAUUUAAAAAAAAAAAAUAGUUUUUAAUUAGUUUUUAAAAGUCAUUGUUUUUUGGUGUAAGUCUCUAAGAUUUUUUAUAUUUAAAAGAAAUAAUAAAUGAUAAAAAUUAUGGUAUAUAUAUAGAGACAGAGAAGAGAAAAUAUAUUAUGCUUAACAUCCCAUUUAAAAUAAUGAUUUAUAUACUCAAAAACAGUUUAAUAUAAUGAUUUAUUUAGCUAAAUAUAUUUAAGAAUAUAAAAAAAUCAUGAUACAGAUAUGAGUACUUUUUAAUUAUUUAAAAAUUUUAUUUACAAGUUUAUACUUUUCUUAUAUUUAAUAUUAAAAUGUUAAUUUAAUUACAAAAAUGAUUAUGUAGUUUGAUAAAUUUAAAAAAAUAAUAAUAAUUUUUUUAUUAGUUUUAAUAUUUUAGAUUAUAAUAAAUUAAUUUUAUGUGCUUUUAUAAAUAUCAAUCAAGUUUAGCUUGGUGGUGAAGUGGCAUGAUAAAAGUUGUUUUCCUUUAUUUUUCAAAUUAUAAAGAAUAAAAUAAUAUAUACAUAUAUAUAUAUAUAUAUAAAUCACCCAACUUUAAAAUUUGAAAUUUCAUUAAAUCCAACCUUUUUCUUUAAUAAUUUUUUAAAACUUCCAUAUUUACCAUUCAUUUUCUUUCUCUUGCAUUUAUUGCGGACCAAACUUGUCAUAAAAUAAGUCAAAUUCGUUUUUGAUCUCUCUAUCCUCUAGCAAUCUCAAAUGGACCCAAGAUUGAGGUCAUUCUAUCAAGGCUUAAAAAUCAACACAAGGACCGACAAAAUGUGUGGACAUUAACAUCGGAAUCAUAAAUAAUCAACUACCUACCUUUCUUAUAUUAAAUAUUGAAUGUCAUAUUAGAAAAUUCUUAAAAUUGAAAAAAUAAAAGUAAAAAUUCAACAUCAUACCUCAGGCUAUGGCCAUCAAAUUCACAAUUUUUGAGAGUAAAUAAAAAACAGAAUAAAAUUAGGGUUUUAUUUGGCUAGUUCUUCUAAGAUCUUAUAUCUGAUGAAAACUUACAAACUUCUUAUAAACUAGAGACUCUUGUCUAUAUAAAGUUUAAUAUAAAUAUGAUAUUUUCUUAUAUUUUCUUUCCAUCAAAGUAAACAAAAUAAAUACCGAGUAAUAGUUACCACUAAAAGUGUGUCAUGACUAUAAAUGAUGGUUACAACACUAAGAGAUGUGUUUGUAUUUAGUGUCACAUAUUUUAAAGAAAAUAAUGUAUUUAAAUUUAAAUUUAAAUAGAACACAAAACUUAAAACAUUUAUUUAUUUUAUUUAAAAUAAAAAAUGUUUCCAACAUGUCACGCACAUGGGAUCCAUGUUGCCAUAAAUUCAUUUCCAAACUAGUUAUGAACCAUGAAUGACAAGUCCUAACUUCACUUCCACCUCCACUUGCUAUGAUACGUUGUCUUCAUGGUAAACAUGAUGACUUCGACGACUAAACAUUGAAAAAGGAUGUUUGUAGGGACCCCUCCCUCUGGGAAACACGUGUCACGCAUCUCAUAGUGACACGUGUUAUCAGCCGGACCAUCAUCAUCCGGAUUCCCCCUAAGGAUACGCAUGAUGCAGUUCUCCUAUCCGGACCGCCUCGAGGAAAGGCAAAUGACGUUUCAGCUUCUCCUAUCCAAGGAAGAGCAAACGUCGCUGGCAGAGCACAGACAUCCGGACAACCUUCAUAAUGCAUCCGCUCCACAAUACAUCCGGGUAAUCAGCAUGUGCCAUCCAGAUAUAAUCGUCCGGAUCAUCAAUUAAAGUAAAGCGAGUCUUACACGCUAUCACAACAAACGGCCAUGGCCCACAUCCUGCCACCUUCAGAGUGAGAAGACAAGAUGAAAUGACAGCAAGUCACCUCCCGCGAUCUCUGACAGCCGCAUCACCUACCAUGGUUUCUGACAGCCGCUCGUAGGGUGAUGAUGCUCCUACUAACGCCUAUUGUCAUCAUAAACAACAUAAAAUAUCUCCUCACCAUUAAUGAGAGGAACAGUACCCCUGAAGCUGUAUAUAUAUGCCUUCACACGAAGAAGGAAGGGAUCCCACUGGUAACCUCCUAAUACCUGGUAAAAGGCCAACUGAUUUAUAUCUCUCUCUCUGACCAUGGCUAACAAAACCAUCGGAGGGUGCGUCCGGACACCUUGUCCGGAUGCCUUCUUGCAGGUAUAACGACUGGAUCAAGAACCUUUAUGGGUUGAAAUCACGUGUCCAUCCAUUUGGCAACUACGUGGAUCGUCAGAGACGCGAGGUAUCAACAUUGGCACCGUCUGUGGGAACUUUUUACUUUGAUUCAGUCACUAAAAAAGAUGGUCACACCGUCCCGAAGCCAUUCAUCUGGUAGGGGAGGGGAUGAUAAUUUUGAAUGGCGCCUAGCCAUCGAAAGGAGACAGUUGGCAAGCGAAAGACAGCUGAAAGCUCUCCUCCAGGAGACAGAAAGAUUGAGAGAAGAAAACGCUGUGUUACGCAUCCAGGCUUCAACAUCAGGACCUCCUCGACGUCAGCGUUCGAGGGGCCAAGUAGCAGACUCAAGUCCUCAACAAGAACCAGAAUCAAUACAUCCUGGGACAACAGGAGCUAUCCCAGGAGCAUGCAACGUAAGACCUCAUGAGCCACGCACGCCUAUGCCUCGAGCUCCCCGUGAGGAAAGCUCAGACUCUACUCACUUUUCAGCGAAAAGACAACGUGAUAAAAAAUCUCAGUUGUCGAACUCAAUGCGCGCAAGACUAGGCCCACAAGAGCCUGGAAGAUCAAGGCCACCAAUGGCCAUAACCUGGGCACCACGCCCUGACCCUGUGACCACUCCCAUGGUGCAAAACGUUCACCCGCAUCGUGACCCCUUAGUCACCCCCGUGAUGCGGAAUGUUCAUUCGCACCCAGCGGAACAACCAACUGGGAGAAACAUCCCAAAUGGGCCACCCAUUGGCUCUAUUAGCAAAAGGUUGGAUGACAUGCUCUCCACGCCUUUCUGCUCUCAUAUCAUUAAUUACGAGCCCCCAAGGGGAUUCCUCGUACCAAAUUUUUCCACAUACGAUGGAACCAACGAUCCCUUUGAUCACAUCAUGCAUUAUCGACAGCUUAUGACGCUCGAUAUUGGCAACGAUGCACUGCUAUGCAAAGUAUUUCCCGCCAGCUUACAAGGACAGGCCCUCUCAUGGUUUCAUCGCCUACCUCCCAACUCCGUUGGCGAUUUCAGGGACCUGUCCGAAGCUUUCGUGGGGCAAUACUUGUGCUCCGCACGACACAAGCAAAAUAUCAGCACCCUGCAGAAUAUAAAAAUGCAAGAUAACGAAUCCUUGAGGGAAUUCAUGAAGCGAUUUGGCCCGGCCGUGCUUCAAGUAGAGGCUUGUAGUAUGGAUGCUGUCCUACAGAUUUUCAAGCGAAGCAUCUGUCCGGGCACUCCAUUUUUCGAAUCACUGGCCAAAAAACCCCCUACAACGAUGGAUGACUUAUUCAGGCGCGCCAACAAAUAUUCAAUGCUCGAAGAUGACGUACGCGCAGCCACCCAGCAAGUUUUGGUUGCCGGACGGCCAUCUAGAAAUAAUACGGAGGGAAAUAAUAAACCUCCGGAUCGGCCAAAGCCGUCUGACCGAAAGCAGGAAGGGUCAAGUCGCCCGGAAAUGCCGCCUCUCACACCUCUUUCCAUAUCAUAUGAGAAACUUCUCCCAAAGAUCCAGGGCUUGUCCGACUUCAGAUGGCCUAGACCCAUUGCAACGGACCCAUCCACAAGAGAUCGCAGUAAGAGAUGUGCCUUCCACAAGGAUCAUGGCCAUACAACAGAGACAUGUCGAUCUUUCCAGUUUCUGGUCGAAAGGCUCAUAAAAGCAGGGCAUUUGAAGCAAUACCUCCGAUCAGAUAAUGGAGGAAGGGACGCAUCCCAACAUCACAACCCCGGAGCCCCUAGGGCCCCAGCUGCCCCCAAGGCCGUUAUAAAUUAUAUUAACGGGGGUCCAUCUGACGAGGAGUACGAUUCUAGGCGAAAGAGGCAAAAAUUGUUGUGGGCCGCAUCAAUACGCGAGCGCAUCAAUUCCAUCCGGCCUGGGCUAACGGGAGGGGGCCCUCGCCCCAUAGAUGGGACAAUCAUUUUCCCACCGGUAGAUCCCACCCGGACACUGCAACCACAUCGCGACGCCCUCAUCUUGUCCCUGGAAAUUGGGGACUUCGAUGUGCGGCGUAUCUUGGUUGACCCAGGCAGUUCAGCCGAUCUUGUGCAAGCAUCAGUCGUUGGCCACAUGGGACACAGCCUCACAGGCCUCGAAAACCCUGGACGAAUCCUAUCCGGAUUCAACGGGUCUUCAACUACGUCCUUAGGAGACAUUGUACUGGCGGUCCAAGCAGGCCCAGUCACUCUCAACGUACAGUUUUCAGUAGUACAGGAGUUAUCACCCUUCAAUGUCAUUUUGGGGCGCACAUGGCUCCACUACAUGAAAGCUAUCCCCUCUACAUAUCAUCAAAUGGUGAGUUUUCUCACCAACCAUGGCCAAAUCGACCUAUAUGGCAGCCAAUUAGCCGCUCGCCAAUGCUAUCAGAUAGCGCGGGAAGCAGGGGUCAACCAGGAGGAUGCGUCUCCCCCUGAACCCAGCAUUGCACAUGACCAAUAGCAAUUAUUGGAUCCGGCGGACAAAGAUCCCCCGGCAGCAGAUCCCUUACAAACAAUCCAAAUUUCGGAGGAAAACACUCACCUCACGAACAUCAGUUCCCUCAUGACACAAGAGGAAACUCAGAGCAUGCAAAGUAUUCUCAGACGAAACCAUGACAUCUUCGCAUGGACACAUUCUGAUAUGAAGGGAAUCCAUCCCUCUAUUGCAUCUCACAGGCUUAACGUCUUUUCAACUGCCAGACCCGUCCGGCAGAAAAUUAGGCGUUUUCACCCAGAUAGACAAAAAGUCAUCCGGGAUGAGAUGGACAAAUUGCUCGAAGCCGGAUUCAUCAGAGAAGUUUCUUAUCCGGAGUGGUUGGAAAAUGUAGUGGUGGUACCCAAAAAAGAAGGAAAGUGGCGAGUUUGUGUAGACUAUACCAAUCUCAACAAUGCAUGUCCAAAAGACAGUUUUCCUUUGCCUCGAAUAGAUCAGAUUGUGGAUUCCACUUCCGAGCAAUGGAUGCUCUCUUUCUUGGAUGCCUUCUCCGGAUAUCAUCAAAUCCCCAUGUCCCCGGACGACGAAGAAAAAACAGCAUUCAUAACACCACACGGCCUCUAUUGCUACAAAGUCAUGCCGUUCGGACUCAAAAAUGCUGGUGCCACUUAUCAAAGAUUGAUGACUAAGAUCUUCGAACCUCUAAUAGGCCACACGGUAGAGAUAUAUAUUGAUGAUAUCGUGGUUAAAAGCAAAACCCGAAAGCAGCAUGUCCUUCACUUACAAGAAGUUUUUCACCUCUUACGAAAGUAUGGCAUGAAGCUAAAUCCUUCUAAAUGCACCUUUGGCGUAAGUGCUGGCAAAUUUCUGGGAUUUAUGGUCAGCCAAAGGGGCAUAGAAGUCAGCCCAGAUCAAGUCAAAGCAGUCAUGGAAACACCCCCUCCCAGGAACAAGAAGGAGCUACAACGCCUCACAGGCAAGCUCGUCGCACUAGGGCGUUUUAUAGCCCGCUUCACUGACGAACUGCGACCCUUCUUCUUGGCAAUACGAAAAGCUGGAGCACAUGGAUGGACGGACAGUUGCCAGAACGCUUUCGAAAAGAUUAAGUAUUGUCUUACGCAACCGCCCAUCUUGAGCAGCCCCGUUCCAAAUGAGAAAUUGUAUAUGUAUCUGGCGGUAUCAGAAUGGGCAAUCAGCGCCGUUCUAUUUCGCUGCCCCUCACCCAAGGAGCAGAAGCCUAUCUACUACGUCAGCAGGGCGUUAGUAGACGUAGAAAUCAGAUAUUCAAAAAUGGAGCUAACAGCCUUAGCCCUUCGAAGCGCUGCCCAGAAGCUCCGCCCGUAUUUCCAAGCUCAUCCAGUGAUCGUACUAACUGACCAGCCCCUUCGCAACAUUCUGCACAAGCCAGAUUUAACCGGGAGAAUGCUGCAAUGGGCCAUUGAACUAAGCGAAUUUGGAAUCGAAUUCCAACCCAGAUUGGCCAUGAAAGGCCAAGUAAUGGCUGACUUCGUGCUAGAAUAUUCCUGAAGGCUCAGCCAACAUGACGAAUCAAGUAAAAAAGAAUGGUGGACUCUGCGAGUUGACGGAGCCUCACGCUCAUCAGGCUCUGGAGUUGGGCUCUUACUACAGUCCCCAACUGGGGAACAUUUGGAGCAAGUCAUCCGGCUGGGAUUCCCUGCCUCUAAUAAUGAAGCAGAAUAUGAGGCUAUCCUGUCCGGAUUGGACCUCGCCCUUGCUCUAUCCAUCUCCAAACUCCGGAUCUUCAGCGACUCACAACUCGUGGUAAAACAUGUCCAGGAGGAAUAUGAGGCUAAGGACGCACGCAUGGCGCGAUACUUAGCUAAAGUAAGAAACACCUUGCAGCAAUUCACCGAAUGGACAAUCGAAAAAAUCAAGCGAGCUGACAAUAGGCGCGCUGACGCUUUGGCCGGUAUAGCUGCCUCCCUCCCUAUCAAAGAAGCCAUUCUAUUGCCCAUACAUGUGCAACCCAACCCCUCUGUUGCAGAAAUUUCUACUUGCAACACCAUUGAGGCAAAUCAAGCGGAUGAUCAAGAAUGGACGUAUCACAUCGCAGAAUAUCUCCGGACAGGCACUCUGCCCGGAGAUCCCAAACAAGCACACAAAAUCCGGGUACAAGCUGCCCGUUUCACCCUGAUUGGGGGGCACCUGUACAAGCGAUCCUUCAUAGGACCUUACCUUCGGUGCCUAGGGCAUUCAGAGGCCCAGUAUGUGGUAGCUGAGUUACAUGAGGGAAUAUGCGGAAAUCAUUCGGGAGGACGAUCUCUGGCACAUAGAGCUCAUUCGCAAGGAUACUAUUGGCCAACAAUGAAGAAAGACGCGGCAGCAUAUGUUAAAAAAUGUGAUAAAUGUCAACGGUAUGCUCUCAUUCCACAUACGCCAUCAGCAACAUUGAAAACAGUCUCAGGCCCAUGGCCCUUUGCGCAGUGGGGCAUGGACAUAGUGGGACCCCUCCCAGCAGCACCUGCCCAGAAGAAAUUUCUCCUUGUUGCCACUGAUUACUUUAGUAAAUGGGUAGAAGCUGAAGCAUAUGCAGGCAUCAAAGACAAAGAUGUCACCAAGUUCGUGUGGAAGAACAUUGUUUGCCGUUUUGGAAUCCCCCAAACCAUCAUAGCUGACAAUGGUCCACAAUUUGACAGUAUUGCAUUCAAGAAUUUCUGUUCGGAGCUGAACAUCCGGAAUUCAUACUCCACACCACGAUAUCCUCAAAGUAAUGGGCAAGUAGAAGCCACAAACAAGACCCUAAUCAAUGCCCUAAAGAAAAGGCUUGAGCAAGCUAAAGGGAAGUGGGUGGAGGAGCUACCCGGCGUCCUAUGGGCCUAUCGAACCACACCCGGACGACCAACAGGAAACACUCCUUUCGCCCUCACGUAUGGAAUGGAUGCAGUCAUUCCUACAGAAAUAGGUCUUCCUACUAUCCGGACUGACGCAGCAAAGCAAGAUGAUGCAAGCGCGGAAUUAGGGAGAAAUUUAGAUUGGGCAGAUGAAGUGAGGGAAAACGCGGCCAUUCGGAUGGCAGAUUAUCAACAAAGGGCAUCAGCACAUUACAAUCGCAAAGUGAGGCCAAGAAGCUUCAAAAAUGGUACACUAGUCCUUAGAAAAGUUUUUGAAAAUACUACUGAAGUGGGUGCAGGGAAAUUCCAAGCCAACUGGGAAGGACCCUAUAUAGUGUCUAAGGCAAAUGACAAUGGAGCCUGUCAUUUACAAAAAUUGGACGGAACUCCAUUACUUAGACCUUGGAAUGUGUCUAAUUUAAAGCAGUACUAUCAAUGAAAAAGCAGAGACAAGUGCAAAUGAAAAAGAACUAUUUUUAUUGAUAUGGAUAAAUGUAUGAACAAAGAGGUCUCCGGACCACAAAAAUACAAAAGGAAGAUUACAGCAGAAAAUUGCAAAAAGAGAUAAACUAUCAUGGAGCAGGCUUCUCAUAGAGCUUCUUUUCUUCACCCGGAGGAAUUGAAGGGACGUCCCGCUUGAUGUCGUUCUUCUUCAUGCAGCACCGAUACCCAAAGAUGAAUGUAUCAUCCACUUGUUUUUGGUAUUCUGCUUCAAGUUCCUCCCUCUCUACAGCAAACUCCCGUUCUAGCUCCUCUUUUUGUGCAACCAAGCGCAGCUGCAAAUCUUCCCUCUGUUUCUUUUCGAUAGAAACCUCUGUCCGGAGGUGCCUCACCUCCCCCUUCAGUCGGGCUAUCUCAUCCUCUGCCUCAUGCAAACGGGCAAUCAAUGAUUCCUCCCGGUCCUUAGCCUCAGCUAAUUCCACCCGAAGGACUUCAUUGUCCUCUCGAGCAGUGGAUAAGCUGGUUUCAGCCUCCGCCAGUCUCAGGCGCAACUGAUCUUCAACAUCUUUGCGCCGAGAGGCGAAGAUCUUCAUAUAAUCAGUGGUCCGCAGCAGGUCAGAAAAGAGAUCGUGUUGUUUGGCCAUGCCGCGGAGACCACUCACCAGCUGACACGUAAGCAAAGCAAAGUUAUAAAUCAUACCACAACAACACAUCAAAAUAGCAAAAGAAUCAAAAAAGCACGAAAAACAGUUUACCGUUUCCACCGUCUCGAACAUCUGGGCUGAGGGCAUGAUGUCAGGCGAGCCGGGUGGAAUUUGUUUCAGCUUAUCUUCCAACUCCGCAUAGCUAAAAGAGCUAUCGGAGGAGCAAGAUGCGUCAUUAACAGGUCCCCCCCCGGAUGAAGCAGCAGAAGGUGAUUUUUGUUCCGGAUAAGGGGCCUCAACAUUUACGGCCGGAUGGACCUCCCCGGGUGCAACCUCAGCCGGGACCACCAUCCAGACGACUGGAGUCUCAAUUACCAUCUCCACUUCGCCCCCCUCCAGAUGAGCGUCGUGGACAGAUGAGCAACUAACUUCAAUCUCUUGCUGCCGCUCUUGAAGCCGCCCGUGGAGUCCGGACCUCAGAUUGCGCACCGAGCGAGGCCUCUUUGAGGGUGGCCCCGUCACCAGAACAAGAGCCAGGCGGUCCGGAUCGUCAGAGGGCUGACUCUGACUUUCCGCCCCAGCUUCCUCCAUCGGGUCCGCGCAAACGGCUUCAACUGCAUCAACACCCGAAGUAGGGGAGUCCGGAUGGUUGAUGGACGCAGCUUCCUCAGCCAAAUUUGCCGGACGGGCAACCGCUGCCAAAGAGGUGCUUGAGUGAUUCAGCCCCGCGAUGUGUCCGGACCCGCUUGAGAUAGAAUGAGGAGCGGGGUUCACUGGCUCCUCUAUCAUUACCUCCGCCUCGUGAGUAAUGAGCGGAUGAGCAAAUUCCAUGGGAGGAGUGGGCUCCCUCACUCCCUUCCCAUUCUUCACCAGCUUCCUCCUUUUUGCUGGAGUUUUCUUUGGAGGAGAGUCUGCGUCGCGUUUCUGUCCGGGAGCCUUGCGAAGGGUUCCUUCGUUUUUCUUCUUCUCCCGAUUGACCAGAAGCGCUCGGCGUUUUUCAACGUCAGCCUCUUUUGACGCCUGGUAAAUCGGGAGAUCCUUCACAAUAUAAUGCUCCCCAGGCACUACCUCCUUUGGCAUCUUCCUGGGGAGAAUGUUGAUGACGUACUCUUGGGACUCCCGGACGACCGCCAUUAGGUUCCGCGCAAUCAGCAACGUCUUGCACUGCCUCUCCUUGGCGUCUAUCUCAAAAAGCUUGCUGAGACAGCCAAAAGACGCCUUUUCCACCCAAUCCACGAGGUGGCCCCUUUUUUCCGCACCUGCAUUAACAGCAACAGAGGUUGAGAAUACCAUCCGGAGAGAUCAACAAGAAAACAACAAGGUAAAAAUCAGGACAGAAGUCGCAAAGCAAACUUACCCGGAAUCUUGAAGGAAUAGUUUGGAGAAAAGGGCCUCGCCGGAUGCCUCGACCCCGCCCACGUACCCCGGACCAUCACCCGUCCCUUUGCCCCUCCCUUCGUCGAGUCGGGCAGUUCCGUCACCAAUUGAAGGGAAGGCAGGUGCGCGGACAGGCUGAAGAUGUCAGCUUUCGCCUUCUUCAGUGAGUAGACGAAGAACACCUCCAGCAUUGUAAGGUCGAGGUUGUACAGCAUGUUGAUGAUGCUGCAUCCCAUCAGCACCCGGAUAAUAUUGGGAUGAAUGAAGACGGGUGGAAUCUUAGUGAAAUGGAGAAACUCCAUGAGCAACGCUAGCAGGGGGAACCGGAGCCCUGCAUUGAAUUGUUCCUUGCAGAAGACGAUAGCACCUUGUUCGGCUUUCUCAGUAGGCACCACGUCCUCCCCAUGAAGAAAUUCAACAAUUACGCCAUUUGGAAUGCAGAAUCGAUCUCGAAACUCCUUCAUGCUCAACUUGUCUAUGGACUUUUCAUAAGCGUCGCCAACUCGCGCAGAUGAAGCACCUUUCUUCUUUGAAGACAUUUUUCAGGCCAAAAUUGAACCAAAACCUACAUACGAGAAAUGCAACAGUCAAACACAGCCAAAACAACCCCACAAACCCUACACAAUAACAACACUCAGAAAACCUCGCACCACCAGUAUACCCAUUCCAAAAUCCUUGACUUUACCCCAACAAAAAACCCCCCAGAGCACCAACAAAUGCCAACAUUCAAACAAACAGUCGUAAGCAACUUACCCAAACAAAACCCAAACAAAUCAGAAACCAAGAUCAAAGAACCAACAAACGCAACAAAAGGAACAACAAUAGCAAAAGUCUACGUACCAAAUGAAGCCCUGAAGGAGAAAGGUUGUUGUCUCGAUACAAAAUUACCAGCAGCAAACGAAUGUCGCGACACAAAAUCACCGGUACAAAAGAGCUUUCGAGUUUCUUUACUCAGAGAAGCAAAGGACACAAUAGAAGUAGGAAGAAGAAAGGCUCUCAAGGGAAUACAGUAGAAAAAAUGCAAAAAGAAGGUACAGUGCGCUAUUUAUAGGAGGACAGGCCCUCGGAAAGCCAAACGUCCAAACAAAUGCCAUCAUUGAAAUGACAUAUUGCCUGGGGAUACACAGGGUCGGCGGCUCAUCAUAAAAGCCUUUUUUGGCUUCCGCACCCCCACUCGCCACGUGGCCCAGUCAAACGAAGAGACCUCUUCAGUUUUCAAAAAGGCCAGUUAUUUUUUAACCCGCCCAUUUUUUGGCAAAAUAGGCAAGUUAAAAAGGGGGGCAAUGUAGGGACCCCUCCCUCUGGGAAACACGUGGCACGCAUCUCACAGUGACACGUGUUAUCAGCCGGACCAUCAUCAUCCGGAUUCCCCCUAAGGAUACGCAUGAUGCAGUUCUCCUAUCCGGACCGCCUCGAGGAAAGGCAAAUGACGUUUCAGCUUCUCCUAUCCAAGGAAGAGCAAACGUCGCUGGCAGAGCACAGACAUCCGGACAACCUUCAUAAUGCAUCCGCUCCACAAUACAUUCGGGUAAUCAGCAUGUGCCAUCCGGAUAUAAUCGUCCGGAUCAUCAAUUAAAGUAAAGCGAGUCUUACACGCUAUCACAACAAACGGCCAUGGCCCACAUCCUGCCACCUUCAGAGUGAGAAGACAAGAUGAAAUGACAGCAAGUCACCUCCCGCGAUCUCUGACAGCCGCAUCACCUACCAUGGUUUCUGACAGCCGCUCGUAGGGUGAUGAUGCUCCUACUAACGCCUAUUGUCAUCAUAAACAACAUAAAAUAUCUCCUCACCAUUAAUGAGAGGAACAGUACCCCUGAAGCUGUAUAUAUAUGCCUUCACACGAAGAAGGAAGGGAUCCCCCUGGUAACCUCCUAAUACCUGGUAAAAGGUCAACUGAUUUAUAUCUCUCUCUCUGACCAUGGCUAACAAAACCAUCGGAGGGUGCGUCCGGACACCCUGUCCGGAUGCCUUCUUGCAGGUAUAACGACUGGAUCAAGAACCUUUAUGGGUUGAAAUCACGUAUCCAUCCAUCUGGCAACUACGUGGAUCGUCAGAGACGCGAGGUAUCAACAAUGUUCACGUUGUGUCUUAAGGGCAUCUUGCUUUAUCAAAUAUUUAAUUUAUGUACUAUCAUUUUGAUAGACAUUAAAAUUAAUUAUUUCAAAAAAAAAAAAUCGGUAGAAAAUUUCCCAAACCAUAAUGCUCGAGAGAGUUACACCACAUAUUUGUAGCUUAGGACCACGGGGUCUCACAAGUCAUAUCCAUAAAGUUUUUGUACUUGAUUUGUCUAUUUGGCCACCAAACAUACAGAAAUUGUAGCUCAUAUUUACUAGUUUAAUUAAAGUGGCAUUUAUUUUUUAUUUUUGUCAUGGACUAUGUACUAGGAAUCGAUGCUGGAUUCCUACUGCAUCAUUUCUUAAGUAUGAUACUUGGGUCAUGGACAACAACUUUGUUUUAGAGUUCUAAUGAGUUAGAAGCCCAUUUAACAAGUCGGAUUAAUUUCCCAUACGAUUUAUAAGUAAUCUAUUACUUGAAAAUUAUCGACUUAUUUUGUUCUUGAGUAAUUACUCAAGGGUGCAUUAAGUGGUAGAUUUAACAUUACGCUUAGAGAGAAAAUAUGUUGAUGGCUUCUAUAUAGGAUGAGAACAAAACAAGUUUGGGAUGAGUCAUCCCAUCUCAACUUGGUUUUAAUCAUUUAAAUUUAUUCUUGUCCUCCUCCCUAAAAAUAAAUUUAAUAAAGCACCUUAAGGCCAUUUACCCUUUUUCAAUUUUGUAAUUUUAAUUACAUUAAAAUAAAUAUAAUUCAUAACUAAAUAGUAUAAUUUUUACAAUUUAUAUGAAUUUUUUGUUUUAAUUAUGAUAAAAAGAGGGAAAAUAAAAAAAAAUAUUAAUAGUUUUUAUUUAGUUAUAUAUAUAUAUAUAUAUAUAUAUAAACUAGGUGUAACGAGACAAUACAAUAUCUAAACCCAUACAAAAGCCCCUACCCAAUGACAUUUAUCUUUAUCUCAAAUCGAUUCUAUUAAGAGUGGAUACCUGAAAUAAAACCCGCUUCAUUGACAUCCAUAACACAAAUAUAUAUAUAUAUAAACAAAGUGGAGCGAGGUGAAACAAUGCAAUAUCAUCCGAACCCACACCAAAUGGAGUUUUAAAGAAAAAUCUCAAAACUUCUACCUAAGGCAUUUAUCUUUAUCUCGAAUUGAUCUUAUUAGGGAUGGAUGCCUGAAAUAAAACAUGUCUCAUUGACAUCAAUAUUUCCACUAUAAUGUAUCUCUUUGGAUGUUUUAAAAUAAAAUAAAAGACAAAAAAUUGGAAAAGUAAAUUAAGAGAAAAAUUAAAAUAAAUAUCAAAAAAAUAAACUAGUAAAAAAAUAAAAAAUAAACCGAAAAAGAAGUUGGAAAAAAAUUUUAAAACAAAAGAUAAAACUCUUUGCAACUCCUUAAUGCAAUUUUAUGUUUUAUGUAUAUAGACCAAUUUGUUUUAUAAUUUUAUACUAACUUGAAAGGGACUACUCUAAAAGGAAGGACACUCGAUUAAAGUCAAUACAUCCCACCGAGACAGAAAUCAAAAUGGAGUCGCAUUCACUCAAUCAAAGACAAUUUAAUUCGAUCCAUUUAACCAUGGUCGUGAGAAAGUCAUAGAUAUACUCCUAAAAAAUAAGUGGAUACUAACUCCUCAUGUCCACAUCUAUCUAGUUGUAAUUAAGUUAAGGUAACUCAUUGAAAAAAUAAAUAAACUUAGGAGUGUUUGAUAUAGGGGGAAUAAGGAAUGAAAAUGAAUAUUUUAUUUCUAUUUCUAUUUUUUGGUAAAUGAAAAUAAAUUUAGUGAUUGCAUUUUUAGAGUUUGUAUGAAUUUAGGAAUUCAAUAUUUAAAUUAUUAUUUGUUUCCAUUCUAAUGAAAAUUAAAAAAAAAAAUUAACAAUAAUACCCUUAUAUAGUUUAAAAUAAAAUAAAAAAUUCAUUUUUUUAAAAUAAAUUUUGAGAGUUCUUUUUUCUUAAUAAUAAAACUAAAAAAAAAAAGUCUUAUUAUGGGAUAAAGAAAUAUCAUAACUUGAUGAAUGAAAUGGAAGGAUAAAAUAGUAAUAUUACUUUUUAUCUAUGUACUUUCUCUCCCUUUAGAUUGAAAAUAAAACCAAAAACAAAGAAAAUGUCUCAAACAACUAAAGUCCUUAAAAUUAACCUUAUCUUAAUCUACAAAAAAAAUUCCUAGAAGUCCUAAUAUGAUGAACCAAAAUUAUAAACCUUAUUUCCUGUCAAAUCCAAACUCAUCUAUAAUCCAUGAACUUCACCAUUUCUAAAGCCUACACUCUUUAAACCACCUCACUUUUUCGAGGUUUGUUUAUAGGCAAAAAAAAUAAAAAAAUGUCUCAACUUUUCCUACAAGAUGUUUGUCUUUGGAGGAAAAAAAACUCUCAAAUAAUAAUAAUAAUAAUAAUAAUAAUAAUAAAGGUGUUAAAAGGAAAAGAAACAUUUACCUAGGGGAAUCAUAUCAAUUGGUGUUAUUAACAUAACAAGUGAAAUGAUCAUUUUGGGAAUAAUUAUAUGACUCACAAAACAAUACAUAUAUUUAAAAAAUUUGUUGUUCUUUUCUCCAUAUUUUUUCAAAUUAGUAAUUAAAGACCCAUUUUUCCCAUUAUUUAUUCUUGUCUUUGUGGAUUGUUUUAAAAAUAAUUAUAAAAAUAAGGAGAAUGAUUGAUUAAAAAUAAAGCAUUAGAAAUAAAAUUUAUUUUUAAUAAAUAUUUGGAAACAUAAAAAACAAGUUGAGAAUAUUCUAAACUCCCAAACAUAUUUUUGUUCUAGAAAAAAAAAAUCAUAAAACUAUUUUAAAAAUUGUCCCUAUAAACCAGUUUUUUAGAACAAGUUUCUAAAACAUUACUAAAUAUAUCCUUAAUUUUCCUAUUGAAAUGCCCACGUCCCAACUCAACUCUGUGACAUAAAGUAUAAUAAAUUUAGAAAUAUAUUUUAAAGUAUUAUAUUUUAAGAAGCAUUUUUAAGAUUUGCUAUAUUUGUUUGUACUAUAAUUUAUAUCUCAAAUUACUCACAUAUUCUUGAAUGGUUUCCAUAUAUUUAUUUAGAAAGCAUUAUAACUUUAGUUCUUUUAACAAUGUGUAUUGCUAAUAUUGUAAUCAUAUACUUGAAGAUAUUAUUAUCUAAUAAAAUUUUAAAGGAUAUAAUAUAUAUAAGGACUUGAAAGAAUAUUCUUGAGAAGUUUGCAUGUAUCUAAUUUGAAAUGAAAAUGAAACUCACUUUACAAUUGAUGACUCAUCCUCAAAUGAGAAAAGUUAAUUCCGGGAAUUGAUGACUCAUUACCCAUUCCCUUCAUUUCAUUAUAUUAAUCAACAAACCCUACGUAAACCAAUUCAUGCCCUUAUGUGGUUUUGGGCAUUUUUUAUAAUUAAAACGUGGCAUGAAAGUUUGGUAUGGUGGUUGGGGGUUAUCAUAAAUUUGAAAGGGAUGCCCAGGUUCCGUCCAAAACUUAGACGACUUGUUCAAUGACCGUCCACAUAUAACUCAAAAAUUCCAUCACUAAUCUUUUGUGGCAAAACCCUCAAAUCCUUUCUUUUUUUUAAUAAAUUUAUAUGGCCUCCAUCAUUAAUCCAAAAUUCAAUUUGAAAUUUGAUUCUAGAAAAAAGUAAUAUGACUUCUCGUCCUUAAUCCUAAAUUCAAUGUGAAAUUCGAUUCUGGAAAAAGGCAAUAUGACUUCUAGUCCUAAACUCAGGUUGAUCCUAUAAAUAGGAGCACAGCCAACGAUGGUGGAGGCACGCCAUCUUUCGAUUUCUCUUCUUCUGUUGUUUUUCAUUUUGAAAUCAGCUAGCACCAUGGAAACCCUAGAAGGUUUGAAGCACGCACUUAAGCCUAUUAGAAUUGUGCCUAAAGAAGGUGAUGAAAAGGGAAUGGUGGUUAAGCGUCAUGAUCAGGAAGAUCAUCAGCCAUUGAGUCCAAUGGCUCGUUUGUUUCAUGAACCUGACUGCAAUCUCUAUGUUAUCGCCAUGAUAGGCUCGAAAACUCGCAUCGACCCUGACGUGGUUAAAGCCAACCUGGUGCAUAGUCUCCUUAAACACCCUCGUUUCUUUAGUCUGCAGGUAAGGAAUGAACUUUCCAUUUAGUAAUUUAAAGCUACAUUGAACAUUUUUGAACUAAAAUGCAGCGGUAUUAUUCCAAAAGGCAUUGUGAAAUUUUUCAGUAUUAUUAAUCUAUUUCCAUUGUUUGCUAACCAUUAAAUCAUCUUCAAAAUCAGGUUAUGGAGGAGGAAAAGGGAGGAGAGAUGAAAUGGGUUCCGACAAAAGUUGAUUUGGAAAAGCACGUUAUAGUUCCAGACAUGUGUUCCGACAUGGAAACAUCAUCAGAUAAGUACGUGGAAGACUACAUUUGCAACCUCACUAAAACAACCCUAGACUUUUCCAAGCCAUUAUGGGACCUUCAUCUCCUCAACGUCAAAACCUCCGACGCCGAGGCCGUCGCCGUUUUCAGGAUUCACCACUCCCUCGGCGAUGGCACGUCUCUCAUGUCUCUUUUACUUGCAUGCACACGCAAAGCCUCGGAUCCCACGGCUCUGCCUUCGGUUCCCAUGAUGAAGAAACCAAAAUCAUCGGCUGGGUCUGGAAAGUGGUGGAAGGCUUUCAGACUGGUUUGGAAUACGAUCAUCGAUGUUUUGAUGGUGAUCGCCACAGUGUUGUUCUUGAAGGACAGAGACACGCCUCUUAGGGGUCCGCCCAAUGUUGGAUCCACAGGACGGAGAAUUAUUCACAGGACGAUUAGUCUGGAGGAUGUUGUGAUGAUAAAAAAUGCAAUGAGCACUGUAAGUCAACUUGUUGCAUGCAUGGAAAACAAAUACAUGUUUUGCAACUGUUUUAAAAAAAAAAAACAAUUUUCUGUUUUUCAAAUAAAAUAAAUAGAAAAACAGUUUAGAUAAUAAUAAAAAAAAUAGAAAAUGAGGUAUUUUCAAGAAACAACUUUUAAUUAUUUUUAUUUUCAUUUGUUUUUGUGAUAAUUGUUUUCAAAAAUAAUUAUAUAAAUAUAAAUAAUGAUUAAAAAUUAAAAGCACAAGUUAUUUUCAAAAAUAUAUUUUAAAAUAUAGAAAUUAAGAAUAUUCUAGAUUCAUUCCCGAAUAAAAAUUAUUUUCCAUAAAUGUUUAUGAAAAACACUUAUCAAACAAAGCUAUGAUUUUUUCUUUUUUGGACUAUGCCCCAUAAUUUUUUUAUUUUUUAAAGCAAAGAAAUACAAAGCUUUUUUACUUUACGAUCACUUCAAUGAAAGAGUGGGUAAUCAUAUAUUUGAAGAAGUUUAUAACUCCUCUCUCAAUCAUUAGUGGAGAGAUUAAGAACUAAAAUUUUUCUAGCUCUCAUGUGCAGACUGUUAAUGAUGUUAUGGUGGGAAUCACACAGGCUGGUUUGUCUCGGUACCUCAAUAGGCGAUAUGGUGAGCUCCUAUUUUAAUUUUCAAAAUUCAUAUAUUAAGUGGUGAAGAGUAAUUAUAAUACACCACCUAGCUACUCUCUCUAUGUAUAAAAGGAUGUUAUAAAGCUUGUAUGCUCACAUGGUAGCUGAAGGCAAGAAGAAUAAAGGGGCAACGUACAGAAAAGAAAAAUAAUCUUCCCAAGAACCUUUCUAUCAGAGCAACUCACUUCAUUAACAUAAGACCAUCUGCAGGGAUCCAUGUGGGUGUUUCUACUUUCUUUAUCAACCCCUCGUGAAGGAAUUAGUUAAUUUCUCUUUGGGAAGUGUUUUCAAAAAAUGAAACACAGUUUUUGAAAACGGUUAUUUGAUAUUUUAUAAAAUAAAAGUUUGUUUAAAAAUCUGAAAUUAAUGUUAUUUACGUUUUCUAUAUUUUUAAAUAUGUUUUAUUAUUAAUCGAUCUCCAUAUUUUUAUAAUUAUUUAUUAAAUAGUUCUUAAAAAAUAUUUUUUGAAAACACUUCAUUUUUAAAUAAUUGUUUUAUUUAAAUUUGUUUUCAAAAUUUAAAAAUUAUUUUAAAAUCAAUUAUCAAACAAGUCUUUAAUUUCUUGUCUCAUGCAUGUAUACAUUCAUAUCGUACAGACCUUAGCUGAAAUGAUGGAGAAAGGCUCUGAAGCGAAAUGGGGCAACUGGAUUGGCUGUCCUUCUUCCUUUAUCCAUUGCAUUACGUGACAAUCCUUUAGAUUACAUUCAAAAAGCUAAGGAAGCUAUGGAUAGAAAAAAAGCCUCUCUUGAAGCUCUCUACAUACAUUCCAUGGCUAAGUCAAUUCCCAACUUAUUUGGCACUAAGGUAUGAAUUAAUAUCACUCAACCCUACCUUGUUUCCUCAAAAUUAAGUACUUCUAGCUUAAUUAAUAUCACUGUCUAAUAAACAAUUAAAAGUGGUAUAUAUAGACUCACUUCUUUCAUUGGUAAACAGACCGGAAGUGUUCUAUGCCUCAAAGUCCCCUCUCGUACGGCAAUAUGGUUCUCAAAUGUAGUUGGACCCCAAGAAGAAAUUGCCUUCUUUGGCCAUCCAAUAGCCUACAUUGCUCCAAGUUGUUUUGGUCAACCCAAUGUAAGUCUUCUUAAACUUUAUUUGACAAUGUUUUAAAAAAUGCUUUAGCCUAUAAAAUGUUUUACAAAAAAAAAUUAAAAUUUAGAAAUCACUUUCAAAAAGUUAAAAAGUCACUUAUAGAUAUUUUCGAAGAAAUAUUUGAUAGAUAAUUCUCUUAAUACUUUUUUUAAAAAUUAAUUAAUGUUUCAUGUAAAACACUCUCAAGAAAAACACUUCAAAGUACAUUUUUAGAUUGUGUUUGAUAAUAUUUUUACUCAGAAUGUUUUUAAUGAAAACAUAUUCUCUAAAAGUAUUUUAAGAUAAUUAUCUAUCAAAUAUUUCUCCAAAAGAUACUAUAAGUGAUUUUUUAAUACUAUAAAUAAUUUUUCAUAUUUUUAAAAGUGUUUCCCAAAUUUAAUCAAAUACUUAAAGACAAAAAUGCUUCUUAAAAUCAUUGUCUAACUCUUAUUCAUGAAACAUAAACUUUUCUAUUUCUUAUAAAUUAUUAGCCAUUUUUAGUACAGUAAAAAUGGUGGUUGAUUCAAUCUGAAUUUGAGUCUCUUGAAUAUCUAUUGCAGGCAUUGAUGAUUCAUGUGGUGAGCUAUGCGGAUAAAAUGAAUAUCAUUCUAUCAGUUGAUGAAAGUACAGUCCCUGAUCCUCACCAACUGUUUGAUGAGCUUGAAGAGUCUUUCAACCUCAUCAAGAAUGCUGUGAUGGCUAGAGACUAAACUCCACAGAAUGUCACAUGGCAAGGGCCAGGGUUAAUGUAAUUAAUAUUUAUAAUGUUCUGAAAUAAUUUUCUUAGGGUUCCUGCAAUAAUGAUGUUGUAUUAGAUGACUAAUUAUUUAUAAUGUACUAAAUAAAAAAUGCCUCUCUACUAUAUCUUUAUCUUAAUCCAAGUUCAUAUUUUUUGGACUUUAUUUCAUUUUUAAUUACUGUAUUUUGAUGACUAAUUAUGGGUUCUUUCUAAUUUCAUCUUUUAAUUUUUUAUUCUUUUUUUUAUUUUUUUUUUAUUCCUCAUAUCUUUUGCAGUAUCCAUUUUUAAUUUUAGGGCUUGAAUUUCUACUUCAUUUCAUUAAUUUCUUCCAUAAUUUUUAAUUUUUAUUAUUAUUAAAUAAUUGUAAUACUAUUAAAUAUGAAGUUCUUGGCUGGCUUACAUAAGAACCCAUCUCCUGGUUUAUAUUGAUCCCUACCAUUUUUGACUUUGAAGAGGGUCCACUUUUUACAUCUAAUAACAAAGCGUGGGUCCACAAGAGUGGGACUACAGACAGCAAGGAGGCCAUUGUCAAUCAUUCUCCAAUCUUGAGAAAAUGAGAAACACAUGUUUAAGGUGGGCUGCCACUUCAAAAAACAACAUUAUCUAAUUAAUGAUCCAUGCAUGCAUGGAUGGGACCCAUUUAAAAACAACAAAGAAAAUAAAAAUAAAAACAAAAAGAAAAUGAGAAACCUUGUUGAUGACAUAAUUUUAAAAGGACGCGUAAAAGUCUCUUACAAUUUGAGUGCAAAGUAUAACCCAAGGGACUUAAAAUCCUUUUUAAUUCUCCUAUUAAUAAAUCUUCUUAUCUUUUUAAAUAAAAUUGAAUAAAACUUUGAUUGUUUAACAUCCACUAUAUUCUAAGAAAUUUUAAAAAACUUAAAAGCUAAAAAUAUAAAAAUAAAGUAUUCACUUUCACUUUGCUCAUGAAAAAUAUAAAUAUCAAGAGAAAUACAAUAGGAUCAAUAUUUAUAAAAAAAAUUAAGUUUUUUUUGUUUUCAUUGUAUUGAAUUUUUAAGUAUUUUAAUUUUUAAAAUUUCUUAUUUUAUUAUUAUUCAAUAUUCCUAAGAAUGAUUGUUUUUAAAGAAAAAAAAAUUCUAAAAUAAAAUUUUUUUAAAAAGAAAACUAAAAGGGACACAAUUCUUUACAAUUAAGCAUCUACGUAUUUAUUUAUUUAUUAAAUUUACAAACAUAACAAGUAAAAUAGUCAUUUCGGAAAUAAUUAUAUAACUUAUGAAAAAGUGCAUAUAUUUUGAAAUAUUUUUAAAUGAAUAAAAAUGAAAUUGAUUUAUAAAAAUUAAAUUUUUUUUAUAUCUUUUUAAAUUAGCGAGUCCUAACCCACUUUUUCCUUUUUGAAAUGCCCAAUUACAAGGAAUGUCGGAUUGGUUUUAUCCUAACUUCUUAUCCUUCAAUAUAUAUGUUUAGUACUAUGUGAAAGCAAGAGAAAAUUAAGAUUGAUUUGCACAACUAUUUUUAUGUGAAAUUACUUUUUAAAUAUGUAAAAUUUAUGUUGAUGCCAUAAUUUAUGUGGGGAUUUUUUGUUUUAUUAUGAGCUUUUGAUUUAUUAUAGUGAUGCAUGGUGUUCAAUCGUCAAAUGAUUUAUUAGGAAAAGAGGGUUUUAGUCAUGCAAAGAAAAAUGAACAUGACUAUAUAUAAAACCCGACGAUGUAUAUAAUUAAUCCUAGGAAGAAGAGAGAUCGUGACUAAAAGUGCUUUCUUGUUAUGAUUUUGCCUAAGUGUGAGUAGACCGAUUGGUGUAUAGAAAAUAACCUUCGUAGUCAGACAAGGAGCCAAAGCCACCAUGCCCAUAAAUAUACUUUAUUUUUUUCCAAGGAGUUCAAUUACUUUAUAAUCAUUUAUUCUUAUGAUGAAAUAAAUAGAAAUCCAUUUGUCUAGCAAACGAGUUUUUAAUGUGAUUCAAUUAAUUAUAUUUAUUUUUAAUAUAUAAGAUCAUAUAAAAAAAUUUACAAAAGAAAAAAAUCAAAUCACACUCCCGAAACCUUAUAACAAUAUCUAUAUUCUUAAUUUAAACCUAUGUCUUAUGUGCUUUCCUCAUAUUUCGACAAAAAAUUUCAUAUAUCAAUCUUCAUCAUAUAUCAAAAAUAUUAUUAUGCUAGUAAUUUUCAUAUUGCAAAUAGAUAUUAUAUCUAAAAUUACCCACUCCUUUAAGAUGCAUUUUUCCAUAAUUCAUUUUCAAAAUUAUACUCUACAUUCUUUUACUUUUUCAUAUGAAAAUUAAUAUAUAUAUAUAUAUAUAUUUGUUUUUCUUUAAUUUCAUAUUUUCUUGGCUACCAAUCACCAUAUCAAGAAUUUUAUAUGAAAAAAAAAUAAAAAAUAAAAAAUAGCAAUAAUUUACUUUUUUGUCUGUAUUUCUAUCCUUUGAAUUGAAAGUGGAGCUAAAAAGAAAGAAAAUGUCCCAAAUAACUAAAGUCCUUAAAAUUAACCUCAAUUUGAUCUUUAAAUAAAUAAAUAAAUAAAAUCCUAAUGAAACCUAAUAUGGUGGAAGAAAACCAUAAACCUUGUUCCUGCAAGAUCCAAACUCAUCCAUAAUCCACAUAUUUCAGCAUUCCUAAUGCCCACACUCUUUAAAUCACCUCACUUUUUAUAUAAGAUGCUUGCUUAUGAAAGAAAAAACUCUAAAAUAAUAAUAAUAAUAAUAAAUAAUAAAGAACAUGUUAAAAGGAAGACAAACAUUUAGGUAGAAGAGUCAUGUUAAUUGGUGUUGUUGAUAUAACAAGUGAAAUGGUAUUUUGAGGAACAAUUAAAUGACUCACCGAAAAAGUGCCUCUAUGAUAUAAAGUAUAAUAAUUUUAAAAAUGUUUUUAAAGUAUAAUAUUUUAAAAAGAAUUUUUAAGAUAUGCUAUAGUUGUUUAUAUUAUAAUUUAUAUCUCAAAUUACUCAUAUUCAUGAAUGGUUUCUAUAUAUUUAUUUAAAAAGCAGUAUAACUUUAUUUCUUCUAACAAGGUGUAUUGCUAAUAUUGUAAUUAUAUACUUGAACAUAUUAUUAUCUAAUAAAAUUGUUGGCAAAUUAGAGGGUUGGUCGCGUCCAUCAACUCCCCUUGUAUUCGCCGUGUGUGCUUGGGUGAAUGCACCAUAAAGUUAGGAUAUGCGCAUUUCGUAUAAGCAAUUGCUUUUAGGAUAAUUAGUAGCGUCUGAGGUUCUACAAGUGGUAUUAGAGUCGAGGUCACGGGUUCAAACUCUAGGCGUGUUGUUGGGGGAAGAUGUGCACUAUAAGGUUAGAGUAUGUAUCUUUCCUACAAGCAAUUAUUUUAAGGUAUGUGCAUUUCCUACAAGCAAUUCCUUUUAGGAGAAUUGGUAAUGCCUGAGAGGAGAUGUGCACUAUAAAGUUAGAGUAUGUGCCUUACAAAGUAUGUGCAUUUCCUACAAGCAAUUCCUUUUAGGGGAAUUGGUAGCUUUCGAGGAUUUAACAUGUAUCUAAUUUUCAUGCCUAUCUAACCAAGAAUUUGAAAUGAAAAUGAAAUUCACUUUACAACUUUGAAUCAAAUCAUCCUCAAAUAAGAAAAGUUCCAUCACUAAUCUUUUGUGGCAAAACCCUCAAAUCUUUUCUUUUUUAAAAAAAAAUUUAUAUGGCCUCCAUCAUUAAUCCUAAAUUCAAUUUGAAAUUUGAUUCUAGAAAAAGUAAUAUGACUUCUCGUCCUAAACCCAGGUUGAUCCUAUAAAUAGGAGCACAACCAACGAUGGUGGAGGCACGCCAUCUUUCGAUUUCUAUUCUUCAGUUGUUUUUCAUUCUGAAAGCAGCUAGCACCAUGGAAACCCAAUCAGGUUUGAAGCACGCACUUAAGCCUAUUAGAAUUGUGCCUAAAGAAGGUGAUGAUCAGGAAGAUCAUCAGCCAUUGAGUCCAAUGACUCGUUUGUUUCAUGAACCUGACUGCAAUCUCUACGUUAUCGCCAUGAUAGGCUCGAAAACUCGCAUCGACCCUGACGUGGUUAAAGCCAACCUGGUGCAUAGUCUCCUUAAACACCCUCGUUUCUCUAGUCUGCAGGUAGAAAUCUUGCAUGCAAGAAGGAAUGAACUAGCCAUUUAGUAAUUUAAAGCUACACUGAACAUUUUUGAACUAAAAUGCAGCGGUGUUAUUCCAAAAUCCAUUGUGAAUUUUUUCAGUAUUAUUAAUCUAUUUCCAUUGUUUGCUAACCAUUAAAUCAUCUUCCAAAAUCAGGUUAUGGAGGAGGAAAAGGGAGGAGAGAUGAAAUGGGUUCCAACAAAAGUUGAUUUGGAAAAGCAUGUUAUAGUUCCAGACAUGUGUUCCGACAUGGAAACAUCAUCAGACAAGUACGUGGAAGACUACAUUUGCAACCUCACUAAAACAACCCUAGACCUUUCCAAGCCAUUAUGGGACCUUCAUCUCCUCAACGUCAAAACCUCCGACGCCGAGGCCGUCGCCGUUUUCAGGAUUCACCACUCCCUCGGCGAUGGCACGUCUCUCAUGUCUCUUUUACUUGCAUGCACACGCAAAGCCUCGGAUCCCACGGCUCUGCCUUCGGUUCCCAUGAUGAAGAAACCAAAAUUAUCGGUUGGGUCUGGAAAGUGGUGGAAGGCUUUCAGACUGGUUUGGAAUACUAUCAUCGAUGUUUUGAUGGUGAUCGCCACAGUGUUGUUCUUGAAGGACAGAGACACGCCUCUUAGGGGUCCGCCCAAUGUUGGAUCCACAGGACGGAGAAUUAUUCACAGGACGAUUAGUCUGGAGGAUGUUGUGAUGAUAAAAAAUGCAAUGAGCACUGUAAGUCAACUUGUUGCAAGCAUGGAAAACAAAUACAUGUUUUGCAACUGUUUCAAAAUAAAAAACAAUUUUCUGUUUUUCAAAUAAAAUAAAUAGAAAAACAGUUUAGAUAAUAAUAAUAAAAAAUAGAAAAUGAGGUAUUUUCAAGAAACAACUUUUAAUUAUUUUUAUUUUCAUUUGUUUUUGUGAUAAUUGUUUUCAAAAAUAAUUAUAUAAAUAUAAUAAUGAUUAAAAAUUAAAAGCACAAGUUAUUUUCAAAAAUAUAUUUUAAAAUAUAAGUUAAGAAUAUUCUAGAGUCAUUCCCGAAUAAAAAUUAUUUUCUAUAAAUGUUUAUGAAAAACACUUAUCAAACAAAGCUAUGAUUUUUUCUUUUUUGGACUAUGCCCCAUAAUUUUUUUAUUUUUUAAAGCAAAGAAAUACAAAGCUUUUUUACUUUACGAUCACUUCAAUGAAAGAGUGGGUAAUCAUAUAUUUGAAGAAGUUUAUAACUCCUCUCUCAAUCAUUAGUGGAGAGAUUAAGAACUAAAAUUUUUGUGGCUCUCAUGUGCAGACUGUUAAUGAUGUUAUGGUGGGAAUCACACAGGCUGGUUUGUCUCGGUACCUCAAUAGGCGAUAUGGUGAGCUCCUAUUUUAAUUUUCAAAAUUCAUAUAUUAAGUGGUGAAGAGUAAUUAUAAUACACCACCUAGCUACUCUCUCUAUGUAUAAAAGGAUGUUAUAAAGCUUGUAUGCUCACAUGGUAGCUGAAGGCAAGAAGAAUAAAGGGGCAACAGAAAAGAAAAAUAAUCUUCCCAAGAACCUUUCUAUCAGAGCAACUCACUUCAUUAACAUAAGACCAUCUGCAGGGAUCCAUGUGGGUGUUUCUACUUUCUUUAUCAACCCCUCGUGAAGGAAUUAGUUAAUUUCUCUUUGGGAAGUGUUUUCAAAAAAUGAAACACAGUUUUUGAAAACUGUUAUUUGAUAUUUUAUGAAAUAAAAGUUUGUUUAAAAAUCUGAAAUUAAUGUUAUUUAUGUUUUCUAUGUUUUAAAAUAUGUUUUAUUAUUAAUUGAUCUCCAUAUUUUUAUAAUUAUUUAUUAAAUAGUUCUUAAAAAAUGAUCAAAAAAUAUUUUCUGAAAACGCUUCAUUUUUAAAUAAUUAUUUUAUUUAAAUUUUUUUUCAAAAUUUAAAAAUUAUUUUAAAAUCAAUUUUCAAACAAGUCCUUAAUUUCUUGUCUAAUGCAUGUAUACAUUCAUAUCGUACAGACCUUAGCUGAAAUGAUGGAGAAAGGCUCUGAAGCGAAAUGGGGCAACUGGAUUGGCUAUGUCCUUCUCCCUUUAUCCAUUGCAUUACGAGACAAUCCUUUAGAUUACAUUCAAAAAGCUAAGGAAGCUAUGGAUAGAAAAAAAGCCUCUCUUGAAGCUCUCUACAUACAUUCCAUGGCUAAGUCAAUUCCCAACUUAUUUGGCACUAAGGUAUGAAUUAAUAUCACUCAACCUUAGCUUGUUUCCUCAAAAUUAAGUACUUCUAGCUUAAUUAAUAUCACUGUCUAAUAAACAAUUAAAAGUGGUAUAUAUAGGCUCACUUCUUUCAUUGGUAAACAGACCGGAAGCGUUCUAUGCCUCAAAGUCCCCUCCCGUACGACAAUAUGGUUCUCAAAUGUAGUUGGACCCCAGGAAGAAAUUGCCUUCUUUGGCCAUCCAAUAGCCUACAUUGCUCCAAGUUGUUUUGGUCAACCCAAUGUAAGUCUUUUUAAACUUUGUUUGACAAUGUUUAAAAAAUGUUUUAGCCUAUAAAAUGUUUUACAAAAAAAAAAUUAAAAUUUAGAAAUCACUUUCAAAAAGUUAAAAAGUAAAGAAAUAUUUGAUAGAUAAUUCUCUUAAUACUUUUUUUAAAAAUUAAUUAAUGUUUCAUGUAAAACACUCUCAAGAAAAACACUUCAAAGUACAUUCUUAAAUUGUGUUUGAUAAUAUUUUUACUCAGAAUGUUUUUAAUGAAAACAUAUUCUCUAAAAGUAUUUUAAGAUAAAUUAUCUAUCAAAUAUUUCUCCAAAAAAUACUAUAAGUGAUUUUUUAAUACUAUAAAUAAUUUUUCAUAUUUUUAAAAGCGUUUCCUAAAUUUUAUCAAAUACUUAAAGACAAAAAUGCUUCUUAAAAUUAUUGUCUAACUCUUAUUCAUAAAACAUAAACUUUUCUCUUUCUUAUAAAUUAUUAGCCAUUUUUAGUACAGUAAAAAUGGUGGUUGAUUCAAUCUGAAUUUGAGUCUCUUGAAUAUCUAUUGCAGGCAUUGAUGAUUCAUGUGGUGAGCUAUGUGGAUAAAAUGAAUAUCAUUCUAUCAGUUGAUGAAAGUACAGUCCCUGAUCCUCACCAACUGUUUGAUGAGCUUGAAGAGUCUUUCAACCUCAUCAAGAAUGCUGUGAUGGCUAGAGACUAAACUCCACAGAAUGUCACAUGGCAAGGGCCAGGGUUAAUGUAAUUAAUAUUUAUAAUGUUCUGAAAUAAUUUUCUUAAGGUUCCUGCAAUAAUGAUGUUGUAUUAGAUGACCAAUUAUUUAUAAUGUACUAAAUAAAAAAUGCCUCUCUACUAUAUCUUUAUCUUAAUCCAAGUUCAUAUUUUUUGGACUUUAUUUCAUUUUUAUUUACUGUAUUUUGAUGACUAAUUAUGGGUUCUUUCUAAUUUCAUCUUUUAAUUUUUUUAUUCUUUUUUUUUAUUUUUUUAUUCCUCAUAUCUUUUGCAGUAUCCAUUUUUAAUUUUAAGGCUUGAAUUUCUACUUCAUUUCAUUAAUUUCUUCCAUAAUUUUUAAUUUUUAUUAUUAUUAAAUAAUUGUAAUACUAUUAAAUAUGAAGUUCUGGGCUGGCUUACAUAAGAACAUCUCCUGGUUUAUAUUGAUCCCUACCAUUUUUUACUUUGAAGAGGGUCCACUUUUUACAUCUAAUAACAAAGCGUGGGUCCACAAGAGUGGGACUACAGACAGCAAGGAGGCCAUUGUCAAUCAUUCUCCAAUCUUGAGAAAAUGAGAAACACAUGUUUAAGGUGGGCUGCCACUUCAAAAAACAACAUUAUCUAAUUAAUGAUCCAUGCAUGCAUGGAUGGGACCCAUUUAAAAACAACAAAGAAAAUAAAAUAAAAUAAAACGAUGAGAAAAUGAGAAACCCUGGUUGAUGACAUAAUUUUAAAAGGACGCUUAAGAGUCUCUUACAAUUUAAGUGCAAAGUAUAACCCAAGCACUUAAAAUCCUUUUUAAUUCUUUAAUUAAUAAUGAUUUUAUAUUUUAUAUUAUAUAGAUAUCCCUUCAUCUUCUUAUUUUUUUUAAUAAAAUUAAAUAAAAUUUUUAUUGUUUGACAUCCACCAUAAAAUGAGAAAUUUUAAAAAACUUAAAAGCUAAAAAUAUAAAAAUAAAAUAUUAACUUUCACUUUGCCCAUAAAAAAUAUAAAUAUCAAGAGAAAUAUAAUAGGAAUCAAUAUUUUUUUUAAUUGUAUUUAAUUUUGAAAUUUUCUUAUUUUAUUAUUAUUCAAUAUUCCUAAGAAUGAUUGUUUCUAAAGAAAAAAAAUUUCUAAAUUAAAAAAAUUUAAAAAAAAAACACUAAAACUAAAACUAAAACUAAAAGGGACAUCGAUUCUUUACAAUUAAACAUCUACGUGAUUAUUUAUUAAUUAAUAUUACUAACAUAACAAGUAAAAUAGUCAUUUGAAAAUAAUUAUAUAACUUAUGAAAAAAUGUAUGUACUUUGAAAUAUUUUUAAAUAAAUAAAAAUAAAAUUAAUUUAUAAAAAUUGAGGUUUUUCUUAUAUUUUUUUAAAUUAGCUAGUCCUAACCCACUUUCUCUUUUUUGAAAUGCCUAAGUACAAGGAAUGUAAGAUUGGUCUUAUCCUAACUUUGCAUCCUUCAAUAUAUAUGUUUAGUACUAUGUGAAAGCAAGAGAAAAUUAAGUAAGAUUUGCAUAAUUGUUUUUAUGUGAAAUCACUUUUUAAAUAUGUAAAAUUUAUGUUGAUGUCAUAAUUUAUGUGGGGAUUUUUUGUUUUAUUAUGAGCCUUUGAUUUAUUAUAGUGUUGCAUGGUGUUCACUGGUAAAAUGAUUUACCAGAAAAAGAGGGUUUUAGUCAUGCAAAGGAAAAUGAAUGUGACUAUAUAUAAAACCCGGCAAUAUAUAUAAUUAGCCUCGGGAAGAAGGGGGAUCGUGACUAAAAGUGUUUUCUUGUUAUGAUUUUGCCUAAGUGUGAGCAUGGAAGAAAAUAUCGGUAAUCACGGAUAUAUCGGUACUUCGAUUUUACGGAUAUAUCGGAUAUAUCGGAGAUAUAUCGGCGGAUAUUCUGGAAAAAAAUAUCGGUAGACUUAAACUUGUUAAAAACUCAUGGAAAUGCAAGAAAAACCUCAUAAUAAUAUAAUUAGAAGUAUAAUUGACAUUUUAAAGUUGUUUUAUUGAAAAAUUUGAUAUAUAUAUAUAUAUGAUAUAAUUUGCGAUAAUAGAUGUAAUUACAUCAUGUCGAUCUAUAAGAAAUGUUAAUUUUGUAAUUGUUCUCAGUCACAUAAAAUAUUUCAUUUCAUUAAAUAUCAAUAAUUUGUACACAUUAAAUUCAUUAAAUAAACAUAUUUCAUAUUCAAAAUAUACUAUUUCAUGUUAAUUAAAUUAAUUAAAUAAUUUAGCAUGUUAAUUAAAUUAAUUAAAUAAUUUAGCUAAGUUAACUAGUUUAAUUUAAUUCUAAAUGUGAAAAUAAAUCACAAAUAAUCAUCUAAAAUAAACAUAUCAAUUUAUAAUUAAAUAAUCAAAUUAACCUAAGUUAAUUCAAUAAAAAUAUAAAAAUUAAUUACAAUUGAAUGUAAAAAUAACAUUAAAUCAUCCAUAUUGCAAACAUACUAAUUAAACAAUAUAAAAUAAAUAAUGAUAUAUAUAUAUAAUUUUUUAAUAUUUAAUUAAUUAUUAAUGAUAUUAAAAACAUUAUGAAGAAAAUUAUAUAAUUUUUAUAUUUUUGGUAAUUAAUUAAAAGACUUUGCAUUUAAUUAUAAAAUAAUUAUAAUUAAUUUGCUAUUUAAAAUAUUCUUAUAUUUUCUUUAUAUAAUGAAUUUAAGUAUAUAUAGAGUUGUUGCAUAUUAUAUAUCAAAGGGCAACUUAGCCCAGGUGGUAAGCGGAUGAACCCCAAACCAAAAGGUUUGGGGUUCAAAUCCUCUCAGCUCCAAGAAAAUGGAGGCACUGUAGCGCGUUGACGGGCACUGUAGCGGGUCUGAUCCGCGCUGACCACACGAUAUAUCGCGAGAAAUCGCAAGAAAGUCGAAACCCUUCGAUACACGAUAUUUCGGCGAAAUAUCGCGAUAUUUUCCUCCAUGAGUGUGAGUAGGCGUGAUCGUGACUAAAAGUGCUUUCUUGUUAUGAACUUAUGAUUUUACCCAAGUGUGAGUAGGCCGAUUGGUGUAUAGGAAAGAACCUCCGUAGCCAGAUAAGGAGCCAAAGCCACCGUGCCAUAAUUAUAUUUUAUUUUUUUCCAAGGAGUUCCAUUACUUUAUAAUCAUUUAUUUUUAUUAUGAAAUAAAUAGAAAUCCAUCUCUCUAGCAAACGGAGUUUUUAAUGUGAUUCAAUUAAUUAUAUCUAUUUUUAAUAAAUAAUAUCAUAUAAAAAAAUUUACAAAAGAAAAAAAUCAAAUCACACUCCCGAACCUUAUAACAAUAUCUAUAUUCUUAAUUUGAACCUUAUAACAAUAUCUAUAUUCUUAAUUUAAACCUAUAUCUUAUGUUAUUUCCUCAUAUUUCGAUAAAAAUUUCACAUAUCAAUCUUCAACAUGUAUCAAAAAUAUUAUUAUGCUAGUAAUUUUCAUAUUGCAAAUAGAUAUUAUAUCUAAAAUUACCCACUCCUUUAAGAUGCAUUUUUCCAUAAUUCAUUUUCAAAAUUAUACUCUAACAUUCUUUUACUUUUUCAUAUGAAAAUUAAUAUAUACAUAUUUAUAUAUAUAUAUAUAUAUAUAUAUAUAUAUAUAUAUUGAUCCCUCCUUUUUUUUCUUUUUUUUUCUUUUUUUUAUUUGUGCUUCUCGAGUCUAAAGACGUGAAGUACCUCUCCUUUACUAUUUGCUAUUUUUUCAAAAAAGUUUUCUAUUUAUGGUAAAGUUAGUUAUUUCCGGUAUGGUUGGCAAAGGAAGAUAACUUCCACGGUUUGUUCCAUCUAUAUAGGAGCCAAGACAAGAUCUCCAUCUUUGCCUCCUGUAAAAAAAUUCAAAAGCAAAACCCUAGAAACAAAACUAGAUCCAAACAAUUUUCAAUUAAAUUUCAUCUCCACAAACCAAAGUUUUCCACAUUUUUCUUCAAUCUAGGUGCCCUUUUUUAGUUCCCAGUUUUGUAAUGGAAUGGUCUGUAUCAUCUGCUACCAAUGCUUAUCUUGAUACCCUCAAACUGGUAGGCUUUAAUUUCUUCCACAUUUUUUAUUUUCAUUAAUUUCCUUUAAUCAACUGUUUAUGAUUAGGGAAAUUGGUCUUUCAUCUUUUAAUUUUGUAAGGAUUUUUUUUCCGUUUUUUUUUUUUGGUAUUUUUCAGCAGAAAUUAUCAAUUAUUCAUUACAAUGUGGAACCCAGAUGCGAUUUUUUUUAUUUUUAUUUUUUAAUUUCUUAGGGCCCCCCAACAAUGGGGAUCUAUAAAUUUAACAAGAAGAUUUACAAGUUAUAAAUUAAUGAAAAAUAUUCAUUAAGAGCUUCAGCUGCCCAACCCUAACUCAAUUUUCUGUCAUCAUGCAUGAGGAAAAAGAAAAAGAAAAAAAAUCUAAUAAUUACUUAAAAAUUAAAAAUAUUUAUAUAUAUUUUUUUUAUAUAAAAACCUAACUAUAAAUUUGAACGAGUCUGCCAAUCUACCAAUAUUUAUAUAAUAUUACGUGCCAUUUCAAAAUUAUCAUCCCUAGAGGGUGGCCGUCUAGGUAGCUAGGGCUAACGCUGCUACUUCCAUUGUUUUCCCAUGCAGUGCAACGAUGAGAAGAGACGGCAAAACUCAUGGAAGACGCCGGAGCUGGAAAGCAAUGAGUUCAUAUCAGCCCUAGCAGCAGGCAUGAAAGCAAAGCUUAUAGUUGAGGUUACCUCUGGGGUGUCUCCAUCAACCAUAGCCCUAGCAGCGGCCGCCAGACAAACCGGAGGCCGGUUGGUCUGUAUUCUCCCUGAGCGAGUCCUGGACGAAUCCACUAAAGUGAUCAAAGACUCGGGCCUCAGAGACAUGGUGGAGUUCAAAACCGGCGACCCCUUUGAGCUGUUGCCCAGCUAUGAAAAGAUAGACUUCUCUUUCGUCGACUGCAAGACCGAAAACUAUUCAAGGUUGGUGAAUGUACUGGAUGUUAACCCUAGAAGAUCAGUGGUGGUGGCGAACAAUCUGGUGGGAGGGAAAAAAGGGUUGGGAGGCCAUGUAAAAGGGCUGAAGGAUAAGGUUGAAGUGAGGUCCAUUGGAAAAGGCAUGGAGGUGACAAUGAUAGGGAGAAGCGACGACACCGAUCAGAAGAGCGAUUGCAGUGGAAGAGGUGGAGAAGGAGGAGGCCAUUCUCAGGGUAAAAGAAGAGGGGCCAAAAGCAAAUGGAUUGUGAAGGUUGAUGAAGAGAGUGGAGAAGAACAUUUUUUUAGGAUGCCCAGGUCUCUUUAGAGCUUCUUCCACAAGAAACUUCGUCCAUGGCAGCAACGCGGAGGUGAAAUAAACGCAUUGGCACUUUCAGAUACAAUCUAUAACAAGGUCAUACCCUGAAAAACCAAUUUGUUCUAGUAUACCAAUUUGUCGGGCUUUUUUUCGGGUUUUCAGUGAAUCAAGUGACAGGAAGAACAAGGAGGGAUCAAUGUCACCCCUGCAGCUAAACAUCAACCAGAUUUAUCUAUUGAAGUACUAUUAAACAAGGCCCACUGUCUACUAUAUAUAUUGGUAUAUUAUCUUCCUAAGGUAUAGAAAUAAAACUAAUAGUAAUAUCUCUUACUGCAUAUUAUGGUGCCUCUUCAUGUCAGCUUUGUUCCAAAUUUUUGGGGUGGAUUCCACAUGAUGAAUUCUCCUUUUCAAAUUUCAGUUGAGAUGUCAAAGGAGAGAAAGAAACCUUUAUGUUAUCUUGUGAUACAAACAAGAGGGGGCUCAAAAGUUCAUAACCAUCAAUUGUAUUCCCAGCAAACUAAGCAAUAUUUAAAAGUCUAAGCUUGAUGAUUAUGUCCCCUUCAAGUUCCAUAAAAACCAAUAGAGAGUAGCCCCACCAACUCCUUAAUAUGAUUAGAAGUUGGGAUUAAGACCGAUAACCUACUGAUCUAGAAACAUAAAUUGUCAAAAGAAGUAUGAUAACCUUCUUCUUGGAAGAAAAUAGACCAUUUUUUUAUCAAGUUUUAAGCUUUUUGUACCAUCUUGGGGGCCAAGAUUGUUUGUGAUUGUGAUAACUAUGCAGUGAAAUUGAGAAGCUAAAAACCCAUGUCCAUGAACUUCACAAGAUCCUAAUAACUGUAAUGUCAUUUACCUAGAAUACCAACCAAUCAACAAAUUUUUUCCUAUCCUUUCCCCCUUCUUUUCCAGGAAAAGUGGGGGGUGGGAAAUGAUGGUUGCUUAGUUUGUAAACUAAAUUCAUGAAACCACAGCCUCAAAAAACUAUACUCCGUAGACUUGGUCCCAAACCCAUAAUGCCCUAAACCACCGUGUCAUUUUGGCCCAUUUCCAACAACAUGAAUUCCCAAAUUCUAGACUAAUCAGAAAAUAAAAUAAAACCUUUUCUUCUUACUUUUUUUCUGAUUCAGAGUUUUCAAAUAGUAGUUGAUGACAAAGACAACCAAGCGGUUGGAUGGUGUGUCAACAGGGUUUGGCGGGAAUGAUGAUUACCCGCCACCACCAACAAUGACCACCCCCAUCACCUCCAUCACCACCAAAGCAAACGAUAAUAAUAAUUCAAUCUUCAUAUUCAAGAAACUAGUACCUCUCAACUGCUUCGAUGCCUACACAAUCACAACCUCUCUUUUUCUUCUUCCCAACCUCUACCCUAUCUUAGAUCUCCUUCCAUUCCAUUGCCAUGGCAUAUUCUCAAUCUGGGGCUUCAUCUAUCAGUCUCCUUUUUGGAUUUUUUGUUGUUUGGCAGGCCAGUUUGAGCUUUUUCGCAGUGGCUGAUGAGGUCGAGGCAGGCGGAUCCAAUCUUUGUGGAGCUGAUUUAUCCACCUUUCUUCCACCCCCUUAUAGCAAUAUGUCUAAUAUGAUUUGUUCCCCAGUUUGGAAUACUUUUUCUGUGAGAGUAAGUCCCAUUAUACCCUUUCAAAUUGUUUGUAUUUAAAUGAUUGAGAAGAAUUGGAAUUUGAAACUUGUCAUCGUUUUUUAUCCUCGAGUUUUCUUAGGUAUUUUCUGUUGGAAUAAUGAAAUUUUUAGGAUCCUUUUCCGGGGAUUUGAUGAUUUUAAGGAGAUUAAAAACUCUCAGCAUCAUGUAAGGUACAUUAUUGAGAAUUUGAUAUUUGGAAGAUGGGAAAAUUUAAUCAUUGAGCUGCAGAGGAGAUUGGUCUGAAUAUUUGGAUUCAUCAACUAAAUCAGCCACCUUAGGCAGGAAUUUUUGCUAAAGCUAGACCCACAAAAGUUUUACAAGUUUUCUGAUGUAGUAACAUGAAAAAUUGUUUUGCAGUACACCCAGAACAAAGACAAUGUCUUGACCAUUAUAUUAUCAGCAGUAUACACUACUGGAUGGGUGGGAAUAGGGUUUUCAAGAGAUGGGAUGAUGGUGGGUUCCAGUGCAAUCGUGGGAUGGUUCAACAAACAAGGUCACGCAAGAAUCAAACAAUACUACCUACAAGGCACAAAGACAACUCAAGUCAUACCCGACAAAGGGGAAUUACCCCUGACUAAAAUUCCCUCUGCUGUUGCUCUUCAUGGGGCUACAAUGUACAUGGCAUUUCAGAUUAAGCCUGAAGAUCGCCUCACUCACCAGCCCAUCCUAUUAGCCUUUGGAAGUGGAUAUCCAGUCCACAACCACCUAACGCACCAUGACGACAAAACAACCAUCCUGUUCGACUUCUCUGCAGGUUGGUUCAUCUCCAUUCUUCAAGAACAAAGUAAGCUAUAUAUGCGGCUAAGUUUGAUGAAAGUAGCAGCAACAGCAUAUAGGUGUAUCUGACCUAUUGUGGCACUAAGAAAAGGACACCCAAUGGCUCUUUAUAAGUUCAAAAAACACAACUAACAUGAAAAUUUUCGCUCGUGUCACAGGUUCUGUAUCCACUGGAUCCAACGGUGUUGUCGAGUUGAAGAAGAAUCAUGGCAUAUUGGGCAUUGUUGGCUGGGGUCUAUUCCUUCCUUGUGGGGCAAUUGUAGCUAGAUACUUCAGACAUAAGGAUCCCCUAUGGUUUUAUCUUCACAUAUCUAUUCAGUUUGUGGGAUUCAUCUUUGGGCUUGCGACCGUGGUAGCUGGAACGCAACUCUAUAACAAAAUCCAUGCCCAUGUACGUACACACAGGGGCAUCGGUAUCUUUGUUCUUACGCUUAGCAUUCUUCAGGUUUGUCCCUCAUCUGAUGAUUAGGUUUCUCUCAUCUUUGAUUUGCGCUUUUUUAAUCUGUAUUUCUGGGUUGGGUUUCAGGUAAUGGCAUUCUUUCUACGACCAAACCAUGAGGCCAAGACUCGAAAGUAUUGGAAUUGGUACCACCACUGGGUUGGGAGGAUUGCCCUGUUUUUGGGAGCUUUGAAUAUAGUUUUAGGGAUCCAAAUUGGAAAUGCUGGGAAUUCAUGGAAGAUAAGCUAUGGAUUUCUACUAGGUGCAGUUCUAAUCUCAGUUUUCGCCCUGGAAGCAUUGUUGUUCAUGAGGAAGUCAGAGAAGCUCAAUGAGAACCCAGCCUUCCAAAUGAAUCCUGUCAUGUAAUCAAAACCCAAGAACUCCAUUAAAGGUCUUCUCUAGAUUCUUACUCUCAUCUGUACCUAAAGAAGGGUCGGUUCUAGAUUUUGCAUGUCAGGAAUUGUUCUACACUCAACCUCAGCCGCGAUGAACUGCAUUCAGGUUCAGUUUAAACAGAAUCUGAACUGAACCGGAAUUUACGAGUGGUUUGGAAUGUCUUAUGGUAGAAAAAUGGUGAUAAUAAGCAGAUAAGGGUUUGCAAAUUGAGGCCAUUCUAGCAUGAAAAACUUGCAUCCACAGAAUUCAUAAAACUUGCAUCCACAGAAACUCAAGAGUGAUGAAGCUUUGUUUGAGUUACAAGUUUGGUUUUCUCGGCAGCCAAAUGAAAUUUCAUUUGGGAUUAUCGAGCAUUAAUUUUGUUAGCAUGAGCAUAGUUUCAAUUCUUUUGUUAAUGUUUCGUUUGCUUCUGUAGAAACUAUUACUUAGCAACAUAUAUAUCAUUUAGCACAUAUUUACUUGUUUGUGUGUGUAUUUCAUUCAUCUCAUAUCCACUUACUGCAACCACUCCAAAAAAGAUCCUAUUAUACACGCAAAAAAAACAAAGAAGAAAAAAUAUCCUUUCCUACAUAUUCUCAAGAGUAAAACAGAGCAAAGAAAAUCCAUGAAGGAUGAACAAAAUCAAGCUCUAAAGCAUAGAAAUCAGUGAGAUAUAAUUGGAAUUCACUGAAGCUACGUCUAAUUAUUAAAACAAAAUAGUACUGACUGAAGAAACAAUGCCUCUUUGAUCAAUAAGCCCCAUUUGGAAUGAAGAUCCUAAUGCAUUUUCUGGUUUUUUUUCCCCCCCUUUUGCAAAGAAAUGUGGUUGGCAACAGAUUUUCAAAAAACUGUUUUCCAAAAAUAUUUCCUUAUAUUUUCAGAAAAUUUUAAGAUCAGAAUCAAACAUCCUCUGUUCUUAAAAAAACAAGCCCUUUCUAAUAAUUGAAAACAUAAAAAUAAUUAUUUUCAUUCAACCAUGCCCUAAAUUUCUCAGUUCAAUAAUUUAAUGCAGUUUCCAAUUCUCUGUUUGGAAAUAUGAUCUCCCUUUUCCGUUCUCUAAUUGUUGUAUUGCAAAAGCAAUAUCAAAACAGAUUGGCAGAAGCAGUACUGAAUUCUUUCCUCUUAUUAGUAACCAAAGACAAUUCAUCAAUCCCAAUCAAAAAGGAAUUGAAGUCAUAUACAAUUAAAUCAAAUUAAUUAUUAAAGUCGCCGUGGGAACCAAGAAAAAAGAAAAACUAAUCCUCAGUUUUUUUAUUGCUGUGAACCAAAAUUUUCUAACUAAAUUAAGAAUCAAUGUUUUCACCUUAAAAAGACCCCUCUUCAAAUCCCAGAAAGUAAAUUUCCUAUAUAAACCUGCAUAUCAAGCAAAACCACUGAUCAGUGCAUGAUAAUAUACAAAUAACCUAAUUUAACAUCCAAAAAUACAAAUGCAAAUUUCCAAGGUUUCAGUAGACCACAGAAAGAACUGGGGAAAGAAAAAAAGAUUAUGAAAGAAUCACAAAUUCACUUGUUGAUUUACCAUGGAAAGGACAAAGGAAAAUCAAAUAUAACAAAAAUUAUUUUCUGAUACAAUGAUACGUGACAUUAUGAUAUAAUGAUACGUGACAUCCUCAAUUAUUUUCUAUAAUUUAAAAAAAAAUCAAAUUAAAUUUUUUUUAAAAAGAAUUUAUUAUGUUAAUUAUUUAAAAUAUACUAAAAGAUUAAAAAUUGAUCAUAAAAAGGAGAAAUAGGUAAAAUAAUUUUAUCUAAAAAGUUGCAUUCUUGUUGUCAAAUGUUAUAUUAAAAGUCAAGUUUAUCUUUACAGUGAAUAUUGAAAAUUUUCCAUUUGAAAGUUGAUAAUGAAAACAAUGGUAAUUAGUGAAUAAAAUUUUUUACUUAAUAUAUUAGUUUUUUUCUUAAUUUCUUUUUUAGGGGAAAAGAAAUGACGACAAAUCUAAAAAGCUAGAAAUUUAAAGAUCACACACAUAUAUAUAACAACACAAUAAGUGCAUAUGCCUAGUCAAAAUUUGGAACUAAAAAUCAUAGCUAAAAAUUGAAGAAGUUUAUUUUUAUGGAUUAUGUGAUGAAUUUACAUAUUAAAGUUAUAUUUUGCUAAUUUGAACUUGUCAAAAGUUUAUCAUUCAAUGUUUUCAUAUGAUAUGAUGUAGUUUAACUCUUUAGAUUCCAUUAUCUUCCAUAAAAUUGGUUAUAUAUUACUCUAUAAUCCAUACUUUCAAUAGAUAUUCACACAUACAUAUUUUUUCUAUUUAUUUUUCACCAUAUAAAAAAACUUACGAUACACGAUACAAGAUACUUGAUACAGAAAAAUGGAAAAACGAUACACAAUAUGUUUUACGAGUUAACAACUAUAGAUACAAACAGUAGUUCCAGUUAUGAAACUGUGUUCUAGGUGCAUAAAAAAUUCAGAAAUCCCCACUAAUCGCUGCAAGUCUAUACUAAUUUUAGAACAAUUUAACAAACAGAACCAAAACUUGAAUAGCAGGAUGAUACCUGAUGUGAAAAAGAUGGUCUCCUUUCCUGCAUGAUUGUUUAUAUUUAGACCCAAGAUGAAGUAAAAUGAAAAGCUCCUGCAGUAUUGGUUUUUGAAUGUUGGAAUAGUAGCCUGAGAAAUCAAAAUAUUCUGCAUUGAGACCAUAUGGAUAUUGUACCCAUGUGAUGAUUAGAAUGUUUUAACAGCUUGGUCACUUAUAGUUUGUGGCCAGAAGGUUCCAGCAAGAGAGUUGGAACCCAUGGUGAUGGAAAUUUUAAAAUAAAUAAAUAAAUAAAAAUAAAAAUAAAACACCAUCCUAUGAGCUACCAUUUUCUCCUCAAUAAAAAAUCAAUAAUAAAUAGAGUGAUGGCUUUGAUUAUAGGGAACUAACCUGCAUUUUCCAGGAAGUUGGUGUAAUCAAAACACUGAUAGGUAAGUUGCAACCAUGAUACAAGAAAUUUUCCAAGAUUAUCCUGCCACUUGUAUAUUGACAAAAUGAGGAAUGCAACCUUCUUUCUCUCUCAACCAUCCUGCAACCAUAAGGUCUGUGAACAACAAAUCUGCGGGUUACACAGCACCAGCUGCACUCUCUUCCCUCAAAGAAAUGCUGUUUGACUUGGGAACUUCACUCCCUCUGACAACUCUGUUAUAUAUAACUUUGAAAGAUUGCGAGCCAUAUGGUCGAUUGAGCAAACUUAUCGGCAUUCUCAGAGUCUGCUUUCGGUUUCUUCUCCCUCGUAUCAGAAUGCUGAAAGUUUUCUCACCAUCAAUCUUCUUCUCACUACUGAUUCCAGUACACUCAUUUGGGCUGUUACUGUGACCCAGUUGUUCCUUCCCAGAACUUUCAACCGUACAAGGAUCUGAAUGAGCAAUUUCCUUCCCAUUUUCUGAGCCAACCACAGGUAUUAUAUUUGCAUCACCCAUUGCCUCUGAUGCAAGAAGAUUCACUUCCUUAAUAGUUUCUCCCCCAUUGCUAAUCUCUUCGGGCAGGAUUGGAGCCGAAAUCAGACCUUCAGAAUUACCAGAUUGCACUUUUGGCUCCAAAAUGGGAUCAGAAAUUGGCUCAAUAACAGGUGGAAUGAUAGAAAACUCCAUUGGAUGGCAGCCCGGCCAAACCGUACCAGGCAUAAACUCUGAUGCAUUAGGAUUCAUAUUACAUUGCCAAGCAAAAUGAUUGGGAUGAAAUGGGCUGCUAGUCACAGGAAAGUUACUGGCCGGUAUUGCUUGGGGUUGAGUAUAAGGAGGAUACAUAAAAGGUAAUGGGUGCAUCAUGUUUGGGGUUGGAGGAGGUGAUGGGUAUGGGUGGUGAGGAGAGGAGCACAUUGGAUUAACUGCAGGCAAGACAGCAGCAGGCCCUGGAUGAAGAGUCAUGUUCAAUGGCCAAGCAGAAACAGCUGGAACGGCACCGGGACCAGAAGAGAGAGUAAUAUUCAUGGCCACUGGUGGAGGACGUGCUAUGGCUGGUGAUGGAUUGAACGGAGCUGCUGAUGCAGACAGCUUCUUAUUGGGCAACUCUCGAGUAUCACCUGAAUUCAGAACUGAUGGUUUGUCCUUUAAAUUUUCAACUCCCUGCAAGGCAGAGUGAGAAUUUUCAUUGGGCUCAGAACUGCUAGGGUCCUCAGAUAGCUCCUCAUUAGGAGAAUCAGUUGAAUUUGGCCUGCCAUCCAUUUUGACACCACCCUGUACCACCUCUUGAACCUCAGCACCAUGAGAUUCAACAGCUUCCACGCUCUUAGAAACAAUCUCGGAAGGAAUAUUUCCGAUUGCAUCACCUGACUGAGUUUCAUUUUUCUUUUCAACAACUUCGACUUCAUCUUUUAAGUAAUCUUUAGAAUGUAAAAUAGAAAUCUUAUUCUCCUCUGCAUUGAUAUUUACCGCCUCUGUAAUCAUCGAGUCUGUACUUUCACUUGGUUCAUUGGUUUCCACUUCUGGUUUUCCAACAUCAAGUUGCCGGUUAUCUGGAAUAUCAUUUUGGAACACUGUCACCUGCAUCUUAGCAAUAGUACCAGGUGGGGCCAGCGCUACUUCCUUGUAUGAAAGAGAUUUUCCAAGACUCACUACUGAUUUCUUCUGUGAAAUUGGACUCAUGUCAUUUGGUGCAGAAAUUGUACCAGUUUCUAAUUUUGUGGCUGUUUUAGUAGAUGGCACAGACUUCACCCUGUAUGUAACAGCUUUAACUAUUCUGCGCCCAAAUUUAGUACCUGGGGAGGAGCCUGAGGUGUGGUAAUCUGUACUGCCAGCAGAUAUUGUACGUCUCUUUAGCAUGUAAUACCUACUAUUCUGAUAAGUAUUCUUAACUUGACUAUAGUCCAAUUCAGUAUCCACAUCCUUUUUCUGAUAACUAUAGACCUUGCUGAUAGUUGUUCUUCGCUGUCUUAUUCGCCGCCCAUAUGAACCAGCUGAUCUCGGCCUUUGAACUGAUUGCCAUCCAUCUUCUCCUUCAGCAUUCGUUUCGGAGGAGGUUUCAUUGCCAAUGUUCGGCGUGUCCCCAGAAGCCUCAUCCAUAACAGGCUGUUCGGCAGGAACUGAAGCAAACCUGGUUUCAUGAUUUGUAUCUACACUUCCUCCAGAUUCACGUAUUUGUUUUUCUUCAUCUGAAGUUUCCUUUGGGGUAUCUUUUGGAGAAUCCUCGGGACUUGCUAAACUGAAAUCUUGGUAGGAUGUCCCUUUAACCUGCAAAGAAAGAUUCAAAAUGGUUUAAUGAGAUUAAAGUUACAGGUAUAUACACGCACAUAGACAUGAGGGCUUCAAAAUAGGCAUCUUGGCUGUCAUUUAAUUAUGUUGAAGGGUGGGCAAUUUUGCUUCUUAGAAAAAACUAGCAAAAAAGAGAAACCAUCAUUAGAAAAUUGAAUGUUUGACCUCCAAAACUGCAAAAAGGACAAAUUUCCUUCUUUCAUUUUUUUCCUUUUUUUUUUUCUUUUGUUUUUCUUGGUUGAAAAAAGACAUGUUAAUUGGAGAAAAUGUUUUGUUGGUUUUGUGAAAAAUUGUCCCCAUACAUGUCUGGGGUAUUUUAGCAGCUCACUGUUUGUUUACUCCUCUUUGACCCGAAACCAAGCCGCCUCCUUUGAGAUUCUUGCCCAUGGCUGAGCUGGCUUUAGGCCACAAACUAGGCUAGAUGGAAGGCUCACUAAUGGGCCAAAAGAUUAGCCAGAGGAGUUUUACUGCAGCAGUUUCACUGAUUGGGUCAUUUAACAUAGCUUGAUUACAUUACCAACCUUCCUUUAGUGGCUGUUGGCAAUUGAACUAAGGCUGUGAAAGGGUGACAUGCAGACAAAUCUUGAAGGGUCAACAAAUAACAGCAAUUAGUCAAUCUUCCUCAUGCCAUGAUAUUAGUCAAUAAAAACUUUUUUAAGCCUAUUCCAGAUCUCUUUCCCAUUUGCUAAGGGUUAAAAUAAUUUGAACAACCUACAGGGAAAAAACAAUAUACCUUUGCGAUAUAGCUUUUCCUUUUCACUGUCACAGCAUCUCUUCCUUUGGCAUCUUGACUAGGAUUGAUGUAGUCAAGCAAAUCUGAUACACUGCCAAGUAAAAUAUAUCAUAACUAUUAUUAGCAAGGAAACAUUAGUUUAUGUGCAAGAAAGAAACCCAUGCCAAUUUUCAACCUCUAUCAGGCACAUGUAUCAUAUAGCUAGUAAUGAUACCAGUCUAUGGGGUCCUCCUGAUGAAUAUUCCUAAAGGCCAUCUGUACCACAUUUAUUGUUCUAAUACCCUGUGUCUGCCUUUCAGUCAUGAAGAUACUCCUCAAAAAGCACUAUAGCCAGGAAAGUACAGCCUUUUGACAUGGUUCUCUUGAACAAGAAGACCCAAGUGAAGCCUAUUGAAAGUUUAGGUUCAUGAUGCUUGCAAGGUGACAUUUAUAGCAAGUACACCUUUUUUCCCAAAUAUUUUUAGGUUAGUAUUUCCCAUAUGAUAAUUUUUUAAAAUAGUUUAUUUUUUAUAUUUAUUAAGAAAUGUAAAAUGAACCAGACUAAUAACAAUGCAACCCAAUGGUAUGAUGAAUCAUCAAAAUAGCAGGGGCAACUGUGCACCCUAUCAACUUCUUAUGCAUGAUCAAUUGCAGAAUGGUCAAUCUUGCCAAGGACAAUGCUGGCAUACCUUAGGUGGCCUUUGCUGGCUAUGGAUGCAUCAGGUUUUCGAGUCCCAUUUCUUGCAGCUUCUUGCUGUUCAAAAGCCUUUGACUCAAAGUACUCGAGCCAAGCAGCAGCAUCCUACAGCAUUCCAUUACAGAACUUAGAACCACUUUCAAAUGACAAAACUUGAAUAGAAUGAAAUUAAAAAGAAUCAUCACACGUGCUUCAAAAAGAUGAUAUAGAAAGCGUCAUCAUGCAGCACACAAGCUCAUUUAUUCAAAUCAUUCCUUUGACAGGACUCCAUAUUUAAAAUCAAGGUCGUUAAUUAUCCUAACUAUCAAACUACUUUCAAUCCUUAGCACUGCCAACUAAGUUAUUUUAUAGAUAAACCAUGUAAAAUCCAUGUUAUGGUGUGAAUAGCUAGUACCUUUAAUAAAUAAUAAUUCAUGCAUAUGAGCUAUUACUUUAAGUAGCAAGGGACAUAAAUGCUUCCAAAAGAAAAUUUAUGAUUUGUGGAUAUCUUGGACUCAAUACCUGUGUACGCAGGUCAUCAGGGCCCAGCUUUGCUCGGAGAAUUUGCAAGGUUGUUUGCUCAUGCUGAACGCUCAAAGGGUAUGCUUCCAUCAAUGAUAGAGCAAUUGCUAUUGCAUGGUAACUUGCUGCUGUCUGGAGAGCAUUAAAAGAGAUGGAAAUUAGCUCCAAAGGAAUGAUAUACACAAGUGUGGCCCAAAAUAAUUUUUCCCUUCUAAAUUCAGAUGAAAUCCUCUGAGAUACUGUAAUCUGUUACUUAAAUAUACAAUAUGUCCAAGAUGAUGUUUAUAUAGCUAAAUUUUUUUUUAAACAAAGUUUGUAUUUGGGAAAGAAGGCAAAGCCCCAAGCUUACAGUUGAGCAGAAGCAACCCCAAUAGAAUCAUUGGAUAGCUUUAGCCUUAUGGCACAGAUUAUGGUUAUAAACAGUACUGAUUCCCUACUGUGCAGAAUACAUAUCUUCAAUCUGUACUGGAGAAUCAGAUCCUAAGAGAAAACCCCUAGCUAAUAAGCCAUUUAGUACCAUUAAGUUAAGCAUAAAAGAGAUGCUCUUUUUGGAAAAAAAUGAAGAGGGGAAAAACCAUUACAAGCUCAACAUCCUAUAAUAUAGCAAAUAAGAUUAUUGGGUCUAAAACAGGGAAGAUUACAAUUACACCCCUUCUAUGGUAUAGCAAAUAAGAAACUCUGGCAUAGUCAUAAUAAACACAAACAGAACUUCCAUUAAAAGAUAUCAAGGCAGUGUCCAUUAGUGUAAUGGUAGUAAAAGUACUACUAUACUAAUAACAACUGAAAAAAUAAAAAUAGUAUUAAAAACAGCACACCAGGCUCCUUUUUUAUCAGUUCUGUAAAUCUUGGAAGGAUUUCUCAUCCUUCAUUGUCCUCACCAAGUUCAAUGCAAUGAAUUAUCUUCCUUCUAAUAAAACAAUUACAACAACAAUAACAGAGUUGUGGGUAGGGGGCAGGCAGAAACUUGAGCUCAAUAAGAGCUCAUAGUUAAACUUGAUCUUACACAGUUACACUCUACAUAAUUCAUUAUUUAAUAACAGGCUCCCACGCAUCUUUGAGAAAAUUAUGAACUAAAAGUGCUUGAUACAUUUAAAAAAUAACCAAAAAAGGAAAAAAGAAAAAAAGAAAAGCACUUUCGAACCAACCACAUUCAAAGUGAGUGUUCAAUGAGCCUACCCUUGUCAUACCACAAAGUAAGCACACACCAUGUUCCCAUUCAAUAUAUCAAAGUAAUCCAUGUUCCAACUCACAUUAGAUAAAAUAUUUCAUUCCGUCAUCAACUAUAAAUCAAAAGACUAUAUUAUAAAUGGAAAAAAAAUAAACAAAAAAAUAAAAGACAGGAAGAAGCUAAAAUAGGGAGGAACCUGAAUAUGAUCUGGACCAAGUAACUUUUGGUUGCACUUUAGAGCUUUAUGAAGAUAUCUGAGGGCCACAUGCACAUGUCCAAGGCCUUCCUCCAUCAUAGCCACAUUGAUAUAUGUCGCAGCAGUGUUUGGAUGAGAUGGGCCACAAGUGAGAUGCAGAAGAUACAGCGCGCGUUUUACAUAUCUGAUCAAUGAAAAAUGUGGCCAGGGGUAAAAAUCAAAUGGAAGCAAAAAGGCCAUGGAUAAACAGGCUAGUAUAGAAUUCUGUGUCUUACAUCGCUUAAAACAUUUAGGCAAAAGCAUGAUAAUGUACAGAAAAAGUUAUGAUUAGACGGGAUGUUAUUUUCAAGUUAAUUAAAAAAAAACCUAUGAUUUAGCAUUCAAACAAAAUAAAAAGUGAAGCAUGUUGCUGAAACCUAAUAGAACAAAAUGGAAUCACUACAGAAGCAAUAGUUCCUCCUGUAAUCCUAAUGGUAAGUACGUAUGUUCCUAGCAUAAGAAAGAAACUAGAGCACAAACUAGUAUGACAUUAUUGAUAAACCCAUCAACUACAUGCAUCCAAUAAUCAGUAUACUGCAUGUAAAGCAGUCCUAAAAGACAAAAAGGCCCGAUAUUAAAAGAAUCAAACAAUUAAAUAAAAAGAAAUGAACAAGCAAAAGAGAUAUAAGCAGUCCUGGAAGGAGGACAUACUAGAUAUAUGUGACCAUACUACCAGGUUGACUUUUAGGUCAGCAGAUCAAUAACAAUCAUAUUUUAGUAGCGUCAUGUGAAACUUUGUGUCAGCAUCUUUGUAACCAAUGCACUUUCUAAUCUAUCCAAUAGGUACACCAGAUUCUCUAUUGACAGAACCAUAUGGCUUUAUCGACUAUUAGAGAAUUGAUUAGAAGCUGCUUAGAAGAUCAACAAGUAAUAUGGAAGACAAGCUAAUAUAUUAUUUCUAAAGUACAGUCCAAAUGGUGCACAGAAAACUAAACAAGUGAAAUAUAUUAGAUGCCAUUGGCAAGUCAAACAAAGGUGGAUGUAUUCUUAUAUCAGUGCUCCAAUAGUAUUUACAUAUCAGUGCAAACCUUUGAUUCAACAUCCUUCAUAAUCUUUAGUCAAAUAAAAUUCCUCAAUUUUUUCCACUGCAUAUAAUUGGUACUUGACUUAACAAAAUUAUCAUUCAAACAGUGUCAGAAUGAAGGUUUAAAAAAACUAAUUGGCAUAGCCAUUUCCCUUUUAUUCAUGUCAGACUCUCAGUAAUAAAUGACAAUAUCAUCUUAUUUAGUGAAAAAAAAAACUAAAUGACAACAACAAUAAAGAAGGGAGGUUUCAAGUUUGAGUUCCAGUAGGAACAAAAAAAAUGGUAAGUAUCAAAAAAGGGAAAAACAAUAUAACUUGACUGCUGAAAUUUCAAGCAAGAAAGCACAAAUGUUUAUGAAUAAUACAUGAAAAGUCUAUAGUGCAUUACACAAGACCAACAUACUUGAGAGCCAGUUCUGUGUGUUGAAGUCUGUAAUAGAACACAGCAAGAUCUCCAUAACUCUUCAUUGUGUCUGGAUGAUCAAGUCCUAGUUCUCUCUCAUUGAUGUCCAACGCCUUUUGUUGAUAAAUUGUGGCCUGAAAUUGGGACAACUCUUGAAUUAACCAUAUAGUUAUGGAAAAAUGAGAAUAGGCAACAAGGAAAAAAAAAAAAAAAAACAGCAUAGAUUUACAUGGAAAACCCUAGAUGGGAAAAACCAUAGGCAAAGGAGAAAAAAAUCCACUAUGUCAAAAAUUGGUGCAAAAGGGGAGAGAUUCGAACAACUACUACAUAGGCAUAAACAUCAUAACCUGAUCCCUGCACUACCACCACAAACCUCCCAAAAUAUCUCAUAAUUUUUCUUUACUACAUAUGUCGCACUGCAAGCUUUUUGGAUCAGACCAAAUAGAAUUUGGGUCACCAAACUCUAACACAUAUCAUGUAAACUUUCUCAAAGAAAGGAAAACACCAAAUAUCUUUGAAGGUUAGAUGCCUAUAUAGUGACUGGAGCCUAAAGGGCAAAUCUAUUAGGUGCAUUUCUAGAAAUAGUUUAACAGAACAUUGAGAAAGACAACAAAUUUAUUAUUCUAUAACAGAGAAGAUUCCAUGAACACCAAGACAAAAUGGACUCGUAAUGGACCUGAUUGAAGUCCCCUGUAUGAUACAAAACUACAGCAAGGAGGCUGUAAGCUCCUGCUGUCAUUCGAUGGUAGGGACCACAAACUGCGACCAGCUUUGCCAGAGCCUGCAAAAACCACAAAAAUACAAAAGGUAGCAUAUUAAUUUACCAAUGAACAGGCAAAGAAAGAUUUUUCUGCUGCACCCGAUUGGUAGUUUACAUAUAGAAAUGACAAACCGAUGGACUUUUAAAUCAAAUACCUUUGUCCCAUAGCUGACUGCAUCUUCAAGUUUUCCCUUAUCUAGAGCUGUUUUUGAUGAUUCUAGAAGUUGUCGUCCAUCUGCAGAUGAGCAUGCUGCUUGCUGAAAAGAAAAAGAAAUGCAAUUAAAUCCAGAUUAUUGAAUGGUUUAAUUAUUUGUAAGACAAGAUAAGAAACAAUGUGUUCUAUUAUUCUAUCAAAUAGCAUAGUUUGUUCAUCACCUUAUGCACUGGUACCAAGCUAAUAACGUCAAGUUUUUGGAAAGGGUAUGGAGAAUCCAUAUCAAAAUCCCUUGGAACUAGCUCAAUUCCCACCUGAAAAAGAAAAAGGCAGAAUCGUCAGCCCUCAUUUCCACUGUGAGCAAGAAGACCUAUUAUCCAUGAGUUUUUCCUAAGCAUUACAAAUAUUUGUUUUAAUAUAUUUCAUUUCCUGAAAGGAUUUUCCCUAAACUAGGAAAGAAAUUAAUUUUGCUUUUAAGAAUAUAUAUAAUUGCUGCCCAUCCAUGAUAUAAAUAUCCUAAGUAAGUUCUUAAUUCUUUUUCCAUUCUCUCAACACAACUGAAGCAUUCUUCAAAUUUAUAUAAAUAACCCAUGAUAUAAUGUUUAAAAUCAUAAAACUACAAAACCCACAUAUCCAAUAUAAAAGAAUGUGGGGCAUACUCAAAGUUUUGGAACACAUAGGCCAAUGCCAAAAUACCUUAUGACAUAAUCCCCGUAGAACUGCAAAUUUCCGCACAUCUUUGUAGUUUAAUGUGCUAAAAUCCCAUUCAUAUCGCUUCUUCAAGAAUACCUCCAACCAUCUCCACACAAGGGGAUGAGCAUUGCAUGACUGAUUUAAUUCUCUAUUUCCAGGAACCCCAAGCAUCAGAUUCAGUGCAGCAGCUAUUGACAUAGCCAAUUUCUCAGGAUUAACAACAGCAGCUAUUACUGCCUGCAGAAUGUGCUUAAAAGCCCGCACUAUCAUCUCAUGAAUACAAAGUGACUGCACGUGUGAUAACUUUUCUGAAAGUUUAACCUGGUAAAGAAAAAAUACCAAGCAUUAUUUGAGAUGGGAAAAAAACCCAUGUAUAGUAAUAUUUCAUAAUUUUGAACAAUAUUAUAUGGACGCUUCAAAACAAGUGAAGUACCAUCAGACAUGGGCAGAGGAUGUUUACUUGACAUGCCUUCUGUUGGGCAAAUGCCCCACAGGCAAGUCCAACAAAAGAAAAUGAUGAAAUCCUAGUUCAGUAAAAGUUCCUACUUCAGUAUAUUCCUUUUGUUAAAAUAUUUCAAAAUGGAUGAAAUUACCUCAUAGGACAUAAAAUGUCACAGAUACUCCAUCUUACACCAUGGUAAAGAUACUUUCUUAAAAUACAAUGUUUUAAAUGGAGAAAUGAACCUUAAAAAGCUGAUAAAUUUUGUGUAAUCUCUGUAAUCCUAAUUAUAAAUCUCAAUGAGAUUUCCCAUUUCUCAGAAAGGACACUGAAACAGAUGACUUGUCAAUCUAUGACUCAAAUUUCUGAGUCUCUGACUGUUUACAUAUCCCAUGCAGGAAUUGAUAUUUACUUCUGGGGGUAGAUAAAAAAUUACCCAAACAAACAAAAGUGUUUGUUUAGGUAAUUUUUGCAGGUAACUGGUGAUGAUUGAUUCAAACCUUUUUGAUAAACAAGGUUGGAAAAUAGCUACAGGAGACACACUUAUAGACAGAAGGAUGUCCAACACUGUGACCUCAAAUAACAAAUUAACAAUUGAUGCAGACACAGUUUGCCAAAGUUCAAGAGGUUGCAAUGCAUCAAUAAAUUGAGAUAAAAAUUAGGAGUUUCUUUAUGAUGCAGAAAUACUUUACUAAGACAUGUAAAGGAAUCAAAACCUAGGGGAGUACAGCACUUACAACAUGUCCCAGAGAACGCAUUCGAAGACCUCUAGUAUGCAUGAAAUCGGUCAGCGUCCGACCAUCCACUGGUGAGAGUUCCAAUGAACCAAAAUCUGCAACCUGAAUUGGACAAUUUUCAUGCAGACACAGAAACAGAAAUCACCACAACCUUAUUUUCAUGCAGACAUAAUCAAGUUCAAUCAGAUAUUAUUCAGUGGUUACCAGUUUCGGAAGUGCAACUUCACUGUAAUAUUUCUGGGACAGAUCAACUAGUUCCUGUAAAGACUGUCAAAGACAUGGGAGGAUAAGUACAGGAAACUGAACAAAGAAGGAGCUUAUACCUCCAAUGGUAUUGACAAAAUAUUACCUUGCGGUGGAGUCCAGUUUCAGAUUGUUUAAGCCGGGCAAAAGCUGCAUCAGACAGCAUCCUCUUCAGUGCAAGUUCAUUUUCAUUUGCAUUAGCUUCAAGCUGAGGUUUUGUUGAGGACAGUGUAGAAUUUUCAGCUUCCCCAAUAACAGACUCUGCAGGGGUUUUUGAUUUCUCAGACUGCAUUUUCAGAUUGUUGCCAUCUGAAUUUUUCUUAUUGUUCUUAAGAGAUCUAAGAGGAGUACCAAGUCCCUCGACCUUCAUCUCAUUUUUUGUCUUUGCAGUAGAUGGUUUCUUAUCUUUCUCUGUGUUGUUUUGAUCCUGCAAAUGCUGUAUCCAGCACGCUCCAAGUUCCCAUCUCACAAAAAUGUGCUUUUCUACUUCCUCUUCCUGAAGCUUAGCAAGACUUUCUUCCAACAGUCCCUCCACAAAAGCUUGAGCAGCACUGAGCUCUUCGUGUUCAAGUGUUUGUGAAUGCUGUACUAGUUUGUUGUUUUCUGAAGCUGUUCUUUGGUGAAGAAGCAAUCUCAAACUGUAAAUAACAAGGUAAGAGUGAGAAAUAUGAAUAACUACAUCAAUGAUCAAAAGGAGAAGUACAGAUUAAGGAGCAUGCACAGGCACAGCACAAACUUAUGGAGGAAUGUAUUUGUCAAUAAGCUUUUAUGCAGUUUUAACUCUUACAUCUCUUUUCUUAUGAAGGGAAGCGGUAGCUGAAGAGUGAACAUAGAAAAUAGCAAACAGCAUUGGGAUAAACAACAUUCUAUAAACAAGCUUCAUACGACAUGAAGGGUAAAUUAACCCACCAUUUGAUGAGUACAUCCCAAAGAACUCCGAGAUUGGAUAAAACCCAAUCUUUUAUCUUCUGAGAACAUUUGCCACAUUAUUGAUGAUAAAGUAAAGUAAUUAGGACCACUAAGAAAAUGACUUGAUUUAGCCACAGAAUUCUCCCAGGUGAGAGAUCAUGGUAAUAAGUUUCAAUUUCAGUAGAAACCUAGAUGUAAUUGACACAAUAAUUUUGGACUCUGUAAGAUAAUUGUAAAUAUUUCCACCAUGUUCACAAAAAUUUCAAACAAAAGAAAAAGAAAUAUUACAAAUUCUUUUUGGACUAACAUAAUUUCCUCAUUCUCUACAAAAUAAAACCUUGGCUAGACCCAUGAAUAAUGAGUUCCUAAGGCGCCAAGCAAUUCUCAAUUGUCAACGCAAUCCAAUAAUCCACCCAAUGGUAAGAUUUCCUCAACUGUAACAGUAUAUUCACAAGUUCAUAAUGAAUAUCUCCACUUCUAGUGUAAAAACAUGAGAACAGCAUAGCUUACACAGGAUACUUCAGUGACAUGUUGUAGGGUUUGACAAAAACCUGUUAAUAUUAAGGGCAUUGGCACCACCUUCAGGCUGAUCAAGAAGUUCAAUGCUUUGAAAAUGAGUAUCCAUUUUGCUACUUUCUUUCCCUUCAAGUUUAACCACAGCUAUAUACCCACAGUAUCUGACAUUGACAACACCAAGAGUGGCAAAAUCCUGCACUCAAAAUGCAAAAUUUUCUUCAACCAUUUUAGCGGAAACCACUUCAUAUAUACUAAUUCAAAAAGAAAAUAUUCCGGAUUCAAGGAACAGUCCUACUGAUUGAUCCUUUUUUUCAGAAAUUAUCUUACAUGUGCAGCAGUAUUUUCAUCAGCAGUGAUCCCUUUCAGUAGGUUUCUUUCUACUAGAUUCUGUUGCCCCACUCCAGUCGCUUGAAUCCCAUCAAUUUUAGUAUCCACCUUACAGCUUGCAUUUGUAGCAUCUUUCAUGACAAUAAUGGUUAAGUCCCCUACUCUCUCACUGUAAAGAAUUUCACUGUUUACAGAUGAAUGGGUCAAAUCUAGUUUUCCCAUUACAUGCUGCACAGCCGAAAUGGCUCUGAAAAUGGCAACAUCUACAAACAGGCUGUGAAGAAGGAAUGCUUUCCGAUCUCGAAUCUGCCUCUCCUCAGCUGUCUUGCAAGGCAUAGAUGCAAGAAGCAAAAACUCGUUAGCCCAGGGUAUCAAGUCGCUUUUGCCAUCUCUUCCUUGACCACCUCCACUUCCUCCCCAUGUUUCAUCCUCCACAGGUAGAGGAGGGAAAAUUGCUGGUAACUGUGCUGCAACAGGGGGGAUAAGCCAAGUGUUGGCUCUGAAGCCAUAAGGGAGAUUUCCAAACUGCAGGGCGUGUAGGAAGUUGGUUAUAGAACAUAGCAAGUAGUUAGUCCAAAGGAAAUUCAACACAAACUAUAUCAUGAAAUGAUAUAUCCUGCAAGGUCAAACCUCAUAGCUAGAUUAAAAGAGUCAAUUCAUCAGAACACAGGAAUCAGUGCAUUGAUCAUGUACCUUGUUGCGUUCUGAAAAUGCCUUCAUGAGAUCAUCAUAAGCCUGAAAUAUGAUAAAUAAGACGUGUGAUAGAACUUCAAUCAGAUUUUAGACCCACCAAAAAGAGGAAGCAACAAGAAAGAACUAUCCAAAAGUAUGACUUUUCUGAAGGAUGAAACAAUGUUACGAACUAGACAUGAAGCUCAAUCUCGGGAUACUUCCACCAAAUCACUUGAGACUAGACACAUGUUUAACUCCAAUUUUAUUGGAUUAUAAGGAGACAAGACUAGAAAAUUGUUCAAAGAUCCAUGUCUAGCAUAUAUACGGUCUGAAUUUUUAUUCUUUUUUUUUCCCUUUUAUUCUUUUGAUAGGUUAUACAUAGCCCGAAAUAUAAACACAAAUGUGCACAUAACCCAAGAGAAAAAGUACAAGUAUAGACAAAAUUAAACCAAAAAGAACCCAAGUUUGGCGAGUUAACAAAACUAACAUUGUCAAAGGCUCUACUAAGUUGUCGUAACAGAUCAACAAGGUUGUGACAUAAAAUCCGCUGCUUUCCAAUGCUAUAAAAUCCUCUCCUGCAGACUUCAACAAGAACCAAUUUUCCAUUGCAAAGCUUCACCUACCCAUGAGCAAAGCAGCUCAUGAGGAUUUUUCCAAAAUAGAAAUGAAAGAAAGAAAAAAAGCACUAACUGAAACUUAAAAAAUGGUUCUGUCAGAGGGCCUUACUUCAAGCGAGAAAAGAUGAUCAUGCACUAAAAUCUCAUCAUCAUGCCAUUUUCUUGCUCUCCUUAUAACUGCAACAUUCAUGGGAUACCCACUGAGUGUCUAUGAUUAAUAAUUGAUAGUAGCCCAAAUUGCCUUAAUAGAACAAGAAAUUAAGGUGCUAUUUGAAAAAUGAAACUUUUAUUUUAAAAAACCAUGCUUAAUUGUUGCAUUCAAUUCUGCUUUUAGGAUUUGGUGACGAACGUUUAGAAAUACAAGGAAACAAAAAUUGAAAUUUUCUUUUCUGUGUCUCUAAAAAGGAAAAAACAAAGCAUUUAUUUUUUCCUUAUGUUGAUAGUAGACCAAAUUGCCUCAUAUUUUCAAAGAACAUGAAACAAAGAUGCCGUUCUGAAAAAAUUUAAAAUUUAAAAUAAAUAAAUAAAUAAAUCUCUGAUGGUUGCAUUUCAACAUGGUUCUUAAAAAUUCACAACCCAAUUCUGUAAAUAUGACAAAAUAUUAAAAAGGACAAAACAAACAAUAAAACAUAAUUCUUAAAAAUUCAGGUUUUUUCUUUCUCUUUUUCUUUUUUUAAAACCAAAGAAUAGAAGAGUGUUUUUUUUGUUUUCCUUUUAAAGCUUAAUUUCAUAUACUCCAUUGCUGUACUGGAACUCGAUCUAAAUCUGAAAGCAUAAUAGAUUCGGUUUGCCACUAAAUUUCACUCAUUGUUGACUUAUGCACUCGCCAACAACGACAGCCAUGAAUAGAACGACCGUUCUCGCAUUAAAACGUUCCGUUUUAGCGUCUGAACGCCACUAAAACACACCGAUUCGAGUCUCGCAAAUUAGGAAUAAGGCGAAAGAGAUAUUUACAUUGCAGAGGAGGCGUGAGGUGCGAGAGAGAGAAGAACUCAUAGAAGCUCCCAAGCUUAGGGCAGGAAUUGCUCAUCUCUCCCUCUCCUUCAUUGGCCGACGAUGGCGUAGGCGGCGGCGACGACGACGAUGAUUGCUUGGCAUUCGCCAGAGCUUUGCUCGAUUUAUUGCCGGAAUUCUUAUCCUGCGCACCCUGGGCAUUUUUGCCAGCAUCGGACGGUGAAGGACCGAAGCACGUAGUGCAGGCUACAAUGUCCAAAACCCUUCGAACGUGCGCCGCUGCAGUGUCUUCGUCAUAGUCCUCUGUUGCAGGAACCAAAAAUGACUGAAGUCAGUGAUUCAGUGUAGAAUAAAAAACGACGUCGUAGAACCAAGAACGGAAAAACGAUGGGCUGAGCUAGCUGUUCAGCGAAGCAGAAAACGACGUCGUAGAGUCGAAAAUGAAAAAAAAAAAAAAUGAGUGGAGUGAGUUGUUCAGUGAAGAUAAAACGACGUAGUAUGCGACGCAACGACGUCGUUUCACAUGGAGUACCUUCUACUAAAGUUAAAACGCAUGGCUUCAGCGCUGCAACAUCCACGGUGUCCUUUAAUCCCGGCCCUCUCACCUAAAUAAACAACAAAAAGUCAAUGAUACCCCUCCAUGGCAUAUUCAAAUUUAAAAUCCCCACGAAAAACUAGGGUAAAAUCAUAAUUUACCUCAUGGGAUAACGAAAAAUUGGUGAUGUUGCAAGUUAUCGUGUUCACGGAUAAGAGCCGACGAACAUCUAUUAUCCUGUCCGUUGAUAUUCCCUGCCCAAAUAUUCAUUUUUUUCAAUAUAUAAAUAUAUUGAUAAAUUUGAGUUAAAUACAAUAACAUCAAAUAAUCAUCCACAACUCAUGUCCGCAGAUUUCGGCCGGUCCAAUUACGCAACCUUUUACAACCAUUUAUUUGUUUAUAUGUAUAGCGUGUAUGUCCUUCUUAUAAUGAUUUAUUCAAAAAAAACAAAAUUUAUAUAAAAUAUAGUGUAAAAAUUAGACUAUUUCAAUAUUACUAACGUCAUUUUCUACGACUUUAUAAUAAAAGUAUAUGAAAAAAAUUUAUCAUUCAAAAUGCAAACAACAAAAUCCAAAUCAUGGAUGUCGAUUUUUGAUAAUGCCAAAUACAAAUUUAUUUGUAUAUCAAAAUCUUUAAAAAAUUAAAAAAAAAAAAAAAAAAAAAACCUUUUGCUUUUGGGAAAAUAUAAUGAUAUAUGAUAUAAUUUUAUAUAAAAUUAAAAAUAUUUAUUUAUUUAUUUGUUCAAAAAGAGGUUGUUAACCAAAAAUGUAGAAAAUGAGCAAACCUUUAGAAUGACGGAAGUUUCAUCGGGGAGGUUGACGGUGACAUCCAUGACGACAGGAAGGACUGUAAAAUUACAUUAACAUGUGAUUAAGAAGUUAAUUAAUGUUAAUUACAGGUUAAAUAAGAUUUAAGUAAAAAAAUAAAUUAAUACCUUUCUCUUCUUUUUUCUUCUUGUCUCCCCUCUGCUUUCCACGUCCACUCUUAGGGGCCAUUUUCAACCUUUCCUCAACCAAAUGAGCUGAAAUAUUGAAUAUUCUUUGAUUAAUGUUCAUCAAGUAUUUAUUAAAAAAAUUCGAAAUUAGCACCAAAUAAUAUGGUCUAAAGACUCUAAACUUCAUCAAACCAAUAGAAAAAAAUCUCAAAUUGUGAACUUUAAAUUAAAUAAAUUAAAAAAAAAAAGGUUUAGAGCUUCUCCCACCAAGUAUUUAUAAAAAUAAAAAAUAAAAAAAAUCCAAAGACCCACCAAAGAAUAUAGUAUGAACUUCAUUUAGUAAAUCAAAAAAUCUUAAAAAAUUGAAUCGAAAAAAAAAAAAAAAAAAGAGGUUUAGAGCAUAACCCAUCAAGUAUUUAUUGGAAAAAAGAAAAUCCAACGCCCUCCGACGAACAUACUCUAGACUUGAUUAAACCAAUCAAAAAAGCUCGAAAAGAAAGGGGGGGGGAGAAGAAAGAAAAUUCUCAUUCAAUCUUACCAGAGAGUGAGCAGAAGAUUCAGAAGAUUAAGCUGAAAACUCUUGACACAGACAAUCAAAAGGGUCUUCAAUCCGCCGUUAAAGCUCUGAAUAAAAGAGCACCAACAGAACGAACAGCUAAGCUAUAAAUAUCUAGUAUCUGUUAAGUGGUACGAAGAUGGAUGUGGGGAUGGGGGUUCAGAGGGGGGAUGAUAAUGGAGAGAUGUUCACCAUUGAAGAGAUAGAAUAUGAAGCUCGAGAGAAGAAUGAGAAGAGAACAGAGAAAAAGAGAGGAGAUAUGGAGAGGUGUGGAGUGUGAUAAGGAAGGUAGGGCGGAGAUUUAACAGUCAGACAUAUGGCAUUUUAUGGCAGCCUCUGCCUUAUACUCUGUUAUUCAGUAAUUAUGACUUUUUUUUUUUUGUUCUUUUUUGGAUUUUCUUGUAUUUUAUUUUUUGUUUUUUGUUUUUUGUUUUUUUUUUUUUUUGUGUGUGGAUAUUUUCUGCUGGUGGUGGGUCCAAUCUAACAAGGGAAUCCAAGAUCCAAUGGCACAAUGAUCAUCGAUCACAGCCAUUGAUUUUUACUUUUUCCAUUUUGAAUCCCCCUUUAAUGAGUUUGGUUGAUAUUUCCUAUAAUUGUCCUCUUCAUUAAUACAUUUUAAUCAUCCUUUUAUUUGAAAGUUAUACAAUUUAAGUAAUUCAAAGUCGGAUUUAGAUGUGACAUUUAAAACACCCGCUAACAAAUCGUUUUUUCAUACGCUUAGUUAAUCAAACAAAAACAAUAUUGUCAUCUUCUCCAUUAUUUAUAUUUUUAGCUUGACACAAUUUCGAAUAAUAAUCAUUUAAGACGGUAUUACUACUUAUAUAUAAAAAUUACAAAACUGGGCUUUUCAACAUUCAAAUUCAAAUACGUAAUUAUUUAAUAAAAAUUAAAUAUUAUAAAGUAUUUAAAAAUCGAUCCAAACCGACCUAAUUUGCGAAUGAUUUUUCACCAUUAGGCAUGAUUCAAAUAAAAACUUUUGAUGACCAAGCUAAUCAUAGAGCCUCAUUUGUGAGGAUAGCCCUAGCUUCUACUUUUGAUUACAUAUGCAUAUACGUGAAACCCCAUUAAGGACUCUAAAUCAAUAGCUUGGAUCACCCACAUUUACCAUCCAAUUGACAUGAAGAUUGAGCCUUCAAAUGAACAAAAAAAAUGGAAAAAGCAUACUCAUAAUCCCUUGAUUAGGCACAAAAAAGCAAGUCAACUAGUGGCCACUGAGUACUCAGAAAUCUUUCAUGACUCUCUUAACCACUUAACAAGAAUAAUGGGGCGGUAGGUAUCACAUUGUUGGUUUGUUUAUACCAAAAAAAAGGACACCCCCUUUAGACAAAAACUAUUGUUUCUUUUGGCCACACUGUCCCCAAUCAUCUAUCUCUCCUUGCCCUCUCAUUGGCCAAUUUGCUAUGAUUUUGGUGAAGUUUCCACCAAUUAUAUAUCAUGAAAAAUAACUAACUGGCAUGUGGAAUACACUUGGGGAACAAGUAGAAAAUAAUGGAGUGUGUUCCAAGUGUUGGAUCGUGAUUUAUCAUUAUAGAUUAUUGGUGAAAAGUGUGGAAAAAGGGGGGUGAUUUUAUGGGUUAUUUAUUGUUUGUUUCAAAGUUAGGACAUGAGAAGAUGGGGGGAGAGGGGUUUCGUUGGAGAAGAAGAUGGUGAGAGAUUUUUAAACGUUAGUCCAACUAGAGAGAGGCCAUGGGCAUGGAAUCUCGUGGGAGUGGCAUCUCAUAGGUUUCUUGUUGCAGCUUCUUUUGCAUUUGUUGGAUGUCUCUAUUCUGUUUUAUUUUGUCCCCUGUUGUGGAAUGAUAUCUAUCUCAUCUCUGUUUUUGUGUGUCUUUUCAUUUUGAUGCUAUCUUCUCUAGGUUCUCCCCUCUUAGACCAUUAUUUCGAACUAUAAAAUUAGAACACUUGUUUAGUAAGUAAUUGAUUUCGAAAACAGUUCUAAAAAAUAAUUUUUUAAAAUGGUUUUUUAAAAUUAUUUUUUGAUGUUUUAUAAAAUAAAAAUUUAUUUGAAAACCUAAAAUAUUUUUAAUUUAUUUUUAAUAUCAUUAAAUAUGUUUUAAAAAUAAUUUUUAUAUAUAGUCUUUUAUUUUUAAUCAUUUUACAUAUUUAUAUAAUUAUUUUUUAAAACAAUCAUAUAUAAAAACAAUAGAAAACCACUACAAAUAUUCUCUAAAAAUAUCAUUUUUUUGUUCUUAAGAACAAAAAACACAAAAAGCAAAAAAACAGUUUUUAAUUAUUAAACAUGUUUUCUUUAUUUUUUUAUUAUAGAGAACUCAUUUCUAAGUUCAAAAAUAAAUAAUUUUAUUAAAGAAAUGAUGUUCGGAAAGAAUUAAUAUCAAAUAGAGUCUUAAUUGUUUCUCCAGCAUAUCCUUUAAAAAUAUACAUGCACACUCAAAAGCAAAAAACAAAGGAGUUUUUGAACUGAAAAAUUGCUCUGAAUUGGUACCACGCACCCCAUCCAAUCCCAAGUUCCCAACCAUUAAAUUAUAGAAUAAGACUUUUAAAGCACUUACAGUUCUACUGAGCUCAAUUUCCAGUACUGAAAAGUAGAGGGUAUGCUGGCAAUUUAAUAGCAGAGAAUGACUCCUCUGAAGUCUGAACUACCCUUAUUCCAAUUUUUGCUCUCCAGGUUCAGUAUUUUAAAAGCAAUGAGCUCAGUUUUGUAGAGGUUCGUACAUAGAACAAAUAAUUGAAUUGAUAAAAGAAGAUGUCGAAUAAAACACUUACAGAGCUACAACCGGUGGGGUUGUGUUCUACAGUCUACACUCUUGGCUCGGGCCCUUUCAAAUGUCUGGGAUAUGUUGGGUCAGAAUAAACAAUUAACUCCAACUGGCCAUGCUUCGUGUCUGCACUCCCUACAUCUAGUAGUUUCCAUACAUUCUUUCUCCAUCUUGUGGUUGACGAGUCAUCACAACCCAGUCGGCUGCGUGGAGUUGGGUGGGAUUCUGAAGAUUUAAGAGCAAGUAGUUAAAAGUAAGAAGUCAUAAUUUAAAUGAGUGGUUAUGGUAUUAUGAAAGUUUUAUCAAGCAUUAAUCAAUUUCCACGUAAGUUCGAAGUUCCUCAAAUAGACAAGACAACUUUGAUUGGAGUACUAUCCAAUUCCUGUUGCUCCCUUGGAUCGCCCCGUACUGGUUGUGACAGGUGUGAUCAGUACCCCAAGAUAUGGCUCCGUAUGGGCAGUUGAUCGAGAAAAGUUCAAGAAGCAGGGGAAGGGUGGGGGGUGGGGGUUGACUUCUUAGACAUCUAAGGCAAAGUUUGAAGGGACACAACUUUUAAAAACAUGAAGUAGAUCCUUUUGCUUCUACUUGUACUUCUAGCCUUAAAAACUAAUCCCAAUCAGGUCCAUAAUCUCUCUCAUUGAACUUAAAGUGAAGCCUUUAGCUACCAAAAAUCCAAUCCAAACAAGCCUUAAUUUUCCAAGUUUUUUAUUUAGAUGGCUGGUUUUUUCAACCGUUUGACAUAACUUUUGCAUGAAUCUCAUUCUCAAAACUAGUACUCAGGUUUCCUGAUGGGAUUAUGCUAAUCUGUUCAGGGGUUUAGUUCUAGGUUCACUAAAAAAAAAGAAUGAUUUGUAUAUGUUUGGCAAAUGCUUCAACAAAUAAGUCUACAUUUCUUCAUGACUUCACACACACAUACUAACAGAGGAAUUAAUAGCUUUUUAUAGCACAUUGUGAAUAAUUGUGAUCAACAGUGGUCAAUUCCACCUGAAACAAUAAACCAACAGGUAUGUAUGACAUAAAACAUGAAGAACAAGGCGUUUUGUAAUGAUUCAGUUUCUCUUACAUCAAUGGAAGAGAAAUCUUUGAAGCUGGAGUUGGACUCACUAGUCAAGUCAUUGGGCCAAUGCUGUUUAAGCUGCAGGGCUUUUCAUCUUUCUCUUGUACACUCUAACAGAAGCAUCAGAGGUCGGAUUAUCAGAUUGCUCGCCUUCUGUUGAGAUGUCUAUCUCAGAUUUUGUUUCCUCGAUUACUUUUCUCCUUUUCCUGGGUCCCUGGGCUUUCCUGGCAUCAGUCUUCCGGGCAGAAACUUUGGUUGAUGACGAUUUCCUUGGGGUUCUAGAUGUUUUCUUUUCCUCAUCAGAUUGUUCACUUUCUGUUGAGAUGUCUAUCUCAGAUUUUGUUUCCUCAAUUACUUUUCUUUUUUUCCCGUGUUCCGGAGCUUUCCUGGAAUCAGUCUUCUGAGCAGAAGCUUUGGCUGAUGAGGAUUUCCUUGGAGUUCUGGAUGUUUUCUGUUCCUCCACUUUCUUAAACAAUGUGGAUAUAGUAGCUUGAGAUAGUCGUUUCCUUGACUUGGUAGCUGCCCCAGCAGACUCUUGAAUUUGUGUGGUUGCUCCAGUCCUUGCUUCAGCAUCUUCAUUGCCACUUUCAGGUGUUGCAGAGCCAGAAUUUUCUUGUCCAUCAGAUAUGUUGCCAUCAUUUUCAACAGAAUCAUCUCCAGAAGAAGCUUCUGCAAAAUUGAAUGUUUUUCCUGCAGUUCUCUGUGAAUGUCGAACUGGUGUCACUUCAACAUCUUUCGGUGUCAUUUCAACCACAUCUUUCAAACUGUCUUCACCAGACAAAUCAUCUUCUAGCUCAGGUUUAGGUGACUGCGGUUCUACAUAUUUCAUUUCAGGUUUAUUAACACCUUGCUUACUGUCAGAUGCCAUGCCUGCACCCCCUUUAAAGUCGUAUUCAACACUUUGUCCUUCACUCAGUUCUUUAGGAAACUCGAGUCGGGCUUCUUCUGGAUUCUCCUCCUUUCUCCCAAUCCACCAUGCAUCAGAAAAUACAAUCAUAUUAUCAAAGUAAUCCUCACACAUUACAUUUUUUCCGCCUCUAGAGAAAUGCAGAGUCAAAUACCUGUUCUUCGGGUAAACUAUAGUCCCAAACAACUUCAUUUGACCCUGAGGGAAAUCAAGGUAGAGUAUAGGAUUCUUGGUUCCCAAAUCCUUGAGUUCACCAAUCUUGCCACCAGCAAUAGGAGCAAGAAGACCUGGGAAUGAGAAGAGGAACCGAUUCUUCCUCUGAGAUUUCUUCAGAAUAUCUUUUCCAUGGUGUUUGAUCACUGUUUUUGAAGGGCUCAGAGCUGAAAACGCUUUUGAAGGAGUAUCUGACAGUAAGUUCUUGGAGAACGCCAAUUUUUUUCGUCUUUUACGCUCUUCAGCUUCUGGAUUCAGUUCAGAUACUCCACCAUUUUCAUUCUUCUUUGAAACUCGUACCAUUCUGCCUGCCCUACUUCUCUUGGAGAAUAGUUAUUAAGAGUUACUGAUAAUCAUAUCCCAGAAAACCAGUGUGACAACUUUCUAAGCUUGAAACAGUCAAUUAGAGCAAGGAUGAUGGUUUGUGGAUGAAAUUAAGGCUGCAGCUUCAACAAGUUGAUUCAUCCCAAAUUUGUAGGAUUCUGAAAGAGAAUUUAGCUUCAACAUUAAUAAUCUAAAAAUGGAGACUGGAUUGCUUCCAUAAAUGAAUCCAUGCAUUUAUAAAGCUAAAUAAACAUCCAUCCGUCAGAAAGGAUGAUCUCAUAAAGAUUAUGAUAAAUCUAUGUUGAUAACCAGGUUUUUGCUAAAAAAAAGGACUUGUUAAAAUUUCUAUGUUAAGAUCUGGUAAAUAAGUGAUGAUUCUCAUGCAUUCCAUUAAAGUAGUUAUAUAUGAACAAUGGAGUGUAAAUUUACCUACUAAUUAGUGCAGUAAAAAAAAAAUAUUAUUAUAGAAACCAAUGUUUUAAAAGGCUAAAGGCAACCUGGGAGCAUUUUGCCUAGAUGAGAUAAAGUGUAACUUCAAGACAGAAUAAGGCGUAGGCCUCAGCUUUAAUAAUAAUAAAAAGAAAAAAAUCUUAAAAAUCAGAAAAAUAUUAAUAAAAUCACAUGAAAAGUAAAUAAUAAAAAAACCAUACAGUGUAUAAUAAUCAAAUGAUUCAAAUUAAUUGUACGUCAUUUUCAAUGGCUUCUAAUUUAGUUUUUUUGUUUGUUCUAAAAUCCAAUUCUCUCUCAUGCAUUUUUCAAAUAAUCUUCAAACCAUCACUAUCACCAAUAGGAUCCUCUAAUGAAUCAUAAUUAUAUCCAAUUGCUCCAUUAUCCUCUCCAUCAAAGUCAGUGUCAAUCCAUUUUUCUUUUUUAUCCAUUAAUUACAAUUAUUUUUUUCCUUUAUCCAUCAAUAAUAAGAUAAUGAUUAUAUAAGUUCGGUUACUACAGUGACCAACAAUCUUUUAUUUCUUCUUCCCAAUCUCUUCCUUUCAUUAUCAUUUAAAGAAUUAAUUGAUAGUCAACUAAUCCCUUGUUUUUUAAAAGGCUUAAUCCUAAUCUUGAUACAAGACAAAACUUAAAAAUUUAUAUCAAAACCCCGUAAAAGCACAGGUUAACAAGCAAUAAAAUAUUAAGACUUAAACCUCUUAAAAAUGUAUAUAAAAAGUCGAUAAAGACCCUAAACCCAUUAAAACCUUUUGAAUAUUUGAGCCUUAAGCCUCGAUUAUCCUCUAUUGAGGCUAUAGCCUCAAGGCUAAUUUGCAUAGCCUCAACUUGAGGCCCCAAUAGCCUUUCAAAACACCGAUAGAAACAAAAAAUGAAAAAUGAAAAAACAAUAACCACCCCACCUAGAGCCCUUGAGGUGUGGCUUUGGGGUAGACUAGGGUAGGGAUAGGAAAGUUCCUGGUUCAAAACCAUGCACCAAAAUAAUAAUAAUUACCUUACCUAAAAUUGUUUGGUCUGAAUUUGAUGGGUAUGUUUGAAAGUUCCCCUUGAAUGAUGGAAAGAUUGAACAAGGCUAUAUGAGCUUGAACCUAGGAUAUAAUAAAAACAUUUCCUGUUUCCUUUUUCUUUUUCUUUUUCUUUUUUUUUGAGAGGGAUAGUUAGACAGAGCAGGUUAAUACCCAAAAAAAAAAAAAAUCAUCAGUGAAAGGAUCAGCAUGAAGGUUUUAUCAACGCAGGAAGCAGGAUGGCAGAAGACAGAUGUUCAAAUAAUAGGGUUAUAGAUCAUGUUGGGAGAAUUCUAGGUCAGCAUUCAAUUCUAGAAUGCAACCCACGCCUUUUUUUUCAACCCAAUGCCAAGCUUUAAGCAAGGGAAAAUUUGAUGUAGAAGAGGUUGCGAAUGUCACAAUGUAAUAACUUGAACAGGAACAAGGGGCCCUCUUCCUUUCCCCCAUUUCCAUCUCAUCACUACCAACACUGCUUUCCUGCUCAGACCUUUUACUUUUAGCCAUCAUAUCCAUAUUCACUUGUAAGAAUUUGUAAGGAAAAAAUAAAAGGGAAAAAGAAAAGAGGCGAGAAAGAAAGAGAAUAUCAACAUCUCAAAAAUACAUAAAAAUCAACAUACAAGCACUGGUUCAUUUCCUUCAAAAUACAUAUGAGAUGAAGAAUCAAUGUGCACUCAAAAUUUACAUUCAACCUAAAGGAAACCCUCUAUUUUCACAAUAAUUCCCACAAAUCUACCAGAGUAUGUACUUCAUGUAGCUGCUGCAAAUUGCAAACUUACAACCAAAGAAUGCAGAUAUUUAGGCCUUUUCACAGUGUGAGGGUUCAUCUAAAUGUGCAUACUCCAUGGUUAAAAAUUCAUCUUAGCUGUUCAGAGGAAAUUGAGUGAAACUUUGACAUGGUGCACAUAAAUAGAACAGCACUUUCUCAUGGAGUAUGCAGUAAGGCCUAAAAGGCUCAACCUUUCCAACAUAAUAGAAUUGCACAUUUAGGUUGAAAAACCUAAAUGUUAACACAAAAACCGUAAAAAAAACUCUACAAAACAAUAAAUCCAUUUCAAUCAAUAGAAAAAACCAUCACAAAUGCCAAGACUUAUUUAUCUGUUAAACAACAAAUACGUAGAGAUACAAGCACAAAUGUGAAAACAAAUCCAAACCAAACCAACAGAAAAGGCCCAAAUUCGUGCCAAAUAAUUGAUGUAGUUUACACGGAUCAAUGAUAUCAUAAAUGCUCUGUUUGAGUGGAGAGAAAAUAUAUGGAAAUGAAAAUUAAUUAAAAUAAUGAACAACAAUAGAACACCAAUUAUCUCAUUCACCGCUCAAUGCAAUAUUUCUGUGUAUGUUCGCCGAGAAAAUGUAGGAAAGCAAGUUAAAAUUCUGAAAAGUAACAAUACAACAAUAAACUAGUACAGCAUCAAAUGCAGAUAUGUACAGAUCAGUGAUCUCGCAAUCGCUCCUUUUGGUUGCUGAGAAAAUGAUGAAAAAAUAAAACAACGGAUGAUUUCAAGUAAAUCAUGCAUUAUCAAUGUCUGGAUUGGAAAAAGCAAGAACAAGCGCCUCAAAAUCAAUCACUAAGGCUCCGUUUGAACUUUCUGAAACCGAAAAACUAAAAAUUUUCCCUUUCUUUUAUUUUCUGAGAAAACAAACGGAGCUGAGGAAAUAGCUCGGAACUUGCCUGGAAGUACAGAGCGCUGAUCGAUGCGGAGACGCAAAUUUGUAGAUCUAGGAGCCCGCGUUAGGGUUUUAGUGUUAAAGAAGCUAACCUAAACGACGUCGUUUUCACACCAUCUGUUUUGCGUAUGUUAGACUAAUGGCAUAUUUUGAUCCAAAUAUUGAGUUGAAAAAAAUAUAUCAUUAAAAUAAACUAUCAAUUUUUUUUUUAUUAUUAUUCAACAUAUAAAUUAUAUAAUUAUAUUUAAAUGAAUAUUGCAAGUAUAAUACUUAUCAAAAAUAGCCUUGUUUUAUUAUUUUCCCUUUUUGUUUGGUGAAUUUUUAGUUGUUCUCGAAAAUAAAUUUUUUUAUUUUGAUUUUAUAAAAAAAAUUAAUAAAUUUAAUUUAUAUAAUAUUAAUUAAAUUACAUUUAAAUCUUAUUAAAAUAAAAAAGUUUAUAAUUGCAAAUAAAUUAGGAAAUUAAUAGCUUUUAGUAAACUAAGAAUAUUAAUAAUAUAAGAAUAUCAUAAAUUAUAUUUUUUAUUAAGAAAUAUGUUAUAGUGAAUAUAAUUUUUUUUUAAGAAAUGAAUGAUAAUAUUUUAAAAACAUUAAUGGUGAAUAAUAUUUCAUUUAAAAUAAUCAAAAUUUAUUUUUUCAAUAUUAAAUAAAUUAAAUUUAUUUGUCAUAUGUACACCAUUAGUCCGCAAUUAUAUAUAGAGCAUUUUUUAUUAGUUUUUAUUCGAUUUGUAAUUAACUCGAUGAGUGGUUUAAAUUCCAAAUCAUUAUUAAAGUCAGUAAAUUUAUUAAAAAAUAAAAAAAUAUUAAGUUUUCCUUAAUUUAAUGAGUUAUUAUUUGAUAAUCAAAAUAUUUUUAAAAUAUUAAUAAACUCGUUAAUAAAUUAAUGCGUUAAGUCUUGUUUUGUUUAUUUUCUAUUUUUGGUCUACGAAUUAAACAAGCAAGGUCAUGAUGGGUUUUGGUAUGUGAUGUUUGUGUACGAUUUAGCAAAAUCCAAGUUUUGAUGAUGAUAAAACAAAAAUUUUAUAUAAGAUAUAGUUUCGAGUAUAAUAAGAAAUAAAAUCACAUUUAAUGUGAUGAUAAAUUAUGUAAUCCAAUGAUAUAAAGUUCAUAAAUAUCGAAGUAUGCAUUGUUAAGAACUCAUCAUUCAUUAUUUAAGUCGGAUUCAAGUAAGAUUGGGGUAUAAUAAAUUAGGGAUGUAAGUGACCAUAAGUUUAUUAUAUUGAUAUUAUCUUUGUAAAUCUUAUGAAAAUGUGAUAAGAGAGAGGUAUCAUUGGAUUAUUUGUAUUUAAGUUUGAAGUAUUACUCGAGGUUUUAUUUUAAAACAUGAAGUAUGAUUGUAGGAGUUGUAUUUCAAUGUAACGUAUCACUUGAAAUUUGCGUCAUUUAUAUUUUAUUUUUCUCUUAUUUUAUUUACAUUUAUAUGAUUGGUGCUAAUUACAUUUAAAAUUGUUAAAAAAUUGCUUAUAAAAUCUAGCACUAAAUUCAAAGUUUCAAACCCGUUCCGAUUUAUUGUUGUGUUUACCAUUAACAUUUAGCUUUUUAAUGUCAAUUGGAUAGGUUUUUAACUUCGCAACCUUAUAGUAUUAAUUAUAUCAAUUAUCUAAGUUUCAAAUUAUUUUUAAGAAUUAGCAGAUCUUAUGGAUUAAGUGAUUGAUCUAAAUUUUAUUUAUUUAUUACAAAAUUUAGAGAAGUUAAAAAGAAAAUUAAAAAUAAUACAUAUAAUUUAAAAAAUCAUAUUUAAAUUCUUUCACUACCAAAAUAUUUUUAAAAAUAUAUAUUUUUUGUUUAUUUUUUUUAUUACCAAAAUAUUUGUUAUAUUAAAGUUUUUUCCUUAAAUAAAAAAACUUAAAAAGUAAUCAAAUAAUGGAGAUAUCAAGAAGCCGCCCAAUUCAAUUAAUUACAACACCCACACAAAUGGUUUCAUUUUUUCCUUCUAUAAACCCAUAAAUAAAUUCAUUAAGAAAAACUUACAAAGUAAUAAAAUAAGGGAGAUAAGAGGACUCCACCCAAUCCAAUUAAUUACAACACCCACAAUUGGUUUCAUUUUUUCCUUUUAUAAACCCAUAAAUUAAUUCAUUAAAAAAACUUACAAAGUAUAAUAAUGGAGAUGACAAGACUCCAACAAAUCGAAUUAAUUAAAACACCCACAAAUGAUUUCAUUUUUUUUUUCUUUUAUAAACCAUAAAUAAAUUCAUUGAAAAUAGCCAAAUUUAGAAAUCUUCCAAAAUUAUUCCAUUUUUGGACGUUGGUACUUGGACCCACACAACAAGCAAGCAAUUGGCCCACUGAUGACUGACCCCACAAAAAAAGAGCAGCACAGAACUCCAUGCACCCACGACUACCCCAACUCAACACGGCGGCGGCACCACCAAUCACCUCUGAUACUCUAAAAUCAGCCGUACCGCAACGGCCCAAAUCCCCAAACCCCCACCAUAGGGUGCGUGGAAACCCAUGCUACCGUCCCCGUUUCGUUUCGCGCCUCACCCAGGAACCACAAAUUCUCCCCCUCAAGUUUCAAUUUCAUCACAAAAGUUUGGAGCCAAAACCCCAAGCCUACACGUAUUAGAAUUUAAGUUUAUUUAUUAUUAUAAUUGUAGCUUCUAUUUUUGUAAUUAUGAUUUCGAUUUUAUUUUAAUUUUACAAUUACUAUAAAUACUUAACACAUAAUCAAUUGUCCCAUUGGACGCUCUACACAUCCGAAUCUCUCUCUGCGAAUUCGACAAACCUUUUAUUUUCCCUGAGAAAAUCCUCGGAUUUUCCCGAGAAAGUUGGUUGUCUAAUUUUUAUCGCGGUCGAUUCGGGGAGUGGGUGCGGGGGGUUUUGUUCGAAUUUUUUCUUUUUGUUUUUCGGAGUCUUUGCGAUUCGCCGGGAAAUCGAGUUGUCGGGGCUUGGGUUUUGUUCGCCGUUUUCUGUUCCAUUGCGGGAAUUUAGGGUUUCGCGGAAAAAGUUAGGGCUUAUUGUUGGGAUUUAGGGGUGUUUGGGGAUCGGGAAUUGGAGGACAAAGGGGCGGAGUAGGUGAAUUUUGAGGUGGUUUUGGGAUUUGUUGCUGCGUGGGAGGUGGAAUUUAGGGUUUUGGGUUGGAAAUUGAAUGUGGCUUUGGUGGGUUUGAUGUGUGGAAGAUGAUCAUAAAGCGGACGAUGAAAAUUGAGAUGCCGCAAAUCAAGCGGUGCAAACUCGAACAGCCUGGUGACGACGUUGCUUCUUUGAUAAAACCCAAGAAGCGAAGAAUAGAUGGGAAUGGUCCAGCUGACACGCCUGGCAACGUUGAGGAGGAUAGCAUUGUUGCAGGUUCUUUGUGCACCGAGAUUUCGUACUGUGCCAGCGAAGUGGAGUCGAAUUCGAAGGGCAAGAGGAAAGGAAGGAAUCCAAAAGCGGAGGGUUCUCGUCCUCCAUUAUUGCCGUCUUCGCGAGGUCGUCAUCGGGCACUUCCUUCGCGAUUCAAUGACUCGAUAAUUGAUUCAUGGACGAAGGAGGAUUCAAAGGCUGAUGACAUGGAAUCAAAUCUGGAUGAUUUCGAAGUUGUAGUAUAUGAAAAGGAGAGAAUUGGUACCGGAAGGCAGAAAACUGGCGCAUUGAGAUUAGAGAAACAGCACAAGGAGGAGACAUUUAGAUUGCCAAGUUCAAAUCUCUAUGGACUUUGCGAAAAAGCCGAGGAAGGAGAAGCGGGUUAUGUAGGGUUUAGAGAAUCCGAGAGCAAAAAAUAUUCUUGUUCACAUAGUUCAUUAUCCUCAUUACAUGAUGGCCUUAAUCCACUUGUAGAAGCUAGUGAUUACCCGGGGUUUAACUCCAAAGGUAGGGAGAAAGCAGGGAAGGAUAAAACCGAAAAGCGGAAGGAUUUCUAUAGGCCGGAGGAAUUUGUGUUGGGAGAUAUAGUGUGGGCGAAAUCAGGCAAGAGAUAUCCAGCUUGGCCUGCAAUUGUGAUUGACCCUGUGUUUGAAGCACCAGAAGCGGUGUUGAGUUCUUGUGUUGCUGAUGCAAUUUGUGUCAUGUUCUUUGGAUAUUCCAAAAAUGGAAAACAAAGGGUGCUCUCUCUCUCACUUUAUUAUAAUGGGCUCUUCUUUUUUUAUUUCCACCUAUAAUAUUUUCAUUGUUUUUUAAAUCUAAAUAAAACGGUGAUGAACAGGAUUAUGCUUGGGUCAAACACGGGAUGAUAUUUCCAUUUCUAGAAUAUCUGGACAGGUGGGUCAUAACCCAUUCUGCGGUUUAACAAUUUGCCUAAGGGAAAUCAUUAGUCUCUUCUUAAUAGUGGUUUUUUUUAUUUGUCAGAUUUCAAGGGCAGACCCAGUUGCACAAGAGCAAGCCGAGUGAUUUUCGGGAGGCAAUUGAGGAGGCAUUUCUAGCCGAGAACGGUUUUUUUGACACAAACAAUGGGAGUGGACAAUUAUCUCGUACGGAAGAGAAUCCCGUUGGGGUUGAAGAAGCCACUGGUUCAAACCAGGAUCAGGAAUCCCACUCUCAGAACCAGGCAAGUUCCCACAACUCAAUUUUUCUUAACUUUUAUUCUUCCUUUCUUCAAUUUCAGUAUAUGCAAAUGAAGGAUUUUAUCUGACUUGGGUGGAGCAUCACAAAAGAUAUUCCCGUGUUCUUAUAUCCAAGUGUGAACUUGUCUUGCUAUCAGUAAACUCAAUAUAGUAGAUAAAGUAAGUAUUCUGGUGGUUGUGGCUCAGACCUUGACUCCAGUUUACUCUUGAAGACUUUCUUCAUCUUCUUGCUUAUACUUGAAUUUUUUUUUUUAUAUUCUUCCACUAGAAGUCAACUGCUAGUUCAGAAAUGAUUCAGAAAGAUUUUCAACUUUUUUCUUAUUAACUCUUCAUAUCUGAGAAAAAUGAUUCUGGAAGACCCUCAAGUUUUGCCAUUAGGUUGGUUGAAGAUCACGAAUGGGAUGGAUUUAGGAGUCUUUAUACAAGCCCUAUGCCAUCCCAACUUGCACAAGUAGUUUUAGAAACCACACUUUGAAACAGUUUGGUUUUCUGGGUCCAAGAACGGCAUUGUUGGAACUGGGUUGGGACAUCAAGCAGUGAAGCUAAUUAAUAGUUGUGGAAAGGGUGAAAGACAUUUCUAAUUGAAUAUUUGGCCUGAAUGUAUGAUUGAAAUUACAGUUUUCCUAAUCUUGUUAUUAGGUGAGUGUUUCUUGCCAGCAUUCUCGAAGGUUCAGAAAACAGAUGUAUGUAAGUUGUGGCUGGAGCUGCUCCCAGGUCCUUGCUCCCGGUUUCUCAUUCAUUCCUUGCCUGUAGUGUCUUCUGGGGUACAAUAUAACCCUGAGAGGCAUAUUAUUACCUAAUUUAGUCAUCUGGUUUGAGAGUUUUUUGCUAUGUGUGAAGUUUCUAUGCCUUUAUUAAGAUGGCCAAAUUUUUUUUUUUUCCCAACUGCCAUGACUAGGGAUGACAUCAAUAUAUAUAUAUAUAUAUAUAUAUAUAUAUAUAUAUAUAUAUAUAUAUAUUAAAAAUAUAUUUUUUAUUUUUAUUUUUUUGGUUUAGUCUCAUCGAAACCGCAUAUGGAGAUAGCAACGUCAGUUUUCAACCAAAACGCAGCUAUAGCCGUAUUUUUACCCUGUUUUCAACCAAAACGCAGCUAUAGCCGUAUUUUUACACUGUAUUAAAAUUAAUUUUUUGUUUUUAUUUUUUUAGUGAACGCCUCAUCAAAACCGCAUAUGAGGAUAGCGUUUUCAAGCCAUAGCCGUAUUUUUACCUUGUAUUAAAAUUUUGGGAGUUGUGAUUAUGUCCUUAACCUUUGGUUUUAUCUGGAUUUAUAUUUAUCUUAUCUAUUAUUUUUCAUUAUCCUAAUUUUUUAGUAAAUCAUUUUUCAUCAACUUUUAUCAUUUUAUCCUUCAUUUUUUAUUAUUUUAUUUAUGUGAUAAAUCAUUUUCUAUCAUCCUCCAAUUUUUAUCUUCUAACUUUAUUUAUUUAUUUAAACCAGUGUUUUAAGUUAUCUGAUAAGUUAUCUUUAAAACAUCUUUAUCAUUAUCUUUUUUUAAUCUUUCUAUUAUUUAUAAAUUAAUGUUUCAAUUCCAUUUUUCUAAAAUAAUUUUUUUAAAGAAAACCCAUAAACGGCAGCCCCAGACUGCAGCUUUGAAGCAGGGGCAAAAGACCAAAAGAAAUAGAGAAACGUGGCAACAACCCCUAUGCGUCCACCUAAAGCAAACAGCUUUUAAACCCUUAAAAUUUGGAUGUCUACUGUUAUCUGGAGAUUUAAUGUGGAAUGGAGGCAGUGGUAGGCCAGUGAAGUUAACUUGGUCUCGGAACUUGUCACUUCUCAGUUGGGCGCUAGUUGAAAUUCAUCUAAAACUUAACUGUGGUUGAAUGUGGAUCAAGCCCAUGUACAAGAUACUGUUUUAAAAUGUAUUAAUCGAUCAUGUAUUACCAUGGACAUGUGCGACCAACGAUUUUGUCCCUUCAUAUUUUGGAUAACUUUUGAGUUGCUUUUUAUUCAGUUAAUAAUGCCACAAAAUGUGAUAUGUGAAGUUUUAAGAGUUAAUUCCGGUGGUUUUCUUUGCAGGGUGUAUUCAAUAAUGGGGAGGCACAACCCUGUGAUGGUUGUGGCUGUGUUCUACCAUGCAAAAGUUCGAAAAAAAUGAACAAUUCAACUGGUGAAACCCAGCUUUUAUGUAAACAUUGUGCUAAGGUGUGUGAGAAAUGUUUUGUCUUGGAGGUAUCUUGUUUUCUUUUCUCUAAAUGAAAUGGAACAACGUUUUCCUGAGUGAUGCUCCCAUGAAUUUUGUAACAGUUGCGAAAAUCAAAACAAUUCUGUGGUGUAUGCAAGAAGACAUGGCAUCACUCAGAUGGAGGCAAUUGGGUGAGUUUUGUACAAUAAUUUAGUGUAUAGUUCUUUUCAACAUGAUUAUUUCAGUGUUCCAUAUGAUUGUUAUUUGAACUUACUCUUCGGAUUAGGUAUGUUGUGAUGGUUGUAAUGUCUGGGUGCAUGCUGAAUGUGAGAAAAUUUCUACCAAACGUUUGAAGGUUUGUCCACCUGAUGUUAUCUUCAAUGUUAAUUUGUUCCUUCUGUCUCAUAUGUUUAUUUACUCUAAUUCAUGAAGGAAAGUAUCACUGACUUGAUUACGUUUUGAAGGAUCUGGAGGACAUUGAUUAUUACUGUCCUGACUGCAAAGCUAAAUUCAAUUUUGAAUUAUCAGAUUCAGAUAAAUGGCAGCCCAAAGUCAAGUAUGUCAUCACUAUCUUUGAUUCUUCUUUUCUGCAGUUUGUUGUCGGCUUGCUUUUGUGGCUUUCUAAUAUUACUUUUUUUUUCUUAGUUUUUAUUUUUAAUGACGUGAAUCAAUUUUAGCAGGUGUAUAGAAAAUAAUGGACCUCCUGUGCUGCCUGACAAGUUAGCUGUUGUGUGCACAGGAAUGGAAGGAAUAUAUCUUCCAAAUCUUCAUGUGUAAGCCCUAACACUUGUGGCAAAUGCUAGAGUAAAUUUUAAUCUGUAAAAAUUGUUAUUACUGCUUUCUUGCAUGUAUUCCCCACUCCCACCCACUGCAUCCUUGUUCUAUCUUGGGAAAAGAUGUCUCUUGAAACAGUGGACCAUCUAGUACUCAAUAUUAACUAGAAUUUCAACCAUUCAUUUGGAAUAUUUACAAAUAUCAUGGUUGAUUUAUCUUUAAUUCCUUAAAUAAGUUGACAAGGCUACAGAAUUUUGAGUUAUAAGUAAGCUGGAAGUUAGAACUUUCUUUGCCAAUGAUUGAAUUUGAGGCAUGCUACCAAAGGGGUCUUUAGUGUGGUGGAUUAAUUACUGUCCAGAGUAAGGGGCACGAAAGAUGUUUUUAAUUAAAAUUAGAAAUAUUUUGAAAUGAAGAUAAGGAAUAUCAGUGACCUAUCACAAAAAAAAAAAAAAAAGAAAAAAAAAAAAAGAAAAGAAAAAAAGAAAGAAAGAUAAGGAGUAUUGAGUGGGUAAAAUGGGUCCUAUCAGUGAUCUGCAUUUUGCCAUUUUUGUUGUCUUCUUUUGGUCUUUAUGUUGAAAUGUCAUAUGUAAGUUGAUGUAACCUUGUCUUAUCUGCUUGUGUGGUUCUCAAAACUUUUUCCCUUUGCACCACUUUCCUACAGCAUGUUUUAUGAAAACAAAUAAAAUUAAAGAAUCAUGUCCUGAAGUUGUACUUUGGUGUAUUAUUUACUGUUAUUAAAUUAUACAUACCUUUCUUUAACUAUCAAAAAAAAGAAAAAGGAUCAUGUCCUGAAGUUCAGUCAUUGAUUUGAGACUUACUCAUAAUUUGGUUCAUUUCUAUUGAGGGAAUUAAGUUCAAUUAAUUUCAGCUGAGUUGCAAAGCAAAAUCGGUUGAUUGAAACUUUAUUUUUGGUAAAAUACUUUGCUAACCUACUUCCAAUUUGUUAUUGUAGGGUUGUUUGCAAGUGUGGUUCAUGUGGCACAAGGAAGCAAACACUUAGUGAAUGGGAAAGGCAUACGGGUUCUAGAGCUAAAAAAUGGAAGGCGAGCGUUAAAGUAAAGGAUUCUUUAAUACCACUGGAAAAAUGGGUUUGUACCAGUUGACCGGUUCUUGUUAGUUUCAAAGCACUACUUAAAUUUCUGGCGUAAUCUGUGUUUUGAAUAAAAUACGGUCUUUCAAUCAUGGGAAGAAUUUAGACUGUGUUGAUUAGAACUUCCAAUAUGCAUUUAAUGUGUAUUUGGCAACUAAUUUUAAAUUUGAGCUCCGCUGUGGUUCUGUCAAGCUUAUUUAUACUGACCUGCAUGGUGAUUCUCUACUUUGUCUGAAUUGUUUUGUGCACAGUAAAAAUUGGGGCAUUAAACAUGAACCUUAUAUUAUAAUUAGUUUGGCAGUUGCUUGUAAAUGCAUAGUACAAUCUUCCUUUAUUGCACUCCUUGUUUUCCAGAACUUUACUAUGCAGCCAUGUCAAUACAGGCCUAAUAUUUGGUUCUGCAAUUUGAAACCUAACCAGCCCCCCUCAUUUGACUACUUGUACCUAAUUAGUUCUCUAGCUUAUUGUUUUCCUCUAUUUAUUUGCUUAGAAGUUUUAAUUGUAAGGCUCCCAUUAGUGCUUAUGGUUCUCUCAAAAUUCUCCCUCUUGAUUAAGUAGUUAGUGCAUGGCUUUAGUAAAGUUAUGCUCUGGGUUUAAUUUAGUUUCUCAGUCCUGAUUGGAGCUUGUAACUCUCAUAUAUAUAUAUAUAUAUAUAUAUAUUUUUUUUUUUUUGUGUACCUGAUAUCUUUAUUGAACUAUUAGCAGGCUAAUUUAAUAACAUAUAAGUUAAGAAUUGCUGUGAAACUUUUAAAUUCUGACCAUUUCGUGUCCUGUGAAAGAACAGUAGAUGUAUAUGCAACAAUCAUGAAAGGAAACUGUUCCCUUUCAGUCAUGAAAGAGAGCCUUUUUUUUUUGGGGGUUCAACAUUGGUCUUUUAUGUAAUAUGCUGCAUUCAAAUUAUUUGUCACUGGGAUUAGCAGUUUUAGAUGUUUAUUCGAUUACUCAUUGAACAUAUGGAUAAUUCCUCAAUAUUUUAUUCAUCUGCAAAAUCUCUAUCCAUCUAACUUGUGAUGUUAAGUGUUGUGGUGAUUAUAGAAAGAAUCACCCCUUGUUCUCACCAAAGUUUACGUGUCAUAGAUGAACAAUUCCAAUAUAUUCUCCUUUUAACAUUGAGAUUGCUGCAGCUUGCAGAGUAUACUACACAUGGUAUCAAUCCUCUGAAGUUACAAAAACAGCAGUUAUUUUCCUUUUUGAAAGGUAAUUUUUAUUUUUCUUUGUGAUCUUUUGACGUCUUUUUUUUUCUGUCUGCCACUGCAGCCAUGAGGCAUUUUGCAGUAUAACUUUUCACUGCUGAAGAAACUAAUUAUACUCUUAAUUUCAUUACAACAGAGAAGUAUGAACCUGUUCACGCAAAG